CUCCUGCUCCGGCUCUGGCCAUUGAUCCUCGGUUGCCAGCGCUCUUCGCUGAGUCCAAGGGUCUCGUGGGCAUCGAGGGCCCCAGGAGUACACUAGUCAGCUGGCUGAUGGAUGGGGAAGGUCAGCUCAAGGUUAUCUCCAUUGUUGGGUUCGGAGGGUUGGGGAAGACGACCCUCGCCAAGGAGGUCAACCAUGCUGUGGGAGCACACUUCCAGCUCAAGGCUUUUGUGUCAGUCUCCCGUAAUCUUAACCCCAAGAAGCUAAUCUGCGAUGUGCUCUCUCAGAUCAUGGACCAAAAAGAUUAUGGCAAGAAAGAUUAUGGCAAGUUGGAGGUGGAGCAAUUGAUUCCAAUUCUGAGGGAACACCUGGCAGAUAAGAGGUACUUUAUUUUAUUUUUGGUUUCCAAAUUAAACCAUAUUUGGCUAUAGCAAUGUUCCAAUCGAUCAUUGCAUUAAGAUUUGGAUUUGCUAUUCAACAUUCAAUAGAAAUUUUGAGGGAGGAUCUGUCAAAAUUUUCAGCCUUAAUUGGCAUGGGCUUCAAACUCGUGGCCUAGCUCCCGCGUGCGUCACCCCCACUGAGCUACCACAACUUCUUUUUAUCACUUACAUCUUUCUUACAUGUCUAAUUACAUAUAGUUAAAUUGAUUGAAGCAUUUCUAAGGAAAUUUUUCGUGGAAUUAAUGUUAGUUAGAUAGUCCCAUUAAAAUUUGUUUGAACCUAAUCUGCAACUUUUAACUUGGGAAAUUUUUACGGCCGGCACUCUCUGCUGUCAGUAGAAAUGAUUUACACUCUGUCUUGUUUAAUCCAAGUGACAUAUCAAAGUUCAAACGAGGUGCAUACUUAACUUAGAUUGAUUCAUGAAGACAUGAUUUCCAUCAUUGGCUCAUUGGGAUUCUUUCUUUCACACAUCUUGGGUCUAUAUAUAUACUCCACUUUUUGCGUGAUUGCUGUAAGUACCAUAAUGAUUGCCGGUUUCUCUACAGAACCAAAACAAUACUACAUGCCAGUUAAUGGCCUUAAUGUUUAUUCCUGUUAAGGCUAGUUACUGCAAAAUGUUACCACUAAUUCCUUAUACGAAAUUACAUGCAUGUAGGUACCUCAUAAUUAUUGAUGAUAUUUGGAGAAUACAAGCAUGGGAUCUAGUGAAGUCAGCCUUGCAUGACAACAGCUGCCAAAGUAGAAUAAUCACAACGACACGCAUUAGUACGGUUGCCGAGUCAUGUUGCUCGACCUUGAAAGAUCGUAUCUACUACAUUGAGCCUCUAAAUGAAGUCGAGUCCCGAGAGCUAUUCUUCAAGAGGAUAUUCGCCACAGAGCACGGUUGUCCUCCUCACCUAGAAGAAGUUUCCAACGAAAUUCUGAAGAAAUGUGGGGGCCUGCCAUUGGCUAUACUUAGUAUAGCAAGUUCACUGGCAAACAAGCCUGACAUAAAGGAACAAUGGGAAAUGGUGAAGAAAUCCAUUGGUUUUGCUCUUGAGGGAACGCCUACUUUAGAAGGAAUGAAUAAGAUAUUACUUUUUAGUUAUUACGAUCUUCCUACUCAUCUCAAGGCUUGUUUGCUAUACCUCAGUAUAUUUCCGGAGGACCAAGUGAUUGAGAGUGACAAACUAGUAUGGAGAUGGAUGUCUGAAGGACUAAUUGUUGGAGAAAUGGGUAAAAAUUUGGAGCAAGCAGGACAGAUUUAUUUCAAUGAGCUCAUCAACAGAAGCAUGAUUGAAUCAGUGGGUGUUCGGUAUGAUGGCAAGGUACUAGCUUGUAGGGUGCAUGAUAUGGUGCUUGACAUGAUCAUAUCUUUGUCCGCUCAAGAGAAUUUCGUUACCAUAUUACAUGGGCAUGAGGAUAAAUUUGCAGGAGAAAAGAUUCGCCGGUUGUCCCUUCGAUGCAAUCGCCCAGAUGUUGAAGUAACGCAGGUGACAAGCAAAAAAUUUGCCCAGGCUCGUUCUAUCAGCCUCUUUGGUUACAAGGAGAUGCUUGAUCUACAGGGCUUCCAAGCUUUGCGGGUGCUGGAUUUAGGAAAAAAUGUUUUGUUCAAGCAAGUGAAAAAUAUAGGCAAGUGUUACCAAUUGAAGUAUCUGGAUCUCUCCGAUACAGAUAUAGUGGAGCUUCCUGAAGAGAUUGGAAAUGUACAAUCCCUAGAAACUCUGGACUUAAGAAAUUGCAGACGACUAACAUUGCCAUCAACAAUAUCUGGGCUCAGAAAACUAGUGCGUCUCCUUGUGGAUUAUACUGCGGCAUUGCCAGAGGAGAUUUCUGGUCUUGUAGCUCUACAAGUGCUAUCUUGUGCCUCCUAUAACUCCGUGAAGUUCAUGCAAGCGCUGGGCCAGCUGACAGAGCUGCGAUCACUUGCAUUCAAGUGCUGGAAUCCUGACUGGUAUUUUGACGCGGGAAUGUACAAGGAGGUAUCUGUCGCAUCUCUCCGUGAGCUGGGGAAACACAAGCUUCAGUAUCUAGAUAUCUGUGACGAUGAUGCUAUCCCAGAUGCACUAAUGUGUUCGUCGUCAGAGUCAGACUGCCCGUUUCCGCACCUGCAGAAGCUUGUUCUGUCCAACCACAACAUCCAAAGGAUUCCAAGGUGGAUUGGCUCGCUUGUCAACCUCUGUCACCUGGAAAUUGUUGUCAAGACCACACGGCAAAACGAUCUCGGCACACUAGGGAACCUGCCAUGUCUGCUCUACCUCAAGAUCUGCAGGUUGUAUGAGCCCGUCGAAAGCCAGCAGCUCAUUGUACCGAACCGAGGAUUCCGUUGCCUCAAGGAGCUGUGCUUCCAGUGUUGGUGCCCGUUGGGGCUGGAGUUUGCCCCGGGAGCUAUGCCGUGGGUGCAAACCUUCCGCCUGUGGUUCAUGCCAUGCUGGAAGAGCUGCGAUCAUGGUGUCAGCGUCGGCUUAGGCAUCGAGCAUCUGCUAGAACUCAAGCUUGUGGAUGUUAAGACGGGCUAUGGAUGUGGUAAGAGGGAGGUGAAGUCAUUUGAGGCAGCAAUCACAGCUGUGGUCGCCAACCAUCCCAGACGCCCUGCGCUCGUAUUGCGUAGAUCAGGUGAGAGAAGUGCAGUCAGGAAGGAGAAUUGGACAGCAGUGGAGACAAACAUGAACAAGUCCCUGUUUGAUUCAUCAACAGUCAGACAAAGAUUGCAGAAGCAGUCCAGAUUUCAAACUUGAAAUUAAAGCUGCGAUGUUCCUCGCUCCUAAGUCGUAAUACACCAACGGACAGUUUGUAGGUUGUUUUUCCGGGUAGUUCCUUGCAGUGCUCAACAUUUUUAGGUUUGUGCUCUGCUCUUCUAUAAAUGUGAAAUCAAAGUGUGUUUUGAUUAUUAUUUCACGAUGAACAAUUGGUAUUUGAGAUAAUUGUUUUAAUUUUCCGAGGGAACAAAUAAUUGGUUUUAAUAUUUGGACAUAAUUGGCGAAGUGGGUUGCUGACUCUGUGACCCAUCAGACCGGUGUAUGUUGUGCGGUCUGACCAGCCGGCUCUUUGUCGGUUUCGGUUUCGGGUUGUUCAUUUGAAUACUUGUGAUUAAUUCAUGUUUAUAACUUAUAGAUGGAUACUAUGCGUAUGUAAUAUUGUUGUGUGCUUAUAUUGAGUCAAGUUGGAGAGAACUUAUGCUCGGAUAUAUUUUCUUGGUUGAUUCACGUGUCGGUGAGUCAUGAUACCUUGGAAGAGUGUUGCCGAUAAUGGAUCGGGAGUCAAUUUGGGAGAAGAUGAUGUCCGGACGAUCAAGAUAUCAUACGAGAUGUUUAGGCUAAAGAUCAAUGCAUUAAAAUUUUCAUAUGGUAUAUGAUGGAGAUAUUGUGUGCGUAUGGGAUGCGAAGUUGAAUUUGUAAGGAGUCCAAAUUUGGUGUGAUUGGAGUUUGUAAAGUUUGUUUCUUGCACGGGAAGGUUUCCUAAGGGAUUAGAACUUCUUGUACAAAUUGGAUUCGUGGCUUUCGGCUACCUAUCUCGGGUAAAAAUAGAGAAGAGGGGUUGAGGCCUCCCGGUAUCGAUUUUGUGAGAGUUGAGUUUAGAGAAAAGUUAUGGUUUCAAGUUUAGUCGAGAUUUUUGUGAGGAGUACUGAUGUUGUACUUUGUAAACACGAAUAGAAGUAAUAAAGUUUCAAUCUACUAUGAGAAGAUCUUCGAUUUGUGUUUGCUCAAGUUCGGCGGUUACACCGACAGGAUACCAGCGGUCAGACUGGUGGCAACGCACCGGACAGACUGGCGACGGCUUCAGACGACUGUAGCGAUAAGGACGGUCAGAUCAGCCGAUCUACACCAGUCAGACCGGUGGCAUAUGCACGGUCAAACCGUCGUAAGACUUGCGGUCAGACCGUGUUCUAUCAAAUUCGAUGUAACUUUUAAUUCUACUAAAGGUUUGGUUUUUUUGGUGCUACAACCAUUCACCCUCUCUGGUUAUCUUACUUCUUAUUGUGUGAUCCUAUACUAAAUUCUAAGGUGACUCAAACUUACCAAUGGUUUGCAGCAAUGGUGGCACAAAAGUUUCGAGAGAUUGGUUAGAUAUGUACGUGAAUGUAUGAUUCUACUUACCAUCAUUCAAAUUGUAACCUAGAAAUAUUAUAUCUACGUGGCUGCUUUCAAAUUGGAAUGUAGUGAUAUCACCAAUUUACAUUUGGCGCCCAAACUACCCAUGUUAGGAUCCAACUCUUAAAUUUAGCUCCAAGAGUUGGGUCUAGAGUUGUGGGGCAGCCUAAACCUAGCUCUAACUCUCUAAUUCAUUUUGUAAGAGAGCUUCACUCCCAAUUUAGGUAGAGUUGAAAAUGUUUGACUGAGCUUUGGAGAGAUGUGUCAAACAGACCCUAUGUUAAGUAGGUACUCCGUCAUAUCAUCGUUCUGGUAAUAGAAAUUAAAUAAUCUGAAUUGUAGAUCUAGUUUUAUCGAAGGGUUUAGAUUUUUUUCUACUAUCACCUCACUCAUCACUUCACGGUAUUAGAAAUGUUUGGGGGGUAUAAUUGUCAAAAAAAAUAUUGUCGUGGAGGGGUAAAAUCAUCAUUUAUAGUUGACUAAACCUCAAUCGGCCGCCGCAUCCGUCGCCUAGUAUCUCCUCCCCACUAGAAUGGUUUCGCUAGAAUGCUAUCGCUUCAAAGUGAUUCACCAAAAUACCAUUUUCGGUUAUUUUUUUUAAAUAGAAAUGUUUUGCUCAAUUUUAUAUUUUUUUCCCGGACCAAAAUACCCCUGAUGUAGGCCCCACCUGUCAUACUCUCUUCCCUCCCUCUUUCCCCUUUCCACUCUCUCGAGGAUGCCAUCGGCUGGCAGGCAUGGCGAGCUGUGGGCAGUGGCCGGUGGAUCUCGCGGCCGACGUAGUCCUCAUCACCGUGGAGGUAGUCCACGGCAUCACCGUCCGCAUCUCCGAGGUCCUGCUCGACAUCGGCCUCGCCGUAGACCUCCUCGCUGGGCACGCGCUCGACGUGGGUCUCCUCGCCGCGGAACACCGUGCAGCUCCUUGUGGACGAGCUCGUCGUCCCGGCGCCCGCCGCCCUCGGGGUAACCCACGGUCCCGGAAGCCCCCCGCCGCGCGGUGGCGCUCCGCUUGGCCUCGGCCAGCAACAGCAGCUCAUCUUCCCCAACUCGCUGGCUGCCCCUACUCCUCCCCAAGAUGCGGUGACCAGCAGCAGCAACAACUCACCAAGACCGGAGCAGAGCACCGCCACCGCAGAUUUCGAGGGAGGCCGGGGAGCUGCUCGAUCGCGUCCGGGCGCGCGGACGUGAACUACGCCGGGGUGGUGUGGCUCAAGGCGCGGCGGGUGGCGGAGGCCGCGCUCGUCCGGGCGCUGCUCGUGAGUGCCCUUCCCCCCGCUCUCUCCCCUGUUUCCUGCUCUGUUCUACAACUUCGCGCGCAUUAUUAUGGUUUUGCUAAUGAAAGGGUGCUACCGACUCACCCUCCUGCACGCUGCAGCCAUCCUCCACAUCCUCGGACCGCUUCCUCCACUACACCAUUAGCAGGGCCGUCGUGGAGAGAGAGAGAGAGCGAGAGGGGAAGUGAUGAAGGAAGAAGUGAGGUAGUCAGUUACAUUGCGAGUAAAAACUGCCACCAAUAGUCAUAACUGUCAAGAGAGUUAUUCUGCUCGGUUUAAAUAGUUAAAGGGGUCGACAUUACCAGCUUUUGCGAUUGAGGAUAUAAAUCGGACGUGACUUGUUUAAGAAUUUUUAGCCCACGAUGGCCCAGGCCCAGGCCCAGGCUAACUAGUUGCCCAGUUAGCUUGCCCAGCUAGCCCAUUACUAACCUAUAAUAAGCAAAGGUAAAAGUCCCAAGCCGCCUCUGCCACUCCGGCGGCAGCAGCAGCGCCGCCGCGCAGGUCGCCGCCGCCCCCAACCUGGCCAUGUCGCCACGGCGCAUCCUCCCAGCUCCCCCACCUCGCAUCCUCUUUGCUUACUGGGUUCUUCCUCUCCGUCGUCGCCGCGUGGUGCCGGGGUGCCGCCUGCCGGCUUGGUGACACUCAGCGGCCCAACCUCCAGGUUCAGAAAUUUUUUCUUGUCGAGUCCAUGUCAAUUAGUGUAAUACAAGCAGACGAGUUGUGUGAUGCGGCAUUCAAUUUAAUGUAUUAGCCAUUUACGACUAGUUUUUUUAAUCGAUUUCAUUCCUUUUGAACUAUAAAAAGUAAUAGGUUGCAAGUUGAAGAGGAAGAGAACAGGACAUAUUUUUGGGUUUUAUUAGAAAAGGAAAAAAAAAAUGGUGCGCUAGCUUUGAGUAUGUUCUUAUGUUUGUUGCAUCCUAGGAACAAAGUAUCAGGCUAAACUGCUAAACUAAUGAUCAUCCACAUUGCUUUUAAAAGAAGACCUAAAAAGUUAUUGAUAUAAGGAAGAAUGGUUGGGAUGAGCGCUAGCCUCAAACACAGUUAAUAUGAACUUCAAAUAUCAUUUCAAUCAUGCAUGUGUUCUGUACUUCUGUUAUAUCAUGGUGUGCCGCCUACACAUGGAGGUGGGGCAUGAUCCAUGAGUAGUGCAGUCAGGAGGAGGAAGAUGAGGGGUGAUUUUAUUAGUGUUUUUGCAUGAAUCUUGGAGCAAUUUCAACCAUUUAAAUGUGACUGAAAUUUUCUUCUUAUAUUUUAUUGCCUGACGGCUUGAUGUCCCUUAUUGAGGAUACAAUUUGUCUUCUCCUUUUUGCAGAAGUUUGUGUUGUAGACUUGGUGCUUCAUUAUUUGCAUUCCUGGAUGCUUGAUGUAUGAUACACACGCAGACUGGCAUUGAUUCCAAAUGAUGGCAAUAAGAUUGGAAGAACACGUAUCUCUGAUUUCCAAAACUCUUCCUUUCAUUCAACACAAGGCUAUGUCCUCAUAUUCAACUGGUCAUGGCCACAGGCCCAAGAAGAAGCUUUAUCACCGUGAACCUGGCCUUGACAAGGCCAUGGACCUCCAAAAGAAGCCUGCUCUCCUCCUUCGUCUUCGGGAGCUCAUCUUGUCCCAAAAGACAAAUUCCAUCCUUAUACGUUAUCUUGAAAAGGAGGUUGGCUUUGUCCAAAAAUGGAACUUCCUUUCACUUAUCAAGCGGCAUCCAAACAUCUUCUUCGUCUCUGGUGGUAGUGCCUCCCGUGAGCCAAUUUCAGUUACGCUCACUGAGAAGGCCAAAAAGAUAUCCAGUGAGGAGACCCUAGCACGAGAACUAAUGGAGCCAAUCUUGGUGAAAAAUCUAAGGAAGCUACUAAUGAUGUCUUUGGACUGCCAGAUUCCUAUAGAGAAGAUUGAACUCAUCCAAUCUGAAUUGGGUUUACCCAAGAACUUCAAGAGCAACUUGAUUCCGAGAUACCCUGAACUAUUUUCAGUUCGCGAGGUGAAGGGAUUGGACCAUUUGUGUUUGGAGAGUUGGGAUUCUUCACUGGCUGUCACAGCCCGAGAAGAAAAAUUGAAUUUUGAUGGAUUCCAUAUGGACUGUAGAGGGAUUCCUAAAGAUGGAAAUGUCUUUGGUCCUUUUGCUUUCAAGUUGAAGUAUCCAGCAGGAUUUAGGCCAAAUCGGAAGUAUCUUGAGGAGGUUGUCAGGUGGCAGAAGUUGGCAUUUCCAUCACCUUAUCUGAAUGCUAGGCGUGUGGAGCCUGCAACACCACAGGCUCGGAAGCGAGCGGUUGCUGUUAUGCAUGAGAUUUUGAGCUUGACAAUGGAGAGACGAUUGACAUCUGAUUAGCUAGAAGUCUUCCAUAAUGAGUACAGGCUGCCAUGUAAGCUACUUCUGUGUUUAAUAAAAAAUCAUGGGAUAUUCUAUAUCACUAAUAAGGGAGCAAGGAGCACUGUCUUCCUCAAGGAAGCCUAUGAUGAUAGUAAACUUAUUGAGAAGUGUCCUCUAUUGAAAUUCCAUGAUCAAUUUGCCUCUCUGAUCGGCCAAACAUGCUCCGAUUCAAAUGAUGUAUUGCCAGCAUAAUGGGAGCAAUAAUUUACAAGCGAGAGAGACAAAUCACAAUGUGGCAUGUGGCUGGCUGAUUCACCCUUUAGUUUCUACUCAGGCCAGUGCAAACAUGACUCAUUUGCAUGCGACCAACCAUGCAAGUCCUCUGUGUGAUGGAUGCUUUAUUCAGCUUCAAGUUUUGCAUGAAAUUUGGGACCCCAGAAAUCAAGUGGCAGCUCAGAUCUCAGCAGACAAGGCAUUGGUUGUUGUACUGAAGGACAUAUGUUCAAUUCCUACAAUUGGGGCAUUCAACUGUUGAAGAUAUUACGGUUAGUUUUCAGGGGUUUUCUUGCGAGUAUUACCUUCAGCCUACACUUGAGAGAAAAAGAGAGGAUGCAUUAGCCUCAGUUUAUACCUUAAAACUGAAUUUGCUUCUCUUAAUUGGAUAACUGGGUGCCAUUUCUUUCUUUUCUAAUAAAAUAAUGAUAUAGUCAGAUACUAAUUGACCUUAAAAUGUAUUGUACUAUCACGUGAUUCUGCUUCCAGAAAGGUUCUUGAUGUUGUUUGUCAUCAUAGAAUGUGUCAAACCACUAUACUGUUUUCGCUAGAUUAUGCUUGUAAUUUGUUACAGUCAACAUUUUGCUUAUGGGUCAAUUGAACUAUUGGCAAUAGUAGUAGUACUAAUCCAUUCUGCUAUUGUUCUCGGUUUUUUUUUUCCCUUCAUCCAUACACAGGCAGAAAGUGCCUGUAAAAUGCUCCACGUGUUUGUAUCAAAGUUUCCUUCCAUCAAUUGGUUCUUGUUCUUUAUUAUUACUUGAAACCAACUUCAGCCAUGGAAAUCUCUAUUGCUCUCUAGAGUUCUCCAUCAGAAUUCAGAAAUUUGAAAUACUGUAUUUAGUUCACAUGCUGAUUAUGAUUUGAAGCAACUGUGAAUCAUCUUAAAUCCUAGCUGCAACCUGACUACAUAGAUUAGUUUCUAUUUUCUACUUUCUUGCAUUACCACAUUCAUGAUUCAUCAUGUGCCCUAUGACAGAUUGAUGAGAAAUAUCAGUACUAUAUGUUUUCCUGAUGCUGUGCAUUAGUGGUCUUAUAGUAUUCAACUUGGUUCAUAAGUGCAUUAACCCUACCAGUAUAGACCAACAUUCGUCCAGUACAGUGACCUGUUUCAUGCUAUGUGAGCCUGAAUUAUGAUUGCAUCUAGUGGUAGACAUGUCUGUACUCUAGCGGUCCAUAUUUUCUUGUGUUCAGUCUAGGUUUUAUUUCUGUAUUGAGUAUUCUGUAUGGAACAAGGCACAAACAAACAUGCUAAACCCAUGUAAAUUGAUUGUUAGAACUUAAUUUGCAGUACCGUGAUGCAUAAUAUAGAUGAUAGUUGUGGAUGUGCUUUCAUGUAUCUUUCUCUGCAAAAGGCCUGGGUGUGUUUUUUCCAUGUUAACUCAAAAUUAUGCCAUGUAGCUUGUGCAUUCUUAACAAUGGCCGAAUUCGUUCUGCAGAUCACCUUAUUUCUGUUAACAAGAAAGAUUUGUGUUCUUGUGCAGUUGUGCUCAUGCGAUUGUAGUUGACGUCUCCAUAAUCUACAGAGACAAAUGUUGAGUGGAGGAAACACCAAGUAUUGUUAACUACCAGAGAAAAAUGGCCUUUCAAUUACCGUAUAAUCUUUGUCCAGCAGGAACAGGUAUGACUUAAGCCAAUAUGAACCUUUUUCUUAAUGUCUAGUAUAAAUACAGCAACCAAAUCUUUGCAAGUGAAAUAUCACCAAGCUGACGGUACUUACAAAAUAAAUGGUAGUUUGGUAGUUAGCUAUUUGCCAGUUUAGAACAGUCAUGUAACAUGUAUUACAUAUUGUCAGAUUAUUCUGUGGCCAGUUUGUCGUGCCAAUGUUGUUUUUGUGUAAUUUGUAAUUACUGUUCUGUGUCAGAAUUUAGACACUGAUUCAGUUGUCAAGUAAUUUUUUUUAAUGGAAUACUUUGACAGAUUGGUAAAAUGGGUUUUAAUGACUGUCUGAAAGCUUUUAGAUUAACUAGUUGCUUGGUAAUGAAUAAUAAUAAGAGAUGAAAUUGGUGGACACUCAUUGCUGUUGAUCUGGGACCAUAUCCUAAACAUGGGAAGCUUUAUUAAUGGCCAUGGCAAUUCCUGCAACAGGCUAAUAACAGUCACAAGUUUGCAUCCCUUUCACACCUCCACGCUAUCUUGAGUAUGUUCUGAUAUUUGCACAUCAAAGUGCUUGUCCACAUAGAAUUAUUGGUGGGAGAUGCAUUAAGGAUGUUUACCAAUAGUUGCUUGCAACACAAAAUCAACCUGUAUGUAGGUGGGAUCCAUUGAGAUAACCAGAUGAACAUAUGCUAAGUAAAGAUGGACCGACAAAAUUAUGGGUGGCCUGGACACAUUGAAGUGAAAUGAGGCCAACUGGCUGCUCCUCAAUUAUAACCCAUGAAAGUGAGGAGCAUACCCAGGAGCAGUGAUUGGGACCAGAUUCUGCAGACACUAAGAGAGCACCUAUAAAUGAUAGUAGUGGUCAUGAUCCUGGUCAGAUGCACUAAAAGCUAGAUUUGGAUGGGUGUUAGUGGCUGUUAGUUUAGGCAGGUCUAUCCUCAAGUCAUACAAAUACAGUGGAUGGAGACUAGAGGCCGGCCCUUUUCUGAUCCUGUUUAUUUUUUCUGGUAAGCAUUUAUGCCUUCCUCUGCAGUAGCCUUUCCAUCUGAUGUUACUUCCAUUUAACUUAUUGUGUGAACAUUUAUUUGGCGUCUCUUAAAAUUUUUUUUGGCUCUAUUAUUGGCCACCAAGAGCACAUGCUUUUCUUUGCCCUCCAGUCACCUUCAGCUCCUAGUGACCCGGCUGGAUUUCCAAUUGAUGUGUCUUUCUUGUACACCAGUCUUUGCCUCCCUGUCCCUGUCCUUGAGUAGCAUUACCUGUUCCAUAAACAACUUUUGUGUGUGGCUGGGCCCUGCCUUUUUGAGUUGGCAACUUCCACAAAAUCACAAGAGUUAUCACUGCUUCAGAACCGCUUCGUUUUGCUGUCCCUUUCUCCGGACCCUGCCUUGACUUUAGGAAGCUGCCAUUAUCUUUACUUGUCUUUCACUUUGAUUUUCAUACUUACCACUAGAUUUACACCAAAAUAUAAUUCUAUUAUUCUAAUUAGGUACAUUUUUGGUUUCUUGCGUCUUAUCUUAUUAUUGAUCAAUGCAGCAUUAAUCUCUUCAUUUGUGAUGACUGUCUUCUCUCCAUUGAUUCUUAGCUUUUAAAAAAGUUAUUAAAAUAGGUGCCUUUUACCUUUCUACUCUCGGUGUUUUUCAAACUCUAGAGAGGGCCGUCCCGUGAGCUGCAUUGUUCAACGCCUCUUUGAUGGUUGAACGUCGCAAUUAGGGUGGCAGGUCCAGACCACCUCCUGUUUCUGUCAUCAUCUGCCUGAUGUCUAUCCAUUAGGAGAAGAAAGCACCUCAUUUGUGUUAUGUAACAAUUUCUCUUUUUCCUUGCUUGAAUGAACAGACUGGCGCCUAGCAAGCAAAGAAUCCUGAUUCGAACAUCACAGCCUGCUUGGCCAUCGCCAUCCCUGGUUCUGGACAAAAUGUUUGGACUAUGUAUCAGCGUCAUGUUUGAGUCUCAUUUCUUCCUACUCCUGCCUAGCCUCUAGUAGCAAGUCAUUUUUAUACUUGUCUCAUCUGAAGAAAGUAAUGUGUGCAUUUGAUAUAUCCAGUGCAGGGGGGUCCAUCUUGGCGUAGCCGUGGGUGGUGUGGUUGGUUCAGAUUUCACAAUCUUGGCAUGUAAAGAAGGAUGCCCUGUCCCUCUGCAUCCAGUUCCUUGUUCUUGUAGUGUUUCCGAAUUUUUCCUGAUCUUUCUUUAUCUCUGUGACAUGUUGCCAAGUGAAGACAUAUCAAAGGCAGACUAUUCUACGCUUCAGGAAUAAAGGGGAGGAGAUAAUCCCAGCUGAUUACUCAAGAAACGAUUUUAUUCCAAGUCAAUCAGAGUGAGCAUCUCAAGGAGCUGAAUCAUUCUAGCUUUUACCCCACCACCAAACCCACAAAACCGGUCAUCAAUUUAGGUAAGCAUUUGACAUAAGUUCUUGGUUGGAAUAAUAUCCUCUUUUUUCUUUUUGCAUUCAUCAGGAACUGUGAAAAAUUCUUUGCCUGAUUCUUUCUACCAUAUAAUACUCAAGAAGCAUCAUACUUUUAUUAGACAAUCAUCUAGUGAACAUUUUGAGCGAUGGGGCCCUCUGAGAUAGAGCGAUAUAUUUAUUCAAACAUAAUGUUUCGUAAAAGCAGCAAACUGCACCUAAUAAUUUAUAAUAAUUGAAUGCGAUAAUCCUGGUGGAGGUGUAAUAACAUGUCCAGGCUGAAAGCACAGAUCAGGUUACUGUACACAGUAAUGAUGAGCCUCUGUUAAAGCUAAACUCCCCUUGUCAGUUAUCGUGCUGUUGAACAAGAUGAUGAUUAUGACGACCAUGAUGGCCGCCCUAAUUGCCAUUUGCCAACCUAUCUACUGCUAAUCUAAUCUAAUCUACGCCUUUUGUACUACUAGUAGCUGUUAGUAGUGGUACUAGUAAUUCUGAAGAAAGAAAUGUGGCUUGUGCAGGCAGGGAGGCAGGCAGGGCUGCAUCGUGGGAAUGAUAGCGUGGGGGGAGUACUGCAGGUCUUUGUACUCCUUGUCUGCUGUGCUGCCGGUUGAUGGAUUGGAAGCCACACCUGCUGCUGCUAUUGCUAACGCUUAGCUGCAUCUUUCAGUCUUUCGGCCAACAAUUUUUUUUGCUUUGUUGCCAUCCGUUUUUGGUCCCUGUUUCUUUUGCUCCCUUCAGCAUCAAUCCACCUCACACGUUCACCGCCCCUCGCUACCUCUUCUACUACCAUUCGACGCACACCUCAGAAAACAAAUCGUCAUUUUUCUUUUUUUUUUUUUGCCUUUUGUUAAAGAAAUUGACUGCUAAUGCUAGGUUGCUAUCCUCUGAGCCAUAAUUCAUUCUGAAGAAAGUAUAUGUAAAUUAUUGGAUCCACAAAUCAUAUAUAAUAUUUAGAAAGAACAUAUACAAUUCGCUCUUCUUAAUUUCGCUAUUUUUUUUAUGGAGCCACCUAUUAGGUGUCGUUGACAUAUAGGUCCUUCUUGACAAUCGCACUUCAUUCCACUGGGCUUCAUGUGGUAGUGACAACUGGUGCCACAUACUCCCUCCAUUUCAGGUUAUAAAACGUUUUGAUGUCAAACUAUUUUAAGUUUGACUAAGUUUAUAGACAAAUAUAGUAAUAUGUAUAAUAUUAUAUUAGUUUCAUCAAAUUAAUAAUUGAAUAUAUUUUAAUAAUAGAUUUGUCUUGGCUUGAAAAUAUUACUACUUUUUUCUAUAAAUUUGGUUAAACUUGAAGCAGUUUGACUUUUUUACCAAAGUCAAAACGUCUUAUAUCCUGAAACGGAUGGAGUACUCUAAUAGCUAUUGUUGGUUUUGUAACAAGGAACGUUUGUGUGCGUAAACGUUGUACACCGAAAACUUGUGUGCACAGGCGUAAACAUCGUACACCGAAAACUUAUGUGCACAGGACACGUCCCCGUGUAGCGGUGGGGGGUUGGCCGGGUUAGAUGGAAGAAAACCCCUCUUCGUCUCACACAAACGGCGUGCACGCGUGGGGGCAGUGCGGUGUGGCGUGCACACUCGUGCGUGGGUGGCCAACGAAAUGGGUGAGCUAUUUCCUCCGCAGUAUGGUUCAAGCAGCAAAGCUCAUGUGGCUGCUGAGACUUGUCAUCAUCUUCCUUUCUUUUUUUUUCUUUUUUUUCCAACACCCUAUAUACAUGUAAUUUGUGGAUUGUGAGCUCAACAAUCCAUACCUAACCGGGCACCGGCAACCUCCUUUUCAAGAAAGUGAGAAACGGUUAAGAGGAAAUUAUCUUUUGAGUGCUCGAUUUCGUAUGUGUGGAGACUACUGUCUCUGUUCUCUUCUACUUUGCCGUUAGGUGCACUUGUUUGAUCAUUACUUUUUCUAAUCGUGUAUUUAUAAAGACAAAUUGUAAGAAUAUAACCAUGUGAAAGUGUUCUUCACGGAAAAAAAAAACUAUUAAUGUCAUUUUAUACGCCAAAUCUUAGUACUACCUCCAUCCUUUAAUUUUUAUAAAUGUUGGUUAAUUAAGUUUAAUGUCAAACAAAAAAAACCCAGAGUACUCUUUUAUAUACCGAUUAUUAUUUAAAAAUUUGAGGUUUCUAGGUGUAUAUGUCCCAAAACGUCAUAUACUUCCCCGUUUUAAAAUCCAAGGAUUUUUAGGUGGUUUAGAAAAACUUCUUUUAGCAACUUUAGUCAAUUUUAAAAUUUUGAAUUGGUUAGAUUCCCUUUACAAGUAUGUGAUUGACUUUGGGGUUAUUGAAGUGAGGACUUAUGGAAAUCAGCGCAUAAAUUAAUUCUUGUAUUGUGAAAUUUGAGUGCUAAAUAUCCUUCCUAUAUUUUAGUACUAGAACAGAUGGAGUAUACUUUCUUCGUCACUCCUAUCUAAAGAUUAAGUUAUUUUGAGACGGAGAAAAUAUUUGAUAACGAAUGAUUGCUAUAUAUGACAUGUACUAUAUAGGAGCUCCUACAUAAUAAUCCUCGAGGAAUCUGUUCGUUCGGUCUUAUCAAGGAUGGGUCAUCUGAUUGGAAUCAAAUGGUCUAAACGAGGGUAGCUAGGCGUGAAGCUUGGAGCAAUCUUACGCCAUGUUUAAAAAUUUAAAUAAAUCAAAACACAUGAAUUCCACACGAAAUCAACUUCAUUUUUCACGGAACCAAAACAAACAAAGAUUACCAUUAAUUCCUGAAAACGAGCACCGGGUGGCAAGUAUAAAUAAAUAUACACGGGGAAAUCACCACACAACUACCUCCCCACACGGCGUGGGGUGCACUUGAGUCUGUUGCUUCGAGUUAAGCCCUAGAGAGCUAGCUACAAAGCGAGAAACAUAUGCAUUGCAUCGGAAACUUGACCUAUCUACAAUUCUACAUGUAUUUCCUGAUCUCCUCUCGUCUGUUAGCUAGAUAGGUCGUCCUUAGCACAGUGCAGCUAGCUACACGUAGCACCGGGGUUCACUAUUUUGGAAUGCACAAACAUUUCUCGGAGACCGAAAUCUCACAAAAUAAUUUGAUAUUUGAACAAAUCUUCGCUUAGUUCAGAAACAAUUGCAGAGUAUUUUGACAUCCUACCAGGCCAGAACCCACCAGUAAAAAAGAAAUUUUCGGAAAAAGAUCAGGUCAAAAAUCCUGAACUUUGGGGAAAGCACUGAUCGUGUGAUGGUGGAGAUGUGCAACGGGGUUUAAAUUUUGGUGGCCACGAAUAUUAUGCACACGCAAGUGGAUUUCUGAUGGAAAUAUAGUGACAUCAGGGAUGUUCGUUGGUUUUUAUCUCUUUGAGCAUGUGCACGAGGGUGUAUUCGUGAGUGUGAGUGGUGUAGCGUGUGUGGUGGUGUGUGUCUGCCAUGUAAUCGUAAAAAAAAAUUCAUAACUCUGUAUCCCAAAUUAGCUAGAAAAUCGUGCAAUAUACUAUUAUAUAUAGCGAUGUACUAUCUUUACCGUAAAGUACAACGAUUUAGACAAACCCUAGCAUGUGUUUGAUUUAGUGGAUGGGAUGGAUCGGAUUAAUUGGGUCGAACUUAUUUUUCAGAGUGUUUACGUUUAGAAUAAAUGGGAUGGUUGAUCCUAUAAGGAGAAUGCUCAGCAAGAUCCGGGUCAACUUCACACCUUAAAAACUGAUCGAUCCAACUCACUUCAUUUCUCUCUCACUAAUAUACAGGUCACACCUUCCCGUCCCUCGUAAAAACAGAACCACUCUAUCUCUCAUACCAACCAGAUAGUGUGAUCAUCCUGCCAAGAGAAAAUAUAUCCUAUCAAGAGAAAAUAUAUGGAUGAGUCUAAUUCACAUCUAACCUCAAUCACAAACCAAACGCUACUAAUUAACUUAGAUUUUUAUUAGGACGCGGAGGUUGUAUCAUGCUGGGCUUGUGAAUGCGUGGACCAACCGACGGAUCGAGACACAUACACAGGCGGGCGAGGUCACGGUCGCGAUCAACGAUCGUGGCGCGAGGCAAGGCAAACAGGUACAGGUGCACGUACGACCUCCACACAGUGAUUCGAUUAGAUAUGCCAUUCAGUUUCUGUUGCAGGCCAUGGAGGUCAGGUGAGCUCAACUCAGAAUAUGAAUAUGGCCUGGUUUAGUUCCCAACUUUUUCUUCAAACUUUCAACUUUUUCAUCACAUCAAAACUUUCCUAUACACACAAACUUUCAACUUUUCCGUCACAUCGUUCCAAUUUUAGCGUGAACUAAACACACCCUAUAUAUGGUACUCCAUCCGUCGCAUUAUAAGUUUUCAUGUCCAACGUAUUUAACCGUCCGUUUUAUUUAAAAAUUUUAUGAAAAAAUUUUAAAAGUUAAGUUACGCAUAAAGUACUAUUCAUAUUUUAUCAUCUAAUAACAAUAAAAAUACUAAUAAUAAAAAUAUUUUAAAUAAAACGGAUGGUCAAAGUUAGAUAUUGAUACCCACAUUAUGGGACGGAGGGAGUACUGCUAGUCCACAAUAUGCAACCUUAGCUUUGACAACAAAUCAUGUGCCCCCCUAGUACAAGGGAUCAGGGCCCCAACUUGCACAUGCAUUGCUUUUCUCUUUCUUUUUUUUUCCUGUUUUUAUUUAUUUAUUUUGAAGAGGAGGGGUAGCUAGGCAUCUGAUCUGGAGUAGCAAGGAAAAGGGGAGAAAAUGAUGGGGAAAAUAAAGAUGGUGGGCAGGGGAGGGUGAGGAUGGGUUGAGUUAGAUUCUCACCAAGAUAGUAGUCAUCAUUUGUGUCAAAAGGGAUCAUCCAACUUGUGAGUUGGAUGGGAAUUCCUUCUUUUGUUUUGGUUUUGGGAGUGACGAUCAGAACAAGAAUAUUUGUAAGUUCGAUGCCAAUUUGCCGAUGGUUGGGGGAAGCACAUGAGCAUAAAUAAUGUUAUGCUAUUUUCGGUUCUUUCAAUUUACUAAGGUGCGAGAAUCGGACACGUCUCAUCGUUUCGCUAUAAUUAUGCUCAUCUAUAGUAGCACUUCAAAAAUGAUUUAUGGAUAAAACUUCCAUAAAUAUGUUUCUAGUAAUGCAAAAGUAAAUAUUUUAAAAAAGACUGUAAUAAAAAAAAUCAUAAAAUCAACUUUAAAAUUAAGUUUUAAAAUUUAGAUUUUGACUUAUAAACAAAAGCAUAAGUGAAACGAUAGGAUUGUUCGUAACCACUUUACAAACGUGUCAGAUUUGCCCAAAUAGGUGUGGUGGGGCUACUCUAUGGGCUUCUUUAGCUUAUAACCUCUCUUUUUUCCCCAAACAUUUCCUAGUCUUAUUUAACUUUCUUGCAUCCUCCAUUAGGCUACCGUGAUGAGGUAUUUUAAGUAGAUAACCAAAGUGUAUGCGUUGUUGGGGUUGAUGGGAUCAAUAAUAGAGUCAUAGAAUUGUGCAAAUUUUAGAGGGAAUGGAACCCUAUCACCACCAUGUCUAUAUAUAUAGACAUUCUGGCAUAGUUAGGCAUUUCCUUUUAUUUCUACUACACCACUUUUUAUCCCUUUCACCUCUCAUCAUCCCAAUUCCCUGUCCCAUUGAAUAGCUAGGCUGAAAGCAGAAGCGAUUCCAUUGGCACCAAUUAAUGGAAGCAAUUUUCUUAACUUGCAUCUUUCUGUAGGUCCCACCUAUACAUUAGAUGUUAUCGUGUGACCGUACGGUCUUUGCAUACACAUGACUAGUUGAUGGUAUCUUAAAGCACAAGGAUUUAAUUAAACAUUUUUUUCAGGUUCCUUCAGAGUCACAAGGCAUUAAGAAGGGUGGAGAGAUCAGCAGAUUAGCUAGUGUGGGGAGCAAUGUUGGUUACUACUAGCAGGCCACCAAUCUCUGCAACCAUGCAUGAAAAGGUGGAUAGGAUAAGUGGUGUUGUCCAUGAUUUUGCCCACAAAGAAUGCUAUGCCUCUACAUUUGGCACACAUUGCUUGGUAUAAAAUCAUGGGAUAAUCUUUUGGCUUCAAUUAGUAGGCCCCAAUAAUAUAAUGCAUGCAUGCUUGGUAGAUCCAAAAGGCUAAUAAUAGCAUAUGGACAUGAGAACAAAUAUGUGCCAUCCUUGUUGGGUGUUGUUUCUGUUCUGGCUUCCAAGGAGGAAUAAUUUAAGUCCCAUGUGUAAUGAUGUAGAAGCUAGUACUAAAGGAUCAAGUGGUGGCAUGAACUGUAGUACUACUAUGUGUAGGAACAAAAAGAUAUUUCUUUCUUUUCUUUUGUGGAUGAAAAUUCCCUCCAUCAAACCUUUUCUUUUGUCAAAACGAUGUUCCAUCUCUUUCCUUUCACCCAUAUUCACGUUUUUUUUAGAACAACCCAUAUUCACCUUUGAGAUAGCUAAUAUAGAAACUGUCACUUCUAGUUGCAUUAGGUUUUAGAUGUGACACCCUUAUUAGAAAAACCAUUGUUGUCAUUAACAUUAGGUGAAUUUGAAUUUGCUUUGUGAAAGCUACCCACCUACAAAUGCCAUGCAUGAAUAAUUCCAAUGGUUGAAUAAUAACUAUUGGCUUUUUCAUGCUUGCAUUUUUCCUAACGCAUUUUUGUGCUUCGAAAAAGUUUAUUUCGACAUGAAAAAGCAGUCUAUAAGCCAUCAUACGACGAAUCAAAAGGAGACUAAAAUUUGGGUUCCUAGCAGCAGUGCCGUGAAAUUGCAUGCAUGAUCUUAGUACAUCCAAAAAAUAGAUUAUAAGAUAUCAAAAUCCAUAUUAUAAAUUUAAUACACACAGAAUAUAUAUAUAUAUAGAGAGAGAGAUACAGUAUAUAAUAAGAGUACAAUUCAAUGCCUUAAAAAAUUGCCACUGCUUGGGGUAUACAUCUGAUCCUUCCUUUUUCUUUAUUCUAUUUUUGAAGCUAUCGAGUAUCAAAUAUUCUACAUAUAUAUUGCGCAUUGGCAUAUAUAAUGGCCGAAUCUCCCUUGUCCCAAUCGAUCACACGUGAACCAGUGAAUUUUUUUUAGGAACAAAUUAAGAUUUUUAUUAGCACUGAUGAUGUGGUGGCUAACUCGAUAGUUCACCUUUUUGCCUUCUUUUGCUUUGACAAUUAAUAUUGUUAGAUAAAUGGAGGAAUCACCUUUUUACUCCUUUAAUUAGUUGACUAAAGUGAAGGGGACACAAGAGAGACAUUUUAUUGUAUGCAAUGUGUGAGCAUGACUACCCUGAAAUGAAUAGUACUAUAUAUCUUUCUUCUUACACAUGGGUGAUGUAUGACAGUUAACCACAUCCCAAUAAUCUAUUCUAGCUCAAUUAAUUAGAAGUAGUAAUCAAUCAAUUGAAGGAGUUUACUAGUAAAUCACAAGGCUCCAUGCUAAUCAGGACAAAUGUACUUGGACUCAAGGACACUGGACAAUGACUGGAUGGAACCUAGAUGAGCCUCCAUGAAGGUGACAGAGAGAAAAGGACGGCGUCCUAUCCACGUACUGUGCCCUGUGUGGCUGUAGCACAUCUAUCGUAUCAAUUCUACCGGUGUCGAAUCGAUCUUUAAUUUUUAUAGAGGUAUUACUACUGAUUUAUUCAUGAUAUGGAUUGAUAUUACGUUUAGUCAAAAACAUUUUCAAUUCUGCAAAAUGAAGCAUAACAAAAACACUUGUACUUUUGUGUGUGUGUGUGUGUUUGCUUGAGAGAAAAUGAAAGACAACCGAUAUGACAUCUGGUGUGCUAACCACUCUGGUGGACACACGACAUGAAAGAAUCAGAGGGGAAAUGAGAGGACAGUAUAGUGCUGGCAUUCACUCUCACCCUGACAAAAAACCUUGUAUCAGCUCAGUGAAUCCAAUCAAACUAUAUUGAUAUAUUUUCAAAAAAAUGUUGUUGAGACAUGAGAUAUUGAAUUUGAUAUAUAAAGCUGCCAUGUUAUUUUUUUUAUAAAAAAAAAGUGUGCCGCCAAGCUGAUUGUGAAGCCAUCGCCCAACCAUUAUCUUUAUUGCACUUUGUAUGCCUCAACAAGCUUACGAGUUUCUUACGCAUCUAUGCACAAUAAAUACAAUAAAAUUCAUUAAUUUGUUAUUUGAAGAAAGAUAUGAUCUCAUUUAUGUCAACAUGCAUAGCCAUAUACCUACAUCAUUAUCUGAAAAAUAGCCAUAUACCUACAUUGCCAUCCGGCAUGUACCAAUCUAUAGCUAAGACUAUCCUCUCUGUGCACACCCUUUUUUUCAAGUGUCUAUACGCAUACCCACAUGAGGCAUCUAUGUGUAUAUGGUCAGCAUUGGUGCUAGUACCGAAUAAAAACUUUAUAUCAUCACCUACAUGAUAAGGAUAAAGAGUUCUGUUUUAUGAAGCCCCUCUUAAAGUAUAUGCAUUAUAUUCUCAACCCCUUUUUUUCUUUUUUUCAAUUUUAGUAUACAUGGACAACUGAAAAAUACCGAAAUUUGAAUUUACUACGAGAAAGAGAGGACAUAGACAUAUUCCAAAAAAUAGGUGGUAAUUGGCUAGGAAUGGACAGAUUGUGACACGAUUACGAUAUCUCACCAAUUGGGCUAUGGAUUCAUCUACCUAUUCGGUAUGGUACUAUAUGUUGACAUAUUCAUACCGUGAACGAUGGUCUUAUAUAUUCAUUCAUUCUACCUGCAAAUCUGACUUUAUAUUAUAUGGUUUUAUAUUGCUCCCUCCUAAAAUAAAAUAUAAUUAUUUCUAACUACGAAAAGACAUGGAGGGAGUAUAUAGUUAAUUAGUUGGUUAAAUCUCAAAUUUUACAUAUGGGCUAGGUAGUUUAUUUUUCGAUAAACUAUACAGUUUCUACUUUAUAGUUUUUUUUUCAUGGACGAUUAUUUCCAAUAAACCAAGAUUUUUGAAAAUAGCAAUAUCCUAGUCAAAAAUGAAAAAAAAAUAUUGUUUCAUUCCAUACAUUAUAUUUGUAUGAUUUAAAUUCUUCCAAGAUUCGUGUAAUAUUUUUUUUCUUUUUGUCCUUGAGUCCCACCUCCCUCAACGUCAUCAUCAUAAUAGUUGUCCCACGCUGGAGCAUUUUGGCAAGACCCUUUCUCUUCGCCUUUGACGUUGUCGUCUCACUUCUUCAUUAGGUGGACUCGCCUCUCAAUCUCCUCUUCUAGCCUCCAUGAUUAUGAUGACCUCUCCUCCCACACAUACUAACACAACGCUCACCACAUCACACUUCCUGACAUAUAUAAUCAAUAUGCUUCUGGCCUAGUCACCACCACCGCUUUCGCAUCGUUGAGUAAGAAUCCUCGGCCAUUAUCCCUUGUCUUUUCCUCGCCUUCUUUGUCAGCAUGGGCGGCUCAAGAUAGAACGGAAUGUCCCAACCAUUGGAUUGAGAUCCAAUAUAUAUAUAUAUAUAUAUAUAUAUAGCAAAACCAAAAUAAAAUAUCAUCGCACAAGUGUUUUUUUCUCUUUUGCUAAUGUCAAUAAUCUUUUGUCAAAUCUGAUAUGCCCACCAUAGCAAAAACAAGGAAAGAAAAACUUGUGUGAUGACAUUCUGCGCAAUCCCACCCUCGUCGAUGACAAUUCGCACAAUUGACUUUUUGUCAAUAGUGAAACAUAUAUUUUCUUGAAAGGAAAUAAUCAAUAGCAGCCAAAAACAAUGUAACAAACCGCCCUCCAAAUCGAGUUGGCCAGCCAACCGAACGCUAUUGCGGCUCUUUCUUGCGUCCUCCCCGUGGAUCGCAAAGGUGGCAUGCUCCUGAUAGAGAGCAGCAGCGUGCGUGACACGUACUUUAUGAAUAGCGCGUGUCCGUUGGAUGGAUGCACCGAGCAUCCCCGUGCGGUGCGGCCCGUUGGUCCUCACUCUCUAUCUAUCAAUAAGUACUCUAGCUAUGUACACAUCUUGUGUAUCGUCAUGCUUUGCUAACUUCUAGAAACGAAAUCUGCCUUGUUUUCUUCUCUCUUUUUUUUCCUAGCUAGAUCGAUCUAUCGAUUGUGCUACACUUCCUCCGUCCUAAAAUAAGUUUUUUUUCACCCAUCCCAUACAUAUCAGUACAAAAUAAAAAAAACUAAAAUAACCUCACCUUAUCAAAUGCCAAUACAAUUACUCAUUUCUUUAUCUACUUCCAAUGUAUUUAUAGCCUGCUUUCACAAACUUCGCUAUAAUAAUUGCUAAAAUAAACUUAUGUUAAGAUAAAUGGGAGAGAUAAAAAAAAUAAACUUAUUCUAAUAGAGGGAGUAGCUAACUCCAUACUUUUACUUAUCGAUCUGUGUGUCUGAUCAGCAACUUCGUUUUCUUUGCUAACGGGGGAGAUCAUAUAUAGCUAACCGGGCAGGUCAUAAAUGAUCUCGGUUGUCUCUUCUCACCAUGUUUAUUGUCUUUUUGUUACUUUUUUUUCGUUGGGCAUUUGGUCAUCGUAGGAUGUAUGAACAACUGAUCCAAGCAUGUAACAUAUCCACCAUGCUUGCUUGCUUUUUUUUUUGUUGAGUGUACGGUUGCUAAACCAAAUAUACGUUGUAUAGUUCAUUAAAUUGGGGGUACUAGACUAGAUGAGAGUAGAGAUUGAUACCCGUGCAAUGUCAUCAUCGAGCUAUAUAUUGCCGCUGUAUUGCUAGCUAUUAAAUAACCUUUAUUAUGAGUUUGUUAUUUCGCUAGCUAGUAUAACAUACAAAUGGUUUAAUUGGUAUUUUCUCGAGGAAAACCAAAGUUCUAUAUUUAUUUCGACGAAAACGUUAAGUUUUAUAAUAGAUGCUGCCUUUCUAACAUUGCUAUUUAAAUCAUUUUAUCAGCUCAUCUAAAACUUAUAAUAAAACCAAUAAGGUUUUACAUGCCUAAUGUUCCUACUUUCUAGUUUGAUAUUCUCCAAUCUAUGACGCGACGCGAUAUGGUCGGUGUUGGGUGAUCGAUACUAUUCUGUUUUGGCGUCAAUUUUCACCAACUAUAGCUUGAUUAAUUAUUUAUCUUUAUCUCUUCCCAUUUAAGUUAAGACAGCAAUUGCAUGCAACUUCACAACGAAGAAAGCAUGCGCGAGCUAGCUAGGAGGAUUUGCACAUUAAGUUUUUACACCAAAUAUAGAGACGAUAUAUAUUUGGAUCAUCAAUUAAUUUCCGCAAAAACUUUAGGCAAGACACAUGCAUGAACGGACGCUUUCCUCACCAAAAAUUAUGGCCUCGUUAUUUAUUAUUUUCCCUUCCUGCUAAUUUUGACCCCUUUAUAUGCGUUACUCCCUCUGAUGUAUGACAAAUUUUUUCGUUUGUUUAUCAGUUGAAAAAUAUUUUGCAAUUAAAAUUAUUUAAAAGGUGUCGCAAUGUAACAACAUAUACUUUUUUUAAUGGAUGCAAUACACCUCUUUUAAAUAAUUUUGUCUUUCCAUACCUUGCUUUUUGAAUUUUUUUUUCUUAAUCCAAUUAGUACAGGUGUACAACUAGAAUGCAAUUGUCUAUAGUUAUGAAACUUUAGCUGUAUUUUGGAUUCUCUACAGUAACAUUAAUAUGAGUCCGCUACCGUAUUUUAAUGCAAGAAAUAGCGCCCAUUGUAUUUGUAUCCUGUACAGCUGGCUCAGAUAAACCAAACGCUUGUCACUUUAAAGCAAAUCACUACCCUUGAUAAAAAAAACUUCCAUGUUGUUUUUGACACUUUUCAAGUCAAACUUUAAAAUUAUAUAUAUUCACAUCUAUAUGUUUUUAUAUUUAGAUUGGGCAUAUGAAUUUAAUAUGCAUAUAUGCUAUAUUUUCUUAUAAUAGUUUUUUUUAUAACACCAUGGUUUGUCAGUUGAAAACAUUUAGUAAUACAAAUUAGCCACUAAAAUUAUUUUAAAGACAAUGUCGUUGCUCACAAGUGGGAAACAUGUUUUUUUAAUGGAGGUGGUACACCAUUUUUAAAAGUAUACUUUUGCCUUUCGAUACCUUAAUUCUCGAUAUUUUUUCUUUUCACUCCCAUUCGCUUAUGAACAUAUAGUGGAAUAUAAUUGGAAUAUAAUUAUAUGUAGCUAUGAAACUUUAGAUGUAUCGGGAUUCUCCGCAAUAACAUUAAUAUGUAUGCGAUAAUGUAUUUUAAUGCAUGAAGUAGUGUAUAGCGGAUUUGUAUCCCGUACAGCUGGUCCAGAUUAACCAAACGUAUAUCUCUUUAAAGCAAAUUUACUGCCUCCGAUACGAAACGUUUUAUUUUUGGACACUUUUCAUGUCAAACUUUAAUAAUCCGUAUCUUUUGGAAUUUUUAGAUUUGAUAUAUGCAUCAAUACAGGUUGCCUCAAAUACUAAUUUCACAGUAUUCUAAUUCUUUGAGUUCUAAAAUAUUUUGCAAUAGAAAUUAGCGAUAUAAUCAUCAUAUUUUAAAGACAAUAUCUACAUAUAAAAACAAUGUGAUUUAAUGGAUACAAGAAGUGUUAAAAUUAAGAAAUCUAUUUUUUACUCCUUAGAAAAAAAAAUCUCUUUUCAUCCUCUCUACAUUGCCUACCCGGGUCUCCAUAAUUGAGUGAAAACCGCACCGGUCAAUUAAGAAAGAAAUAUAAAAAUUGGAGAUCUCCUGGAAAAAGGAGAAAGGUUUAAUGAAUUUUAUUUACUCCAGGCGGUUUUUUUUCCUUCUUAUUCUGUUUCUGGUUGCUUUCUCACUCUAGGCAGCCAACCUGACCACCAUAAAUACUUCUCUCCCUUCUCUGCAAUCGCCUCAUUUGUUGCCUAGCUAAUUCGCGUCAUUCAUCUCCUCCUCCUUAUAUUAGGCGCGCACCGCACGCGUGCUCAUCCCGAUCGCCAUGGCCGUCGACGCGCACCACCUGCACCGCCUCCCACCACCGAUCCAGCCUGCUGAAUCCAUGUUCUCGCCGAGGCAGCCUUGUUUCGGCGCCGCCGCCGGCGAGGUUGUCGUCGGCGGCGCCGGUGGCGCGGUGAUGGCGGGGCUUUGCCAGGAGGAGCAGCUGGUGCAGGGGUACCGCCAGGUGUUUGUUGGAGGUGGUGGGGUGAGGCAGCCGGCGGCGGCGGAGGUGAUGAGGCAGUACUCGCAGGUGUGCGCGGCGGCGGCGGACGCGGCGGAGAGCGGCGUCACGUUCGGCGGCGGGCAGGAGGCGGCGGCGCCGAGGAAGAGGAAGCGCGCCGAGGUGCCGGUGGUUCUUGGCGCCGCGGGCGACGUGGCCGUGGCGGCGCAGGCUCGCCAGCAGCUGGUCGACGUCGACCGCCUCGUGCUCCACCAUGUAAGUUGGUUUUUCUCCUUCCGGCGCGACGCGCUCGCCGCCAUGCGCAUGCAUGUUGCUGAUCCCGUGGCGAUGCGUGCAGGCGGCGAAGAUGUGGGCGGAGCUUGCGGAGCAGAGGGGGAGGCACGCGAGGCAGAUGGUGGCCACCGUGGAGGCCGCGGCGGCGAGGCGGCUGAGGGCCAAGGACGAGGAGAUCGAGCGGAUCGGUCGCCUCAACUGGGCGCUCGAGGAGCGCCUCAAGGGCAUGUACGUCGAGGCGCAGGUGUGGCGCGACCUCGCGCAGUCCAACGAGGCCACCGCCAACGCCCUCCGCGGCGAGCUCGAGCACGUCCUCGACGCCCACGCGCGCCGCGGCGCCGACCACGGCGACGGCGACGACGCCGAGUCCUGCUGCUACGGCGAGAACGACGUGCUCGCGCGCGCCGCCGGCGACGGCGAGGCGGCGUCGGCCGAGCGGCGCUGCAAGGGGUGCGGCGAGGCGGCGGCCGUGGUGCUGCUCCUGCCGUGCCGGCACCUGUGCGCGUGCGCGCCGUGCGCGGCGGCGGCGGCGGCGUGCCCGGCGUGCGGGUGCGCCAAGAAUGGCAGCGUCAGCGUCAACUUUUCGUGAGCGAUGGCGGAGGGAAAGGAGUAAUAGCAAUUAGACUAGAUUUUUUUUCUUUUCUUUUCUUUUUUUUCUCUCUCUCCUCCGUUUUUUUUCUUUUCUGUUUUGGUUUAGCUGAUGGGGAUAAUAGGGCGAUAUGGUCUAAUGAUGUGGAUAUGAGGGGAUGAGUUUUCCUUUUUUGUGUUGGAUCAAUUUGAUCAACAAGGAAAAAAAACAUAGGAAUUUGGUAACCUUCAAAUCAAAAUUGUUGCUUCGAUUUUCUAGCUUCCUUAAUUAAUUAUAUUUUUUAGUUUAUUUUCAUGAUAUAUAUAUACAUGACAUUAGAAAUGACUGAUCAGCUGCAUGCACGGGAUACUUGUGUUUUUUUUUCUUUACAAUAUUUUCAAACUCGAAUUUGAUCCGCAACCAAACUGCUAGAUGAAAAAUCCUUUGACAUUUAUACUUCGUCUAUCUUCCAAGAAGAAAGAAGUCUGACGAAUCAUAGACAUCGUACCAUGUGCCUCUCUUUUGUCAUCAUGGUGGUUGGCUGUAACUUAUUCGCUUACGUCUAAUAUACAAAAAAUAUAUCUUUAACAUUUUUAACUUUGUUUUUUCUCAUGCAAUGCAAGCAUGCAACCAUUUUAGUUUUACCUGAAAACUCUGCAUUUAUACGCGUACAUUACGCUAAUCUGCAUGCGGUCGUUUUACUUGAUGCCAAUUUGUUUUUUCUUCAGACUCCAGAGACCAGGGCUUUAAAUUUUAAUAUAUUUUGCUCGGAUUUCCGCGUUUAAUUAAUUAGUCGUUUCCCGGCCGGUGUAUUUACUGCAAACCGCGUGGCACAAUGGUAGUAAGAGAGACUUUUUUUUCACGAACACGUGCAGUAUAAUACGACAGUCGUAAAAUAUAGUAUAACACAUAUAUUGAUGUAUAUGUGAUCGGUCAUGAUCAGAUCAUGCAAGAAGAAGCAAUCAAUCAAAGAAUCAAAGGAAAUGAUCUGAUCGACUACUGCUGGUAUUAAAUAUAUACUACUGUGCAUAUAUAUAUAUAUAUACGCAGAUCGAGCGAGCUAGCAUUUGUAGCGUCAAUUUCACGUGACACGUAUGUUGGAUUCAUACAUUUUACUAGAAUAGAGAUAUGUUUAAUUAAUUUGAUACUAGCUAUUUUGAUAGCAAGUAGAGAAGAAGAUGAAGAGAUCUAAGUCGCCGAUCGACACGCACGACAGAUCGAUCGAGAAGAGAAAAGAAUAGAAGAGACGAAGGAAGAAGCAGGGAUGCAUGGGCUUGAAUACAUACACAUAAAUAUGUGUAUACAUGACACUAUUAUAGAAAUGAUUUUUUUAUACGAGAUCCCCGUUAGGUUGCAACGGUAGUUAACGUAGCAAAGGUAUAGCUGAAGUAGAAAUAUAGAGCCUGGCUGGCAGUGGCCCCCUGUAUACUGUACCAGCUUAAUUAGCUGAUGCAGAGUUUUGUUUAGAGAAGCGUAGUUUUUUACCGGCCUCUACAUCCAUCUGAUUGCAGAGAUAAGUGCUUUGCAAAUUGCAGUAGCUUAUAUUAUCUGCAGAUCGAUCGACACAUAGCAUGCAUCAGCAGCAGCAGAUCGAUCGAUCGGUCACCAGCGUAGCAGCAGGUGACAGACAGACAACAUACACAAUCAGAUUCAGAUCGAUAUCUCUACGUACACAGCAGUAGUAACAAUAAGGAAACAACAAUGCAAGUACGAAUUGCACAUUAUUAUUCACUAACACAUCUAUGAUUGGACGCAGAUGUAGUACAUGCCUCGGUAGUGCUACCUCCAUCCAAAAAGAAUACAAUUUUCAUGUUUAACAUUUAUUUGAUUGUUCAUUUUAUUUCAAUUUUUUAUAUGAUUAGUAUUUUUAUUAUUAUUAGAUGAUAAAAUAUAAAUAGUAUUUUAUGUGUGACUAAUUUUCUUAUUUUCUUUUUAUAAAUUUUUUAAAUAAAACGGACGGUUAAAAGUUGAACACGGUACGACGGAGGUAGUAAUUUGGUUCGCCGCCGUACGUACAGUACAUGUGGAGUCUAUAUAUCUCGUAUAUAUACGUGUCGUCGUAAGAGCGCGUGUUGAUGGGAAAGGUCGUCGUCGACUGGCCGGCCAAGGUACGUACCUAGCCUAGCAAUUUGUUAGAUCGUGGGUUUUGGAUCGGCGUUGCAUGGGCAGUACAGGUGCAUAGGGGGUUAGAUUACACCGCCCGACGAUUGGGACUGAUCAGAUCAAAUUAAACCGCUCGGUUUCCAUGGUAUAUAUACGUACUCAGUUGACUAAAACGGAUGGUGGUAUCGAUGCGAAUGAUCGGAAGAAUUUCUCACAUGAUUCGAUAUAGUUCGGUCGGAUAAUACAACAAAAUUCGAGUACAAAACGAUGAUCACCUAGUCGUAAGAUUUCUCGGACAUUCAUCGUGAUAAAUUUAAUAAUGUAACAUGGGUUUACGAUAGUGGAUCACAUGCCGACAUGCGUCUAUAUUAACGUACGUGUGUGCAUCGCUCGCUUGCUCGGUCAGAUUUGGAUUCAUGUUUAAGCUUGUUUUAAAAAUUUUAAAAAUUGGGAUAGAUAUGAUAUACAUGCAUGGCACACACGUUUUUUUUUAUAAUUUUACUUCCAUUUCUUUCUUCGCUCUUCAAUUAAUCUAAAAACAUCAUGUUCUUGAUUUUCAAAUCUAAAAACACUAUGUUCUUUACUUCUCUUAGACUGUUGUCGCCUCACCUUUAGCUCACUCGUUGCUCCAGGCAGUCCUUAAGCUUGCAUUUGCAAUUGUGCCGUCAUACUAUACUCAUCCAUGGCUGCAGCAAAGAGUUCUGUGACCACCGCAUCUAUUAUAUACGUUAGACAGUCUAACGCCACCGCCAUUGCUACUCCCAAGCUCGGGUUUUAAGGUAAUGAUCAAUAGGAUUUUGCAUGAUUCAAUGGAAUUAUUCAAACGAUAUAACUGUGACAACCAUGUGGUUUUUGAAAUUUUAUCAAGGUUAAACACCAAGCCUCUGAUAGGUUUUUUGACGGUUAGAUCAUAUGUGCUUGAGAUAACUGGUUAAUGCACGAUAUGUUUGCAUCGAUUAGUAGAUUAUAGAUUAUUCUUUAUAUGUUAUUAUAGUGUAAAUUUAUAUUAGAAUUAUAUUUGUGUUUACUCGAUGAGUUUUCUUUGGGGCAAUCGGGGUGCUAUUGUUUUAUUUUUCUAAUUAACUCAUGUACUUCCUUUUUUUAAAAAAAAAAGCUUGGAAGAACUUUUGCCGAUCAAGGGCGGAUGCACGAAAAAAAUUAAAGGGACUAAACAUACUAGGGGUGGUAAGAUGAUAACAAAUUGUCUUUUAUGAAAAAUAAAAUAAAAGAGGGCCAAAGCGGGCAAACCGGGAGGGGAUGCUUUAGCCCACAUAUUGGAUCCGCCUCUGAAAAAAAAAAGAAUCAGAUGCAUUGCUUACAUCCUUUCAUGAUAAAGUACACCCUUGUUGAUGUAUAGGUUGGGUUUUAAUCAAUUAUUACAAAAAUAUCCCAAUAAAAAGAAAAGAGCUCUUCAAUAAACCCCUUAUUAUAGGAGUCAUGAUGUUUGCUUCUAUUGUGCCAGCUGUGGCUCACUAGACAAAGAAGAUAUUCUUGGAAACACUCCCCUAGCUGGAGUACUGCAAUUGUGGUAUGGUUUUCUGGAACAACCUCUCUCCAGAAUAUUCAGCAAUGUUAAGAAUGGAGACAUUUAACUAUUUGACACUUUUAGAUAUGGCGUUUAAUAUUUUGUCACAUAAGCCUAUGUAUCAUAUACGUGUAAGGGUCCACAUGUUAUAGACAUGUGAAUAAUAAAUUUUAAAUACAACAUCUAAAAGUGGCAAAUAGUUAAAUGCAUCAGAAUUAAAGAUGUGAUUCUUUAUUGAAAAUUUUGCCCUCUUGUUUUCCUUUCAGUGGUGGUACCUAGUGCAAAUUAUCAUGUUCAAGAGCUACUCCCAUCCGUCAUAGAUAUUUGGUAUUACUCACUGACAUAUACAUUAAACCUCAUCCUCCUACCGGCCGAUAUGCUAGUCACGCACCACUAAAGCGGUAGAUGUGAGAAGCCUUCUCUCUUUUAAGUUUUUAGUCAUCUUGCGCAUGCUACAUCUUGUGAUGCCUGCCCCGUACGUGUGUGGGCUGUUGCGGCGGGGCUCUUUUGUUGGCUAGUAGUAGGUAGUAUAGCCUAGUAGUGUGAACAGGUGCCGUCAAAUCUGAUAUCAUCAUAUCAUCUCGAUCAUCAGACCCGUGUGUAUCGCAUGUUUCUUAUCAUCGGUAACACGAGUGAUAAGGAGAAAGACCAUAAUAUACGUGUCCCAUCUACUAACUCAACGAGUAAAUCUUGGUCAAACUGCCACAUCAAAAGAAACCAUUUUCCAAACCACACCGUUUUUCGAAGAUAGGAAAUGUGUUAUAUCUGGUUUUACAAUUAAGGGAAGCAAUUCAACCUGGAGUAAGAAAUGAGGGACACAAUAGACUUAUUCCUAAAGGAAUAAGUUCACCGGAAGUCCCUCAACUUAACAACGAGAUUUUUCAAGGUCCUUUAAUCAUAAAACAAAAAAUGUGUACCCCUAAACUCACACAAACCAUGCAGUAUAUAUGGGUGGUUUCGCUGACAUGGCAUCCUAGUCAGCAAAAAAAAUAAAAAAAAGUACGUGGGGCACACAUGUCAGCUGCACAUCUAUUUUUCUUCUCUUUUCUUCUGCUUCUCUUCACUUUUCUCUCCGGCGGCCGGCGGGCAGAGCGGCGAUGGGCGAGUGGUGGGCGAGCACGGCGGCAACCGCCGUGCUCCUGCUGUUGGGCACGUCGAGGGCGAGGAACCCGGCGCGCCACUCGUCCUGCCUCGCUCGUCGUCGAGCGCAUGCUGCAGGGGUGACGGCCGAAGCACCUCUCUCGGCAUGGCAGGCGCCGCCGCGUCGCACCCCCUAGCCACAGCAGCGCCGUGGAAGCUCCGCUACUGCGGCGACGAGAACCGGGAGGACGCGGACGUGGACGCUAGGGGUGGGCAGAAAAAAACCGAACCGAAAGAUCGAACAGAAAAGACCGAGACCGAGAAAUUCGGUCAUCAAUUCGGUUCUAGAUAGUGAAAGACCGAAUUUUGUUCGGUCAUUCGGUUAGUCUCCUCGGGUAACCGAAUAGACCGAAAAGACCGAAUUAUCAAAAAAAUGUCUAAAUGCAACCUACAAUCCACUAUGUUUAAUAGGAUUAAACUCUAAUUUUCACAUCCCUACUUCUUCUAGGCAUGCAACCUAAUAAGAGUCUUUACUCAUAAGUGCUUACGAUUUUUUUUGUGAUUUUUGUGUUGAAAAUUUCCAUUAUUUCUUUGUAUAUAUGAAAAUGUUGUUGAAUUUCGGUCAGGACCGAGACUGAGGCCGAAUUUGUCGGUCCUGACAUUUUUGCGCUGAAAUUCAGUCUUCACUUUUCAAAGACCGAAAGACCGAAGACCGAGACCAAAAUUUUCGGUUAAACCAAAUGCCCAGCCCUAGCGGACGCGGUGGCGCUCCUCGGUGACAGGUUCACCUACUCCAGUGGCCACAGCUGUUGCUCCGAUGGGUAGUCACGCACGCACCCGAUCCGUGGCCCGGUGUCAAUCGUCCACCGGAAGGAGAGUUGCUUCCCGAGCUGAUACGACCUCAUCCCCCUCUUGGAGUUGAUCCUCUCCAGGUUCUUCUCCCUCGGCACCGGCACCUGCUCGCCGACCCUCCUCCUCGGCUUUAGUGUUCUCAGCAACAGUAGCAACAACUGACGAUGAAUCUACCCUCCUCGUCACCGUUGGUUCGUCGCAGCCGUCGAUCUCUCCGAAGGUUGGUUCAGCGACUCGAGGCAUCUAGAAAUGGCCGGUUUCUUCAGCUUCAGCGGCUUGGUCUUCAGAGUUGUCGAUGGCAGUGCUUUUGGGGUAGCUCUCUUCACUUUUCUCGUCCUGCCUUGCCCGCCGUCGAGCGGCGGCGCCAGGUUCGUCGCCCUCGGCGCACCCAAAGACAACAGCACGGCGGCCGCCGCCACGCUCACCCGCCGCUCCGCCCACUGGUCGCCGAAGAGAAAAGUGAAGAGAAGGAGAAGAAAAGAGAAGAAAAAAAACAUGUGCAGCUAACCAUGUGGGCCCCAUGUACCAUUUUGUUUUGCUGACUAGGAUGCCACGUCAGCGAAAUCAUCCACAUAUACUACCAUAGGACCUUGAGUGCAUGGUUUGUGUGAGUUUAGAGGUACACAUUUCUGGUUUGGUGCUUAAGGGACCUCAAAAAAAAUCUCGCUGUUAAGUUGAUGGACCUUCGGUGAACUUAUUCCAAGAAUUUUUUUUUCAUUUUUAGAUUUUUUUUAAAUAUUUACAGAAAUAAUCUAUCGGCUAAAAAAAUUACAAAAAUAGACCCUGCCGCCCACCUCUGGGGCAGCAAGCUGACGUGGCAAACGGGGGAGGGACGAGCGGUGACGGAGGGAGGUUUUUUUGCAGGAAAACCCUUGCCGCCCCAAAAGAGGGCGGCAAGGGGCCCCAAUGCAAAAAAGCCAGUCGGGGCCGGCCAUUUUGCAGGCGGCCCCUUGCCGCCCUCUGGCCGAGCGGUAGGCCUCGCUGCCUAUAAAAGUCCUGUCGCCCGGCCCCCAGCCCUCAUUCCUCCCCCACAAAUCCACUGAAAAAAAAAGAAGAAAGGGGAGGAGAAGAGAAGAAGGGGCGAAGCCCUGCCAGAUUCAGACGCCGAUUUCAGGUAAUAUUCAUAAAUCCUAUAUGUGACUAUUGAGUUAAAUACUGUGUAUUUUUUAAAACUUUGUUUGAAUAAAUGCAUUAUAUUUUUAGGGUUUUAGUUGUACUAAUCUAGAAGUGCGUAUUGUAGAUAUCAGUAACUACGUAGAUCUGCUAGUUUGGAAUCAAUACUUUACCGUUGCAUUGGCAUACACAAGAAGAUAUUACGUUGUAGAUGUUUAUUGCAUGAAAGAGUAAUAUGAUCUAGUUAUUUCAUUGACAGAUAUGUCGAACAAACAAAUAUUCCAAGUUUACCAUGGCCCAGGAAAUGUCCGUUACGGGCCAACUGGGGUAGAUCUAUCAGAUUUUAUUGUAUCAAAAAGGGGAAUUGAUAGACCGGAUGAGAGGAGUGUAUCUUCUAUAAAAGGAUGGUUAAUGAGGGGCUUGAGAGUUGAUCCACAGACAAGUGACAUAACAAUCAAUGUUAUAGUAAGUCGGGCAACUGAGGGUUUUUAUUGGGAACUAAUGCCAGUUCAAAACUCUCGAGUGUGGAGAUGGUAUGUGGAAAAUGCAUUGCAACGCGGGUGGCCUCUAGGUAUGGUUCCGUUUGUUCACCCGAAGGAUCCAGGUGUGCAGAUGAACAUGGAUGAUGGCGAGGGACCAAGUGCUGAAGUAAAUGAGACUUCUGUGGAGGAGGUCAACGCACGAGAGGACAGGGGCGUAGUAGCUCCAGUGGGCAUUCAACCAGGUGGAGUGGCCGACGAGGGGGAGACUGUCGGUGCCAUUGUGGAUGAAAUGGAGAGGGAGGAUUCUGACAACGAGCGUGUAGAGGAAGGUGAUUCGUCAGAUGAUGAGACGGAUAUUAAUCCAGCAGAAUGGGCUAGUGAGGAUUUUUCUGGGCUGGUCGUCUCUGAAGAGGAUAGUGUGAUAUGGGAGUACAAAGAAAAUGAGGUUAUUCAGGGAGCGAUUUAUAGUAGAGCAGAAGAUAUGAAGGAGGCGGUAAAACAUUUUGUAGUGUCACUUCAUAGAGAGUUUUGGGUUGCCAAGUCCAACCGGUCACAAUAUGAAGUUCGGUGUGUUAAGGAAAAAGAUGGUUGUCCCUGGAGAGUGCACGCUUAUAAGGGGAAAUGGAAGGAUUAUUGGACAGUGUCAGUCGUUACCAAGCAUACAUGUUUUCUACCUGGUGUUCAGAAAUACCACAGGAACAUUACAUGUGCAUUUGUUGCAUCUGAGAUGUAUGCGCAUGUCAUCGAUAAUCUCACAUAUGAACCAAGGUCAAUAAUCCGACACAUCGAAGAGACAUACAAGUAUACUAUUAGCUAUGCCAAGGCCUGGAGGGCCAAACAGAAAAUAAUAGAGAUGAGAUUUGGAACUUACGAAGCCUCGUAUGACAAUUUGCCACGCCUGCUUGGUGUUAUCGAGGAAAGAAACCCUGGGAGCUCUUACGCAGUGAAGAAAUUCCCCUCAAUUGAACAUCCUGGCAAGAGUGUGCUGCAAAGGGCGUUCUUAGCUCUACAUGCAUGCAAGAUGGCAUUCGUGAACUCUCGUCCUGUUCUCUGCAUUGAUGAGACAUUCUUGACAGGAAAGUAUCGGGGCCAGAUACUAACAGCAAUAGGGGUAGAUGGGAACAAUCAGGUAUUGCCCAUGGCAUUUGCUUUUGUUGAGAGUGAGAAUACCGACAGCUGGUACCGGUUCCUGAAAUUGGUUAAAACAAAAGUUGUUGGUAUGAGGCCAAAUGUGUGCCUGAUACAUGACAGAAACGCUGGCAUUCUGCGAGCGAUAGAAGAGUUGCAGUUUGGGAGUAUGGAACGAGGAUACCCUGGUGAGUGGGAAGAUGUACAGAGUAAGUGGUGCAUGCGUCAUAUGGGAGCUAAUUUCUUCAAGCAAUUCAAGAACAAGGAGCUCAUGAACAUGUUCAAGAGGCUAUGCAUUCAGAACCAGGAGAAAAAAUUCAAUGAGCUUUGGAAGAGAUUAGAUGAGUUGACAGCCAAAUGCAGUGAUCAGCGUGCAGCGGCUCCAUCGACCGCCGUUGCUGACCCUCCUCAAGCUCUUGGACCUCUCCCAACGGAUAGUCCAACAUUGGUUAGAAGAACUGGAGUGGAGAUUCGGAAAUUUUCUCAGUGGAUUCUGCAUGAACCAAAAAAGAAAUGGGCCAAGGCGUAUGACACAGGUGGUGCUAGAUAUGGAAUAAUGACAACAAAUUUGGCAGAAGUAUACAACUGGGUGAUGCGCGGUGUCCGUGGACUGCCACUAGUUGGCAUAGUGGAGUUCAUUUUACAUGGGACAUGCAGGUAUUUUAGGAAUCGGUUCCAGGCAGUUCUUCCCUCUAUGCCGAACAACAGCAUUUUGUUCGGAACUUUCAUGCAGAAAAAGCUAGAGGAGUUGCGUAAAAAGGCUAUGAAACAUCAAGCUCUAGUGCAAGGUACCCAAUAGCACAGGUUUGAGAUACUAUGUCAAGAUAAGGCAGGCAGGGGUAUCUACCGCAAGAGAGUGAAACAGGAGUGUGUUCUCAAAGCCGACGACACAUGUCAUUGCUCUUGUGCAAAGCCGAAGCUGCUCCACAGGCCAUGCACCCAUGUCAUUGCUGCCGCAGCGGAGUGUGGCAUACCAGAUGCAGUAUAUGUGUCACAGUACUUCAGUAAGCAAGCAAUAUAUCAUACAUGGAGCGACGAGAUUUAUGGGUUCGGCAUAGCUGGGGAGUUCACAGAGACUAAUGAUGAAGUACUCAAUAUUCGUGACCCAUCGAAGCUCCGAGGCAAGGCUGGAAGGAGGAAGACUCGUCGCAUCCGCAACGAUAUGGACGAGUUGGAGGCUGGCAGGGUGAAGCGUUGCAGCAAAUGCGAUGAACGUGGGCACACCUACAAGCAUUGUCCUAAAGACAAGGAGAAACCAAGUGCGGCGGAGGCAGGACUAUCAUGAUCAGCAGCAGAUGGAGCUCACCCUACGGGUGAAGGCACUACCUCCACUCGACCACGUCCUAGGCGUCGUCGUGCCACGUCUGGCUACGUGGUGUAGUUCUUGUGUUCUAUGUUGCCAUGUGGCUUUGCUUGUAAUUUGUUUCGAACUUAUCGAUGUGUUUAUGUUUCGUCGUGUAAUGUCAGACUUUGGUAUGUCAUGUCUUUAGGUCUCGUGAUGUAACGUCAGACUAAGGCAUAGUGUCUUUAGGUAUGCUGAUGUAAUGUCGGACUUCGACACGUAAUGUUAUGUUAUGUUAUGUUAUAUUAUCGAACUCUACAUAUAUGUUAAAUUGCACGUCAUCGUUAUGUACCCUUAGUAACGUUUGCUAUAUUUAAAUAGCCUGUACUCUUGCUGUACAUAAUUAUUCUUAUGAUUUUAUUACUAUUUCAUAAUUUUACCAGUUAUCUUUUGUUUUACAUUACUACUUUUUGAAUUGUUCUAACACGAAACACUAUAUUUUCCAGAGAUGGAACGUCAGGAUACACCUCAGUUGUUGGACCCGGCGAUAGAUCACCGACACCGGUCUCACCUUACUGCGGUGUAGGGGGCUCAGCUUGGGACGUUCCGGGCACGGACGUGUGGUGAGCUACUUACGGUUCACGACUACUUACAGCCAGAGACGCACACUUUUCACUUGUCGUGUGGUGAGGUAGCCCCUACCCUAUAGGACGUAUCGUACUUGUUGGGGCUACCGCUCGCGGGAGACGCUGUUGGGCUAGUGACCACGGGUGUGGACUGGAAGGACGAUCUGACGGCACGUUUCGCUCCCUUGGAGCAGCAGGCCCACGUUGCGAGCACUAGAGACCUCUACGCCAGGCACCGCGACCACGACUUCGCUCGUGCUGUGAGUACCCUGCAUCGCACCAUUCCUUAAUGUUUUCAGGUCUUUCUCUUCGUCAAAUUUUACGAAUAUGUACGAACAAAUUAACCAUGCAGGUCGACGACAUCAACCGAGUCGUCGUUGACGGUUCAACGACGAUCCAACGUUUAGGCGCGGGGAUUCCGGUACCCGUAGAGGAGCACCUGACGACGUACACGCGGAUGGUGGAGUCGAUGCGCUCGAUUCUCCGAGUUUUCACUUGUCAUGCAGACGACAUUGCUCGGGCAGACGCAGCUGUACAGCGGCCACCCGUACCGACUGGUCCCUGUCCAGUUGCGCACGUUCCUAGGCCGACUCCCCCUCCGCACGGAGGUAAGUAUUUUUAAGGAUUUUUCUGUACAUGCCUCGCACAUCUAUGUGAGCCGUUUCACUUGCCGAUUGCUCCAGGGUUUCAUGCACCGUUCAGCACCCCGCAUUCCUCGGCUAGGCCUUCUGUUGUGCCCCCCACAGGUACUUAAAAAAACAUUACUUCGAUAAUCAAUUUACAUGCAUUUUAUGUCUUAGCUUACAAGGGUCCCGUUGUCGAUGUGUAGGUUUCACCCAGUUCGCUAUGACGCAGGCCGCCCACUUCUCCCAGGCUGCAGGGUCAGCGUCUCAGGCAGCUGCGUCGACAUCGCACUCAGUGCAGUUCUGGCAGUACAUCGGGACUUCGUCACAGGCAGCCGGCACGUCGAGUCAGGGUCCACCACUGGACCAUGCUGGGACCUCGUCGGACCACUUGGUGCCUUCCACCUUGCUCUUCGACAUCACUGACUUCGACUUUGCUUCAGGCUCGACAGAGGACGUCAUCGGCCCCUCACAGCUGGGAGGCGCACCGCCGGUGCAGACGCAGGACCAGGCGCAGGCCACUCCGCCGCCAGACACUCGUGCUACCCGUGCUGUGCUACCGGAUCGUUUCACCUACUCCCAGGACCACGUGCGAGCACAGGCCCGGAGGACCAAGCAUGGUCGCGGCACGGGGCAGGGCCAGUAGAGCAGACUUCUCUUUGUUUAUUUGCUUCACAUGCAAGUACUGUAUGCUUGUGUCAUGAAUACGUUGUUGUUAUAUGUGCACGAUACCUUUCGGCGCAUGCACGAUACCUUUCGGCACAUGCAUGACUACUUUCUGCCGCACCGAUGCAGCCUCCUUUAUUCGCGUGCGAUACGAGUAUUUGCCCGCCAUUUGCCGCAUACGACCAAUGUAACUUUCGGCGCCAAUCAGGCAUGUAAUUUUUGGCGCCAAUCAGGCGUACCCACCAUGACCCGCCACAUUCACAUGUCAGGGAUAUCACUCGAUUUUUUGUACCUAUAUAAGUCGCCUUAACGAGUGAGGCCUCACAAUCUUUCAGAACUCAGUCACAUUCAGUACACUCUUCCCCACUUCCCCACUUCCUUCAUUACAAAUCCUACCGGCUUUCGUCAAUGGCUAGACGUCGGGGCGUUGAGGAUCCGAACUGGCAUAGCGAUCCUUGUGUAUACCUACUACCACCUUGGUGCCAGCGUCCUCUCUGCCUCUGCGGUGAUCGAUGCCAACUAAUGGCUUCGAGGAAUCCUGAUAUUCGAGGAAGGCGCUUUUUUAGGUGCCCUAACUAUGACCGUGAGGUAUUUUAUUAUCUACAUAUACUUAUUCAUUCCGUAUGGGCAAUCGUUUUAUUCUUCGUAACACUACUCUAUUCGGCAGACCCGCACUACGGCUUGCGCAUACAUUGAGUGGGUCGAUACAGAAAAUCCCGUUCUCGACCUAACCACUUGUUUACAAGAAGGUCGCUGGUAUUUCGCAUCCGAAAGUACUGAGCAAUACUUAAAGAGAAAAGCGGCUUAUGAACGACAAUGUCGUGAACAACAGAGCGACUGGCGGGUGCUAACUACGGCACUCCCUCCAUGGGAAGCCCGUCCAAGAUGCAGGUGUGGUGAUCGUUGUCAGGUUCUUCGUUCCAUAAAGCCUACAACAUUGGGUCGAAGGUUCUUUGUUUGUCCAAAUAUUCUUGACGACGAUUUCAUGGUAAGAAUAUUUUGAUUACAUGAAUCCUUAUUUUCCCACAACAUUUACUAACGUUGCUCGCUUCACAUCUAUUCUUUCCUCCCAGGAACCACCAAGGAGAUAUCAAUACAGAGAAUGGAUAAACACCAGAAGAGUUCUAACUCCACUUAGCCGUGUUGUGCAGCUUGAACUACCAGAGCAAUACAGGGUUACUAAAGCGCGGUUUGAGAGAGGAGAGGGAUCCUCACGUAGGGGUUAGCUAUUAUCGGACAAAUUGGCAUAUUGAAAUUUCUACUGUCAUGCUUCCUUGUCCCAUUACUACAUCAUCGUUGUGUUCAACUAUUGCACUACCUCCCUCCUAGUUCGAAUCUAAUAUCAUCUAUGUAACCGCAAUGGAAAUAGUUGUAUCAUGUUCAAAUUGUACUACUAUUUCUUCAUGUUACAUAAUUCUCCUUGUUUAAAUCCAUACAAUGUUUCUACGACCGACACUGCGAUAGGCCUAUAUUAAUUAUCCGAGUACUAAUACGUCGAAUAAGUUACAAAAUAAUACCUUACUUAACAUAUGAAAUUGCGAAACAACCAACUUCAAUACAUUUUUAUAACAAUAUUAACAAGUUUUACCAAUAAAUACUUCUUUAAUUAUUAUUAACAUAACAUAGAAAAAUCAUUUGGUGGUACUUUUUCAUCUGGGUCCCUUGCCGCAACCUCUUUAUGGGCGGCCAAAAUUGCAUUUAGCCCCGGGGCGGCAAGGGGCUAAAUGCAAUUUUGGCCGACGGCGGCAGACGGCGCGGUCGGCCCGCCGUCUGCCACGUCAGCUUGCCGCCCACCUUUGGGGCGGCAGGGUCUAUUUUUGUAAUUUUUUUGCCGAUAGAUUAUUUCUGUAAAUAUUUAAAAAAAAAUCUAAAAAUAAAAAAAAAUCCUUAUUCCAAUGUAGGAGUACAAUUCAAGUUGGGCUACUAGAAAUCUAUAGAAUGGGCCGAAGAGAACCCCACUCUAGUUAGGCCCACCGCUGCAUCCACCCCUCGAACGCAAACCACUCGACUCCGAAGCUCCCACUCCCAGGGUUUUAGCUAGGGUUCUGUGUCCCCCGCAUCGCCGCCGCCGCCGCCGCGAGCCAUGGCCGACGCCGCCGCCCCCGGAGAGGACGACGCCGCGUGGGAGCGCGCCAUCGCGGCGGCCGUCAAGAACGCCCCCUUCUCCGCCCCCAAGACCCUAACCCUCGACGGCGCCGUCAAGUCCACCACCGGCCGCCUCCCCUCGCCGUCGCUCCUCGGCCGCUACCCGUCCCUCGAGGAGCUCUCCGUCGCCGGCGCCCGCCUCUCCUCGCUCGCGGGCCUCCCGCGCCUCCCGGCGCUCCGCCGCCUCUCCCUCCCCGACAACCGCCUCUCGGGGGCCGCCUCCCUCGCCGCCGUCGCCGAGUCCUGCGGCGCCACGCUCCGCCACCUCGACCUCGGGAACAACCGCUUCGCCGACGUCGCCGAGCUGGCGCCGCUCGCGCCGCACGGGGUCGAGUCGCUCGACCUGUACCAGUGCCCCGUCACCAAGGCCAAGGGGUACAGGGACAAGGUGUUCGCGCUGAUCCCCAGCCUCAAGUUCUUGGACGGCAUGGACGCCGAGGGCAACGACUGCUUGGAUUCCGACGACGAGGAGGAUGAAGAGGAGGAUGAGGGAGAGGAGGGUGAAGGGGAAGGUGAUGAAGAAGAAGAAGAGGAGGGUGGAGAGGAAGGGGAAGGUGAUGAGGAUGACGAAGAGGAAGGAGAUGAAGAAGAGGAUGAGGAAGAAGGUGAAGAGGAGGUGAGAAUUUUGUUCUAGUUACUGUAAAUAUAUGUAGGUCUUGCAUAGUUGACAAGUUGCAAAUUGCGAAUCGAUAAAUGGGAUCAAUUAUAUAUUAGUACUCUUUGUUCCUUUUGAUUCACUUAAUUAGUCAGUAAUUUGUUGUUUGGUGUUGGGAACUAUCAUACUGUUUGGAUUGUUCCUUUUUUUUCGCCAAUCUGCGCUGAAAUCUUAGGACUAACCGAAUAUUGCUUCUUAGUUAUGUUGUUGUCCAAGAGAGCACUCCAUUUAGUGUAGAAUUUUGAAAAUUUGGAAUUUUUAUCAUACAAGCUUGAUAAGAAAUGGUUCCUGACCAAUCAAUCAUUCUUCCACAUGGAUGAUUUGCGCUCUCAUCCUUUUAUUUUUUGUUAAUAGUUUUUGGGCCUGCGAUAGCACAUCUUAGCUGCACUACUAUAAACUAUCAAUGCUUGAUUGGUUGAGCUAUGGCUGAUAAGCCUAGAAAAGUAAACGAAUCAACCAAAAAUAAUUUCUAGGGUAAGACUUCAUAUAGUGUAAUUCAUUGCUCUUUUAUGCCUUGUCAGGCUGUUUAUCUUUGUAUACUCAAAACUCAAAAGCUUCAUCAAUUAUAAUAUGUUGUUAUCACAGCAUCAGGACCUCUUUAGUUUGCUUGUUUGUUUUUUCCCAUAAAGACACUAUUUCCCUCCAUUUCACAAUUCUUGUCUGUUGACUCAGGAAUUCGCCUUCUCAAAAUGUUUGUCCAUUGAGGAAAUAAAAAACAUGGUUGUUGCAGCAUUUCAACUAUAUAUACCCCUAUUCAAUGUAGUAGGAGAGGUAGCUCGUCAUUUAAUAGGAUAUGCUUGGUCCUUCAAAUUAACAUGGAAUGGGUGUCUGUGUCCUUGAUUUAUGUUCAUUGGUAGCCAAAUGGCGAGGCAGUUGCUGUGGAUUGUAAUGUUGUGAAAUCUCAGUCUACAUUGUUGUAGCACGCUCAUACUGUUCCUUUGUGGGUCUUAGUGCAGAUCACAUUUUACUUAUGGCUCCAUAUUUGUGUCAGCUAACUUAAUCUGCACCUUUUUUCAGGCUGAAGAUGAAGAGGAUGAAGCUGGUGCCGAUGAAGAAGAUGAAAGCAAAGUGGCGAAUGGAAGCAAAGGGUCUUCAGGAUCAGCUCAGCCAAACAAAAGGAAGAGGGACAGUGAAGAUGAUGCUAACGGAGACAACUGAUCUGGUUGGGUCUGGAAAUGGUUGCGGCUGGUCGUUGGAGGCUUUUCCUCCAAUGUUCUUUGGAGGGCUUUGAGCCUUUUGAGGCGUUUCCUUCUGUUGAUGUAGAAGAUUUAGCUGUUCUUUUUAGAUGCCAAGUUGCCAAAGGUUUUCUAAUUAUAAUUCAGGACUUGGACAUAUCCUGAUGUACUACUGCACAUUUCUGUGACUUUCCGAUGCUGCUAAUUGAAAUACUGGUUCUGGGCCUGGUCAUGCGGAUGAUGAACUAGCAUAUCAUGGUUGAAAAGUAAAUAUUCUUCUUUUUCACGUUGCCCACAUGGCCACAUAGUUAAACUUUAAAUAGACAAUGUCCACGACCGCAGGGAGGGAAUUAAGAACUCAUGCGUAAGGGUUGCGUGCGUCCACCACGACAAAUUGUAAUCCAUAAUAUAAGGGACAACCACUUUUUCCAGAUGUUUCAUAAUAUAAGGCAUGUAUGCAUGUAGGCAAUUAACUAUGACCCCUUCUCUAUUAAAUUAUUAAUUUUUUAAAUCCUCCACUCUCAUGUUCUCUAAUUCUAUUAGAUGCAUGUAUUGUAUUUAUUAGGAUGAUCCAAACUACAAGAUGAUAAUAAUUAUUUUCUUGGUCUUUGAGUUAGGGGCGGUUAUACCUUAUAUUUUGGAAUGGCGGGAGUAUUUUGAUACCCUAAGACCUUUAUUUCAGCUUAUUUGAUUUUCUUAAAAAAAACCUUUUAUAAAUAAAGUUUUUGUAAAAAAAAAACACUCCCGUGAAAGGCCCGAGACCCCAAGUUUGGAAGACAGCUGUAAGAUUGGGCGGAAUGCUCCCUGAUCAGAUAUACUCCCUCUCCAUGCGGAUAAUACAUUCGUUUAAGACAACUAGACAAUUAUGAAUCAUUUUUAAAAUAUUUAUCUUUCAAAUAUAUUGAUUACAUAUAUAGAUUAGUCUUAGAAAAGUAUUUUAAUAAAAUCAUAUAUUUGUUAACAUUUUUUUAAAUAUUAUAAUAAAAAAUAAUGGUCAAAGUUAUUUUUAAAGACCGUGCUCUUAUCUAAAACGACAAAUCUAAAACGAUAAGUAUUAUCAAUCCGGAGAAAGUACUAUAGUACAAUGACUCUCGUCCAGAUCACCUGAUGCCACCGGCUUUUGUGGAAGCAGAUGAGCAAAUUUUCCAUAUAUGCUUUUGUAGCAACAGAUGAGCAAAUUUUCCAAGAUCCAGCUUCACAAAUAAUAAAAUAGCUAAUUCGUCGAAAUGGACCUACAUAAAUAUCUAUUCUUGAAUGGUUACAUAAAAUUGUGGCGGUGGUAUGCCAGUAUAAUACUAAUCUAACUCAUCCCAAGCUCGCCUCACGAUCACUUGCUCCAAUGCUUUCACCGUCUUCUUGAUUUGUUGAAGGACUUCGAUUUUCUGGAAACAGGAGCAUUGCGCUCCUCCUCUUCCUCAUCAUCUUCGUUCUUCCUCCGCUUUUUCUUGUGGCCACCGCCCUCCUUCAUCGUCUGCAUCAGACAGCAAGAACAAGUAAAAAUCAAUUCGCACAUAAGAAGUCGUACGAUUCAAGACACAAGGCUCUACCACAACAAGAACAAGACGAACUAUCUACAUUCAGGUCGUCGGAAGCAGGUGUGCAUCCGUUCUGCAGAAUAUUGAGGGGGCACCGCCAGGGUGACACAAGAGUAAAACACUUCGAAUUGACAGUACAGUCAGAGAAUGAGCACAUACCGUCAGCGCAAUCCUCUUCGAGUCAGAGAUACGUUCACGAAGUAUCAUGAUUUCUGCGUUAUCCACCUUACGAUCAGGAAUCUCGUAUCCUACAAAAAAAUAGUUGAUAAACAGAUCCACAGAUUUCAGAAUGACACGCCCUCCAGUUACAAAUGGAAAGAAGGGAGAAGUAACAAGGAUAAGAAUUACCAAGGAGCUUCUCUAUCAUCUUAAACCACAUGGCCUCGUAUUGAUUCACCAAAGAUACAGCAUAUCCUGUAUUCCCUGCACGUGCUGUUCUACCCACCCGAUGAACAUAAUCCUACAUUUGGCACAGGAAGUUAAGUCACAUACAAAAAGGCAUCUUCAAAAUGUAAAUCGAGAAAGGUACUAAAGUAGAAACCUUGGAAUUCAUUGGAAUAUCAUAAUUGAUAACCACAUCAACUCCUUGAAUAUCAAGACCACGACUUGCCACAUCGGUGCAAAUAAGGAUAUUGCAGUCUUUCGUUUUGAACCUGUUUAAGGCGCCUAGUCUCUUAUCCUAAGAAAUUAAAAAAAAAGAAGAAGACAAAUGUAAGAUAAGCAUUGUACGGGAAAAACAAACAUUUGCAUUCACUUCUACCUUGUAAGUUCUAAAUUGAAGGAUAACUCAAUGAGAAAACGAACAAUUUCUAUUUGAAAGGAAAGCAUACUAACCUGACUCAUUUGGCCACUAAUAGAGAUAGCUUUAAAACGAAGAUUCCUUAGGGUGAGAGCAAGGAGCCUUGUUGAUUCACAGGUCCGGACAAAGAUCAUGAUCAUGCUCCCUGGCAACUCAUUCAGAACAUGAACGAGAAAACAAUCCUGGAAUAAUAAAUAAGAAAGAUCAGAACAUCGAAUGAAAAUGGCACUCUACCAUGAUGUGGGCAACAUCAUGUAAUGACUUAUGCAAGGCUUUCAAUUCAUCAUGAGCAACAUUUUUCAGGAUUGCUUAUUAAAUGUACCGGAUAAGUUUCAAAGUGAUGUUGCGUGUGUACAACCAAUGAUGGUGCUUUGUUAUGACUCUUAAUAAGGACAUUAAGGGUAGAACCAUCAGUCAGCAUGCAGCCAAUUUAAUAAGAUCAAAACCACAUGGACGUCAAUAGACCAAUUAUAAGGGAUAAGAAUUGACCUUGUAAUCUGCAGGAACAAAAUAAAACUCCUGUCUAAGUGUGUCCACUGUAGAAUAUUUGGACGCUACCUCGACCUGAUCGCAGAAAUGAAAAGUUGAGACUAUUAGCAAACAAUAAGAUACCUGAAAAGGUCCCCAUCAUGCCCGAAAGAUGGAGAAAGAAUGUUACCUUAACAGGAUUUCUUAGACAAGCACGCUGCAGUUUAGAAACCUGGAGAAAAUAGACGUUAUUGCAAAGAAAACCAAAUUCAGUCUAAAUGUAAACAAAUAGAUAGCAUAAUAGCCAUCAGGUGCCAUAAAAAUAGGCCAUGAUUUAGAAAAUACAAAAUAUCAGUAAAUGGUAGCACAGUAGCAAUACAGCAUACGUCAGAAUAAAUAGAAUGUCUACCAUUUCAUUACCUCAAGAAUUUAUAAACCAGUGUCAUAAUUAUAAUAUUAACCUAAGCUGCUAGCAUGGCCACAUCAAUCUGAUAAAGUAAACAAUCUAUUGAUGGGAUACCAGCAAUGUUUAAUUCCGUUCUUUCUUGAAUCCAGAGGAAUAAUAAUUCUUCUCUGAAAACUACCAAUUCACCAACCUUAUUGGUCAUUGUGGCUGAAAAAAGGAAAGUCCUCCGUUCUUUAGGGAUAACAUUCAGAAUAUCAUCAAGGGCUUUCUGGAACUCCACAUUAAGUAACUUAUCAGCUUCAUCCAAAACCUAGCCAAAAAAAAAGAGAUAAGGACACAUAAAAAAAAAGCAAUUAAUUAGAAAAACUAAUAUAAUUGAUCCAUAUUCAACACAUAUUUACAAAUGUCAUGACAUAGUUGACAAGGUACUUACCAUUGCAUCACACAUAUUUACAAUUAUUAAUAGUGAUUGUAACACUUAAACUUGAGGGGUGGAAAUUAAUAUAAAAUGAAAAUUAAAUUUUGCUGCACAGAGUGUGAAAAAUAUAUUUCAACAAGUAAAAAGGUAUUACUAAAGCCUUCAUUUUUAAAGGCUGUACCUGCAGCAAUCAAAGAUGAUAUUUUAAGUUUAAAAAACAAAAUCUAGACUAAAAAAAUCCAGCCUUGCUAAAACUCACAAGAUUCAGACAGAGCCUCGAUUAAGUAAAAAAUUAUACCCAAAAAUGUCGAUAAUAGUUGGAGUAUGAAUGAAACAGAAGAAAAAUUGACACAAUGGAAAAGGAGCAUAAUUUUAAAGAUGGGCAAACCAUGGUGUCAUAAAAGAUGGAUUUGACAAGAAUAUAUUGAUAUGUGGAACUAGAAAAUGUUGAAAAAUAUAUCCAAGGCCACAAUAUCAAAUUAUUUAAUGAAGUAUGAAUAAUAACAAGAAGCAACAUGGGGAAAAAAAGAACAGAGGGGACAUACCAAGUACUUCAAUUUAUUAAGGCUAAAACCUUUCGUAUCUGUCAAAUGAUCCAAAAGACGUCCAGGAGUUCCAACCUAAGUUUUGAGGGAAAUGAUACAGUAAAUAUCCUGAGAGUCCGGAUGAAAGCACUCAUUUGUACUAGCAGGUUUAUGUAACAAAGUUCUCAUGGAUAGGAAUGAUGUUAACAGACCAAAACCACAUUGUCUUAUGAGGUAGAGGAAAUCAUUUACUAAAAUACACAUACCACAAUAUGUGGGCGUUUUGCAAGGGAUACUGCUUGUUGCACCCGAUCAACUCCUCCAACAAGCUGGGGAAAGGGAAAUUCAAUUGAUAGUGGUCAAUAAAACAUCAACAAGUUGUAAUGGAUGAAAAUAUGAGGACUCGCUUUUAAUCAUACAAGAGCAUAAUAACCAAGGAAUCUAUGCAUGUAAUAGCAGCAAAUUCAAUUAUAGUCAGAAGAAGAAAAAAACUAACAUUAGAGAGAAUAUAAACCAAUGCAUUUAAAUAUAGCUCCUGCAGGUGUUACAAUAUCCAACAGAUGCAAUACCAAAACAAAAGGAAAUAUUUUGCAGUGGACACUCAUCCAACAGAUGGAAGAAGCCAACACAGAUUGGCACAUCAGCAUCAACCGAAACACCAAUUGACCAUAAUUGUGUACCAAAAUCCAGGGAAAAGACUAGCCAGCUAGAUAAAACCUAUAUUGCGAGCACUAACCAGCUACAUAGCCUAUUCUAAAAACUUGUUAACAACAUUCAUAAAACACCAAUCGAUUGUUUGGUAUGUGAUAAAGGUGAACUGCAUAAAGAGAUGAGAAAGCAUACACAUUAUCCAUAAUCCAAAAAAAAUAUUGUCACUUGUAAUAAAUUGUAACAAAAUCACUCACCACCGUGCAACUCAGACCGAUCGCGGACCCGAGUGCCUCAAACUGCUGUCCAAUCUGAAAAGCCAGCUCCCUGAACAAGCACACCCCCUCAUGGUUACAGUAAACCAACCGGAGAAUCUUCUCUCGAGGAGAAAAAAAAAACAAGUACAGUACUACAUGGAGAACUCUUGUCUAAAGAUUUGGCAACCUUGUAGGCGACAGCACGCAGGCGAACAACGCCUGGGGCUUGUCCUGCUUGAGCAGCGCCUGGAUGAUCGGCAGCGCGAAGGCGCCCGUCUUGCCGGAGCCCGUCUGCCCCAGCCCAAUCAGGUCCCUCCCUGCAAGCAAACCACAGCACGCCCAUCAGUAGCUGGAUCGCCGUCGACGACAUGGCCGCGGCGGUGGCGCGCUAGGGUAGGUAUCCGUACCUUCGAGGGCGUGGGGGAUGGCCUCGGCCUGGAUCCUGGUGGGCUCCUUCCACCCCAUGGCGUCGCACGCCGCCACCAGCUCCGGGACGACGCCCAGCUCCGCGAACGUCGACGGCCGACGCGCCGGUGGCUCGGCCUCCUGCUCCUCGCCACCGUCCGCGGCGGGGGCGGCGGCAGCGGCAACCACCUCCUCAUCCAACUCCUCCACCUCCACGUCCUUCUUCUUCGCCAUGGCUACGGAGAGACGGGGGAGCUCGCCCGAGUGGGAGGGAAGCGGUGGUGGCUUCGGCGGCGGAGGUGGCUUGGCGAUGAAGCUGCGGCGGCGGCGGUUAAAGAAGGAAGGAGGAGGCGUGGAGAUUAUGGAGGGGAACCCUCGAUGGAUGGAGAUUUUUAUGGGCCUCAGAUAUUGGGCCUGUCCAAAUGGGCCCAGCUCUGCCCAACCCUCUGCAGCUUCCUAGGCUCAUAUAUCUUUUUUUCUUUUUGAGAUCCUAGGCACAUAUAUCAGGACUGUCCUAAAAUAUAGGAGUACUAUAGUUGUUUAAAACUGAAUUUGACACAUCCUACUAUUAUUUCCUUCAUCCUAAAAUAUAGGGCACAAUCAUCAUUAACGCAAAGAUCAGUAAACAAUUACUAUCACCCUUUUGUUUGGAUCACUUUAAUAAAUACAAUACAAUACACAUAUCUAAUGAGGUUAGAGAUAUUGAGGAUAAAGGAUUUAGAAGAAUGAAUUAGAGAGAAGAUGAUGGUGCUAGUUAAUUUUAUGCAUGUAUGCACGUUUUAUAUUGUGAAACAUCGAAAGAAAUAGUUGUUCUUAUAUUUUGGGAUGUUGAAAUUAUAAGCACAUAAUGAUUUAAUUUAUUCCAUAAAUAAAUCAUGAUAUUGCAGAUGUAAACUAGAUUGAACGCAUCAUUAGAUCUACACAUGUAAACUAAGCAGUAAAGCAUGAACAGAUCAAAUACGCGCAACAUGUAGAACAUGUACCGAGGUGGCGAAAAGACCGGUUGCUCGGCAGGAACUACUCGCGGUUGCGAGCGUCGACGAAGGCGCGAAGCACGUGAGCGGAGAGGAAGGCGAGCCGUCGCGGACGAACAGGGAGCAGUCGCGCGAAGCACUUCCUAAAAAUCUUAUUGCCGCCUUCUCCCGGUGCAGGACGUCGAAGGCAGAGGUUCCGGAGACCUGCUCUCCCGAUCGCCGGUGCACGCCGGCGAGAGGGAUGGAGUAGUCUACGAGCGACGGUGCAGUACAGAGUAGGAGGCAAACCCUAGAUUAAUUUUGCGUGUGUUGCGUGAAGGCGGCAGCUCAGUUUAUAUAGAGAUAGAUCGCCUGAUCAGGGCGCCCGCGUAAACCGAACCGGAUAAGUCGCGCGUAACCUAUCCGGACUCCAUGCCGUUUUCACGCACCGGAUUUUUCGGAAUGUUUCCAAAACAAAACAAAUCCGAAUUUCCUGCAGCAAAACAAAACUGCAAAAUGAGGCUGCAUCUGCGCAAGGGUGAGGAGCCAAUUUUGCGGACCAUUCGACGCGUACGUCGUGCACGCGCGCCGCCUGCCCUGCCCUGCCAGGCGAGGCGAGCGAGCGCGCGUGUUUCCCCUCUUCUCUCCACCACACAUGCUUCAAGUGGCUGGGAGGGCAUCCUCCCUUUUAAGGAGGUCCCCCUCUCCUAUAAUAAGCAAGGUGGUACUAAACUCCACAUGCAUGCCAUCCCAUGAGGUGGGCUUUUGUGAUUUUCCAAAGAAUUAAUCUUCAAAUGAGCCUUAGCCCAUCUAUUAAUUCCAACAAUCCCCCACCAAAUCUCAAAAUCCCACUGAGAUUUGCCUUUUCCAAUGUACUGUUUAUAUACCAGCGGUUCGAUAGAGACCGAUUAAGGUUGAACAUCCACCUAGAACUCCAAGCUACACUUACUCACAACUUGAACAAUGGACUACGCCUUGAAUUGCAAGUCUUGUGCAAGCAAGUUUCACUCAUAGUCUUAUCUGGUACUAGACCGUCUGUAGACUACCCCUCGGGUGGAGCGUAUAAGUCAUACUCCUAGGUUUUUGUAAGCUUCCUAGAAGAUUCACCCAAAAUCUCCAUAGACUGCGACCAACAGUCAAGCUUACAAAGGUGAGUUCUUUCAAGAAUGCUCUACAGGACAGCAUCUUCGCUAAUUAAAGCCAACAGAACUCAUUAAGGCAUAGCCAACCUGCCUUGCAGCUCACGAGAGUACAUGCAUCUUCACUUAGAGAGGGUAUAGAUUGGUACUCUCCUCUAGUUUACUAAUGGUUUGUUCUUCCCAGGUUCUAAUUCACGAGAUCUCCGAUCAUAUAGACUGGGUUACCACCAUAGUAUAACUCACAUGGGUCUCAAACCCAUCUCCUUCAAUGCAUUAUCUAUCACAUUUCGUGAUAGUCCUUUCGUGAAGGGAUCUGCUAGGUUUCUAGCUGUUUGGAUGUAAUUCAACGUUAUAACUCCGGAGUUUCUCAAUUUCCUGACAGACUUCAAUCGUCUUUUCACAUGUCUAGACGAUUUCAUAUUAUCCUUAGAACUAUUCACUUUGACAAUUACCGUUUGAUUGUCACAGUUCAUAAGGAUAGCCGGCACCGGUUUUUCAACAAUAGGCAGAUCCAUUAAUAGAUCACGCAGCCAUUCUGCCUCAACAGUAGUAGUAUCCAGUGCUGUCAGUUCUGCUUCCAUGGUUGACCUCAUCAAAAUGGUCUGUUUGCAAGACCUGCACGAAACAGCACCACCACCCAGUGUAAAGACAUAUCCACUAGUGGCUUUGAUCUCAUCCACAUCAGAGAUCUAGUUAGAAUCACUAUAACCCUCCAGUACCGCAGGAUACCCAGUAUAGUGAAGCCCCAAUUCCAUAAUACCUUUCAGAUAGCGCAUUACUCGCUCGAGCGCACGCCAGUGAUCAUCUCCCGGAUUAGAGGUAAACCGGCUCAACUUGCUCACAGCAAAGGAGAUAUCAGGCCUAGUUGCACUAGCCAGGUACAUCAGCGAGCCAAUGAUUUGGGAGUAUUCCAGUUGAUUCUUAGCAAUUCUUUUGUUCUUGCAAAGCAACAAGCUAGGAUCAUAAGGUGUUGGAGAAGGCUUACUAUCAAUAUAGCCAAAGCGAUUCAAGAUCUUCUCCACAUAAUAGGACUGCAAGAGUGUAAUCCCAUUCUCACCUCUAAUUAGCUUAAUGUUUAAGAUAACAUCAGCUACUCCCAAAUCCUUCAUAUCAAAAUUUUGAGACAAGAAUGAUUUAACCUCAUUUAUCACCUCAAGGUUUGUCCCAAAUAUCAGUAUGUCGUCAACAUACAAGCACAGAAUAACUCCCUCACCCCCACCAUGGCGAUAGUACACACAUUUAUCUGCCUCAUUGACUGCAAAGCCUGCAGAUGUCAAUGUUUUGUCAAAUUUCUCAUGCCAUUGCUUAGGAGCUUGUUUCAGACCAUACAAAGACUUCAACAAUUUGCACACUUUGCCUUCUUGACCUUCAACUACAAACCCAUCAGGUUGAUCCAUAUAGAUCUCCUCAUCCAGCUCUCCAUUAAAAAAGCUGUCUUAACGUCCAUUUGAUGAACGAGAAGACUGUCACGCCCAGAAAUUCACUAGUAAUUUCUGAACUUAUUUGUGCAUAAAAUCCUUGUCCAGGAAUCAGCCGAGGUACACAAACUGACAAUUUAAUAUACAAAUCCAUCAUAAUAAUAGCGUUACAUACUUACAAAAGAAAAGAAAACAACAGCGGAAUUACGGUCUAGCGAAGCUCCGGCUCCACUCCCACAGGCAGCUCAACUGGGGUAUAAGCCAAACGUCUUCUCCUUCGCAACUUGUCUUCAAUUGAGGUUUGAUUGAUUAUUGCAAUGUGAGCAUAUGACAUACUCAGCAAGCCACACAGCAAAUAUGCAAGUGCACAUGGAUACCAAAGGAUGGCAUAAUAUAGGGCUCAUUUGCAAAAGCAGCAUUUAGCAAACAUUUGAGAAUUAUAAAACAAUAGAGUAAUUAAUCAUCAAUAUUAAUCAACACUGAACAGCACACCCAUGCUGCACAGGCCCAACCAUCCUGAACAACCAUACCCGGCUGCACAAAUCUAUCUCCAAACCAGGAGCUAAACAAAUUAUUACCAAUUAUAUCAUCAUUUAUUAUGGUGAGAAGUGUGAGACUAAUCACGAAAGACAUUGUUAGACCCGCCCAUGACCGCGGGCACGGCUAUUCGAAUAGUUUUACUCUGGCCAGAGGUGUACCACUGUACCCACAAGACACAGCCCCACAACAUGUCACCAUGCGCCUCAAUACCACCACGGUACCUCGGAAAGGAGCUGUCACAUUACCCCUCGCACAACACAAUCCACCACAGUGCACCGUUCCCGGAUCAUAGUCACCCCCUUAUAAACAAGGCAUGGACUCCCCAGCGACCCCCGUGGGCUUAUCUCCACCACUUCUCAGACUGGUGCUCCGCAACGAACCAUGCUAUACAAAAGGUAAAGCCGUUGCCCACGCUGGCUUGUGGUUGGCACGGUUAAUGUUUCACAACCGAAAAUCGUGAACCGGUCCUUAAUUGUCAUGAGCACGACUCUCAAAACCAUGUGCUCACAACCCACCAUUAUCAAGUUUUAGUUGGCAAGUAAUUAAUUAACCAAUCACGAUUGGCCAUCGUGAGCUAUCAUUAAGCCAUCAUUAAAUAAUAGUGAGUCAUAAGUUAUCCCAAUAGUGUGCUAAUGUUUCUAAGCAUGGCUAAGCAAUCAUAUCUAAUAUCUAGCUGAACCAAUAUAUAUAGCCCAACUAGUCAAGUUAUAAUAACCCAAGGUAUCAAGGAAUAAAGUAAUCAAGAACAAAAGGGCUAUAACAAACAAUAGGUUAAUUCCACCCAAUGACAUUCGAAAAUAAAUGCAAUAGUUGAAUAGAAACAAUAGCUUUAAACGGGAUCAACAUGCUCAAAGGGUUGUUUGGGGUCUGUGUGACUUGCCUUGCUGGCCUUGGAACUCUUCAAAUUCUUCUCCUGCGAAAACGAACUCUCCGGAAACGUCGGAAUCUAAACAGAAAGGAGCAAAACACCAAAACAGCACAUAAACAAGCCUGAACAGUACAUGUGGAUAUUUUUAACAUGUAGAUCUCAAUUUUAGAAAAAUUUAGAGACUUGAACCAACUAAAUCCGAGCUAAGAUGAAUUAGUUAUGAUUUUUUAAAGAUUAAAUCGGAUUAAAACACUUAUAUGGAUUUUUAUUGAAUUAUGACGCAAUAAUGAAUUAUUUUUGAAAAGGAAAAGAAGAUUAUUGCGUCAGCGGCUCGGGUUCACGGUGGACCGGGUGCAGAGGAACGGUCUACGGAACGGACGGUCUAGAUCAACCCUAUCCACAACGAACGGCCGAGAUCGAUCCAGACCACGGCGGUCCACGGGACACGGCGACGAUGACGUCGGCGAUGACGUCAUCACCGGCGACGGCUCGGGUGGCGCAUGCUCGCCGGCGAACGAAGGCGCGGCGGCGCAAACGGAGGGCACCAACGGGUAGAGGGCGACGCGGCGAUCCUUACCGAGGCACGAACAGCGGCGGACGGCGACCGGACGGUGACGGCUACGAGGAAGAAGCGGCGAUGACGGUCGGGUUGACGACGACGGUGGUCUUCCGGCGAUGACGGAGGGGCGGACGAGAUUGGUGACGGCUUGGCGACCACGGCGGUGACCUCCCCGAGCGGUGACGACGACCGGAGCGACGGCGGCGCACGGCUGGACGAACGGCGGCGACGGCGGCGCACGGGCUCACGAGGCUAGGGCGUUACAGGCGGCGGCGGGCAAAGGCGAGGGUGGCGGUGGGUAGAGGGAAGCUCGGGGGUCCUUAUAUAGGGGUUGGAAGGCGGCGGCGAAGGCCCACGGCGACCGGUGACGGCGAAGGAAAGUCUAGGGUUCAGAGGAGAGAGAUCGAUCCGAAUCGAACUCGAAUCCACGGAUUUCCAAACGAAAAUAGCCGACGAUUCCAUAAGAGAAAAGAUAGAGGGGAUCCCGGGGAUCAUUUCCCCUCUAUCGAUUCGGCCGGAGAUGGAAAGGAGCGACGGAAAUUGGAAGGGCGGCGGUGGCUUGCGCGCGGCUAGGGCACGGCUACGGCGGCGCGAGGUUGACGACGACCCUGACAGGUGGGGCCCACCUGUCAGCAGGAGAGAGAGAGGAGAGCGGCGGCUCGGUUGCGGGCCGGCUUGGGCCGGGGAGGAGAGAGAGAGGGUUUUGGGCCGACUUUCGGCCCAGGAUUUUAAAACCUUUUUCAGUUAUAAUUAUUCAUGAAAUGCAAUUUCAUUUAUUAAAAAUACUUCCUUUGCUCAAAUAAAUCCCAGAAAAAUCUAGGAACUAUAGAAUCAAGCAAAGUAUUUAAGAAAAUUUUAUCUAGCCCAUUUUUAUAUUGGAAUUUAUUAUUUAAAAUUAGAGCUUCUCUUGUAGGCUUUUAUAAUUAUUUCUAAUAAUUCCAAUUAAACAACAAUUUAUAAUUUAAGGAUUUUUAAACAAGAAAAGCUCUUAACAAUUAUAAUUAGAUCAUUAAUGAUUAAAUAAUUACUGAACUGUUCUUUGUAUCAUUUAGGAAUUGAGCUCUGAAAAAAUCCGAGAAAAUUUCAGAGAGUAAAAUUAAUCAUGGAGAAUUUAAUAAAAAUUAAAUCCAACCAUGCUUUAUAUUUAGGAAGUUUUAUUUCCCACAUUUAACUUCACUUGUAAAUUAAAGAACAUUUAAUAUAAAUUCUAUUAAUAAUUUAUUAGAUAAUUUAUAAAUCCUAAAACGAAAAUCAGGCUGUGACAAAGACCAUGUGAGGCUGCUAGGGAAAGUAGCACACGAAUUGUGGUCAAUCUAGCAACAGGUGAGUAAGUGUCAAAGAAAUCUUCGCCUUCUUUCUGAGUAUAGCCCUUAGCAACAAGCCGAGCCUUGUACUUUUUUCAAUAGUACCGUCAGGCCUAAGCUUCUUCUUGAACACCCAUUUGCACCCCACAGGUUUACACCCAUAGGGUCGCUCUGUCACCUCCCAAGUCCCGUUAGCGAUAAUGGAAUCCAUUUCACUACGGACAGCCUCCUUCCAUUAGUCUGCAUCAGGAGAUGCAUAUGCUUCUGAAAUUGACUUAGGAGUGUCAUUCACGAGGUACACAGUGAAAUCAUCACCAAAGGACUUAGCCGUCCUUUGUCUCUUACUCCUUCGAGGAGCUUCACUGACAUCCUCCUCAGUGACAUGUUCAUGUGUAUGUUCAGUUUGUUCUGGUGGUGUGAUUGAACUGGGAAUUACUUCAGAGGGUUAACUCGAACUACUAUGUGUAUCCUUCAUUGGGAAAAAGCUCUCAAAGAAGGUAGCAUCACGAGACUCCAUAAUUGUACCAACAUGCAUGUCAGGUACCUCGGAUUUAACUAUUAAAAAUCUGUAGGCAAUGCUGUGAUGAGCAUAUCCCAGAAAGACACAGUCCACAGUCUUAGGUCCAAGUUUGUGCUUCUUCGUUAUUGGUACAUUGACUUUCGCCAAGCACCCCCAUGUGCGCAAAUAAGAAAGUGAUGGUUUUCUCCCAAUCCAUAUCUCAUAUGGUGUUUUGUCCUUAUUUCUGUUAGGAACUCUGUUUAACACAUGAUUCGAGGUCAACAAUGCCUCCCCCACCAUGCCUUAGGUUGUCCCGCGGUGUCCAACAUGGCAUUCACCAAGUCAGUCAGUGUGCGAUUCUUCCUUUCAGCAAUCCCAUUAGACUCGGGAGAAUAGGAAGGCGUCCUCUCAUGUAUGAUGCCAUGUUCCUCACAGAAUAAGUCAAACUCGUUUGAGAAAAACUCUCCACCACGAUUAGACCUAAGCCUUUUUAUCUUUCUGUCAAGUUGAUUUUCAACUUCUGCCUUAUAAAUUUUAAAAUAGUCUAGAGCCUCGUCUUUCGUUUUCAACAAGUACACAUAGCAAAAUCUAGUAGCAUCAUCAAUCAAUGCCAUGAAAUAUCGUUUUCCACCCUUCGUCAACACCCCAUUCAUUUCACAAAGAUCUGAAUGUAGGAGUUCUAGUGGUGCCAAGUUUCUCUCCUCGACAGCCUUGUGAGGCUUGCGAGGUUGCUUCGAUUGCACACAACUAUGGCACUUAGAACCUUUGACAAUGGAAAACUUAGGAAUUAAACACAUGCUGGAAAGCCGAAACAUCAAGCCAAAAUUAAUAUGACAUAAACGUGAGUGCCAAACAUUAGCCUCAUCAUCCACACUGCCACAAAUAUGGUUCACAGACAUAUUGCAGAAAUCAGAAAGGGAAAAGCGGAACAGGCCUCCGCACUCAUAACCUUUAUCAAUAAAAUAUCCAUGUUUAGACACGACUACUUUAUUAGACUCAAAACCCAACUUAAAUCCGUCUCUAGUCAGACGGGAGCCACUAACAAGAUUCCUGUCGAUAGAAGGGACAUGCUGCACGUUCUUCAGCUGCACGAUCUUUCCCGAAGUAAACUUCAUAUCUACCAUGCCAACACCACGAACAGAAGCAUGUGACCCAUUCCCCAUUAUGACGGUGGAACCCCGUGCGACCUGAUAAGAAGAAAACAAUGAGAUGUCAACACAAACAUGUACAUUGGCCCCAGUAUCAACCCACCAAUUAGUAGACUGAUUAACUGAAAAAACAGUAGGUAAAUUACCAUACCCGCUUCCAUCUCCAGUAUUGCCAAUGGUCACAUUAGCAGACUUAGAAGUCUGCCCUACAGGUGCCUUCAUCCCGUUGCGCUGUGGACACUUCCUAGCCAGAUGACCAGGUUGCCCACACACAAAGCAAGUCCUCUCAUCCUGGUUAGGAUUGAUAUUGUUCUUCUUCUACUUCUUGAAGUUGGUGGUCUGUUGAGCUUUGUAUUUCCCCUUGCUCUUGUUCUGGGCCUUGUGCACAACAUUGGCACUGGACUGCCCACCAUCGCCCUUAGACGCGGCGUCUUUUUCCCGAGCUUUCUCCUCAACAUCAAGAGACGCUAUCAACCCCUCAACGGAGUAUUCCUGUCUCUUGUGUUUAAGUGCAGUACUGAAACUUCUCCAUGAUGGAGGUAGUUUCGCAAUAAUGCACCCGGCCACAAAUUUGUCGGGUAAGACACACUUAAGGAGUUCGAGUUCCUUAGCUAUGGUUUGUAUCUCAUGAGCCUCUUCGACUACAGAACGGUUGUCAGCCAUCUUGUAGUCAUGAAACUGCUCCAUAAUAUACAGAUCAUUGCUAGCAUUAGUAGCACCGAAUUUAGUAUUCAGUGCAUCCCACAACUCCUUAGCGUCGGUCAUAUGCAUAUACACCUCGACCAGACGAUCGCCAAGAACGCUAAGAAUGCAUCCCACAAAGAGAGUAGUGGCUUCCUCGAAUUGCUUCUGCUGAUCAACAGUAAGAAUUCCUUCAGGUUUGCCAGUACUCACCCAGAAGCAUUUCAUAGCCGUCAGCCACAGAGUGACCCUGAUCUGCCAUCUCUUAAAGUGCACACCGGUGAAUUUAUCCGGCCUCAGUGCAUCGGCAAAACCAGCCAUAGUAAAAUCACAGCGCCUAUAAUAAGUUUUUUGGAUUGUUGAAAUUAUAAGCACAUAAUGAUUUAAUUUAUUCCAUAAAUAAAUCAUGACAUUGCAGAUGUAAACUAGAUUGAACGCAUCAUUAGAUCCACACAUGUAAACUAAGCAGUAAAGCAUGAACAGAUAUGCACAACAUGUAGAACACGUACCGAGGUGGCGGAAAGACCGGUUGCUCGGCAGGAACUACUCGCGGUUGCGAGCGUCGACGAAGGCGUGAAGCACGCGAGUGGAGAGGAAGGCGAGCCGUCGCGGACAAACAGGGAGCAGUCGCGCGAAGCGCUUCCCAAAAACCUUAUUGCCGCCUUCUCCCGGUGCAGGACGUCGAAGGUAGAGGUUCCGGAGACCUGCUCUCCCGAUCGCCGGUGCACGCCGGCGAGCGGGAUGGAGUAAUCUACGAGCGACGGCGCAGUACAGAGUAGGAGGCAAACCCUAGAUUAAUUUCGCGUGUGUUGCGUGAAGGCGGCGGCUCGGUUUAUAUAGAGAUAGAUCGCCUGAUCAGGGCGCCCGCGUAAACCGAACCGGAUAAGUCGUGCGUGUAGGCGGCGGCUCGGUUUAUAUACAGAUAGAUCGCCUGAUCAGGGCGCCCGCGUAAACCGAACCGGAUAAGUCGCGCGUAAUUUCCUGCAGCAAAACAAAACUGUAAAAGGAGGCUGCAUCUGCGCAAUGGUGAGGAGCCAAUUUUGCGGACCAUUCGACGCGUACAUCAUCCACGCGUCGCCUGCCCUGCCAGGCGAGGCGAGGUGAGCGAGCACGUGUUUCCUCUCUUCUCUCCACCACACAUGCUUCAAGUGGCUAGGAGGGCAUCCUCCCUUUUAAGGAGGUCCCCCUCUCCCAGAAUAAGCAAGGUGGUACUAAACUCCACAUGCAUGCCAUCCCAUGAGGUGGGCUUUUGUGAUUUUCUAAAGAAUUAAUCUUCGAAUGGGCCGUAGCCCAUCUAUUAAUUUCAAGAUGGGAUGUAGGGAGUAUUAGAAAUCUCGAUAGAGGACGGGGGUAUAUAUUACGAUUUUGGCGCUUGGCAUUAUGACAAACGAGGGAUUUUCUUUGUGUUAUAAGAUGAUAGUACUAGUGCAAACGAAAAGAAGGGAAACACGGGUAGAGGCCUAGAGAGCAUUGUGGUACUCUCAGAUUCAAAAAAUAGAGAAGAUGUGGAAAACAAAGGUCUUAUCCCCAAAAUUAAGGUGUUGCAUCUCUGCCAACAGGUGAAGUACGAUUCAGGAGGUACAUGGCACAGGUUGAUGUAUCAAUGGAGGAUGCAAAGCUGUUGCUGUUUGAGAUGAAAGAUACGCUUAAGGCUUAAUCAGGAUGAUUUUAUUAAAAUGCGUGUUACCCUUUAGGCCAAUACUGUAGGGCAAGAGGGCGUGCUAUACUAUACAUGGAGGAUUUGGAGCAUGGAACAGGUCAAAGCAAAACCUGUCAGAGAGAGGCAGAGUGUAGCUCUGCCAAAACCUCUGCCAAGACUUCAGUAAACAGUACGCACGCGUGCUUGUUGAGUGGAAAAUGCACAUCCCACUAUCCCAGCACAAGGGUGAGGAAUGGCCAAUGGGGAUGUUGGGCUUGUCUGGUUCCUUGCCAUUUGCAACGAUGACAAAAUUUUGGCAAUGGCAGAAGUUGGGUCAUUGCCGAAAAAAAUUUGGUAAAAGUUAGUAUCUGAGUAAGUCACUAAGCCAAAUAAGACGGCAAUGAUUUUUUUUUCUGGCUAUAAACCAGACAGACUGACAUUAUUUUUUAGCUUGGUUGAAAAAGGCUACAAACCAUACAAGCCCAUUGUGACAAGUCUGCACAUCUUCCCCUUGACUAGAAAACAGCCAUUCCAAUUCAUUAGAUUCAUUAGACUAGAUUAUUCCAUUCAACACCGCAAAAGCAUACGAAUUUCAUUAGAUUCAUUAGGCUAGAUGAUUCCAUUCGACACCACAAAAGCAUCCGAGGCAUUAAGAGGAUACAAGUGUUUCAUCACGACAUCACCCAUCCAUCCAUCACAGACCAAAUGAACUCCCCCAACUUCCUGGAGCUAACGACGACGAUGCUUCAUUCAUUCAGACGCCGGUGGAUCCGAACCCUCCCUCUCCCCUGACGGUGGCGUCGAGGUCCUCCACCUCGGCGACCUCCGGCGUCACGAUCACCUCGAUGAUCAUCUGCGCGAUCCGGUCGCCGGGCUUCACGGCGAAGUCGGUGUCGGAGUGGUUGAAGAGGAUGACCCCUACCGGGCCACGGUAGUCGGCGUCGAUCACCCCGGCGCCUACGUCGAUCGAGUGCUUCAACGCCAGCCCAGACCUCGGCGCUAAAACCGGACAGGCAUUUCGUCAAACACCUGGUGCGCAAGCAAGAAAGGAAUGGACGGAAAAGAAUAAAGAGAGGAAAUGCUCACCGACGCGCGCGUAGGUGCCCUCCGGGAUGGCGAUGCUGAGGUCCGUCGGCACCAUCGCCUUCCCCCUCGCCGGCACGACGACCUCCGCCGCGCUGAGAUCAGAAAAAAAAACCCACAAAAACGGUGUAAACAACCACCAACGGCGAUGCCAUUUUUGUUUUUCACGGGGAGACCUUGCCGGGCGCGUACCUCGACAGGUCGUAGCCGGCGGCGAGGGCGGAGCCGCGGGACGGCAGGACGGCGUUCUCGGAGAGCUUCUUGACCUUGAGCAAGGGAGCAACCUUGGCGAUCUUGUGCGGGGGCUCCUGGACGGCGGAGUCAGCGGCGGCGGCGGCGGCGGAGGCGUUGCCGUUGGUAGCGGUGGCCAUGGCGACGGCUGAGAGAGCUCUCGGCGGCAGGCGGUGGUGGCGCGAGAAGGGGACGAACGGUGGAGGAGGUGAGUGGAUUUGGGGGAAGCGGCGGAGGCGGCAAUGGUGGUUAAAUAGAGGGGAGAUGAGGCGGGAACAGAUGGCGCCAAGUUUUCCCGCCAUAUUUCUCCUCCCACCAACGCCGCGCCCGAGUUAAAUAGAGGAGGGUUUGGUCUCCCACGCGGUCGCUGCUGUUUUAAAUGCAUGGAUAUGGAUGCGUGCGCGUGCGGGGCAGUUUUUCGGAAAUCUCGCCGGAUUUCCUGUGAUUUGUUAUUGGCAGGAUGAUUUUCUUUUUCUCAUCUGAUAUGCUACUGUUUUUUUAUGAAGGAUAAUUUGCCAGAAAAAAAUUACGAAUCGCUUAUUAUAAUCCCAGAUAAAAGGGUCCAUAUAAGCCCAUAGGAUGCAUAAAUGCAUUUAUCCUGAGUUACUGACCGUUUUACAUAUGUAUAACCUUUAUCUGAAUAGCGAACUUUCCGACUUUUAAGGGACUGUUCACUUUAAUGUCAUUUUCAACCUUACCAAAUUUCGGUGAAGUUGCUAAAAAAGUGGCUACAUUUAGUUUGCUGUCGAAUUUUGCUAACUAUAUAAGAAAUCCUGUUUACCAAAAUUUUGACAACUAUACCAAAAUUUUGACAAAGAUUUUUUUCAUCAAAGUGAACAGGCUUAAAAAAGAGUGACAGAUAUCAGGUGCCAAAGGGUUCGAAAAAGUACCAGGGCUAACUAGUAGUACUACAUGUUAAUUUCGUAAUCACCAUGGCAAACAACUGACCAACCCGAUAAUCAAAAUAUACGAAACAUAGUGCUGUCAGUUGUCACAACUGUCAACCUGGUAAGCAUAAUAUUACUGCUUUCUCCAUUUCAUAUUAUAAAACUUCCUAGCUUUACCCUCAUAUUAUAAAACUUUCUAGCAUUACCCACAUUCAUAUAUAUUUCAUAUAUAUGUUAAUGAAUUUAGACAAACAUAUAGUCUAGAUUCACUGACAUAUACUACCUCUGUUUUUUAAUAGAUGACGUUGUUGACUUUUUCCCACAUGUUUGACCAUUCGUCUUAUUCAAAAAAAAAUUUCCGUAAUUAUAAUUUAUUUUGUAUGAGUUAUCUUAUCACUCAUAGUACUUUAAGUGUGAUUCAUAUCUUAUACAUUUGCAUAAAAUUUUUGAAUAAGACGAGUGGUCAAACAUAUGAGAAAAUGUCAAUGGUGCCAUCUAUUAAAAUACGGAGGGAGUAUAUGAAUGUGGACAAUACUAAAAAGAGAGUAGGAAAUACACUAAACAUGUGCACAAGCAGCACAGUACAAUGGACAGCUGAUAUGCCUGACUUGGAAAGGGACAAAUUCAUAAUCAGUUGUGAAAUACAAAUGCAAAAGUUGGUAGCUUUCUACUACAAAAAGAAGUUAUACAACAAGAAGAGACCGAUCCGAAUGGAUGAUGCUUUCUGGUAAUAUAAACACUACAUCAACUUAACACGGUGAGUCAGAGCACACGUCUUGCCAAGACAACAGAUUGCAUUUUUCCACUGGACAUUAGGAUAUGAUACAGCUGAUUGCCUGAUUCUAUGCUACAAGACCAACAAACUGAUUUCCAUAGCCCAUCGAGUUGGUCGUAAUUCUUAACACAAGGAACUUACAACAACACAGGAAGAAAACUGUCCUUCAAACUAUUUUCCGGUGUCCGCUGAAGGCCCAAAUCUGAAAAUGUUCAACAAGCAGCAACUCAAACGUUAACAUGCUGGAGUUUGCACCAAAAUAUUUUCUUUUGCUUUCACUUCUAGAACAUGGCAAAUGCUAAACACAAAACUCAGUAAGUUCCGCUGGGAUCUUUAUGAGAUAAAAAAGCACCACGUUAAUCAUGGCAAAGCUACAACUAAAGGGUAACGGUUGUCAAAAUCAACAAAUGCAUGACUUCCUUACACAGCACAACGGCCGGAUAAACUAGCAAAUAUUGCCGACCAAAGUGUUCUUCUGUAUCUUAAUAUUAAGUGUUAAUCUAUGAUAUAAGAACAUUUUCAGUUAGUAAGGAUGUCAAAUUAGUACAAAGUGCAGAAGUUAGUUGUUGUUUCUAAAAAGCAACUCACAAGCUAUUAAUUUUGGAAUAAGGACAGCAGGUCUUACAACUGAUAAUUACAUUCCAGCGUGAUUAUAAUUUAACAGUGUUAAGGUAGUACAGUUCAUGGCAUGCACUUGAUUAUCAAAAGAAGCUUUCGUACCUUCAAAUUCUUGUCCCAACUUCCUGUACACAAUGCACUCCCAUCAGAAGAAAGACCAAGGCAGCUUAUACGCCCCUCAUGAGAGUUUUGGAGGUUUCCCAAAUUAAGUACCACCUAUCAGAAACAAAAGAAUUCACAAGUGAACCGAUUUUACAAGUUACAACAGUAAAACCAAUAUAUAAAGAGAGAAGAAAUAUAUAUAUUCAAAGCCUACCCCCUAUCAGUUACAUUAUUGAAACAAGGCGAAAAUGACCCUCCAAGCACGAAUUCAGCUACUCCCUCUGUUUCACAAUAUAAGACUUUCUAGUAUUGCCCACAUCCAUAUAGAUGCUAAUGAAUUUAGACAUUAUUAUAUAUAUAGAUUCAUUAGCAUCUAUAUAAAUGCAGACAAUGCUAGAAAGUCUUACAUUGUGAAACGGAGGAAGUAGUUAUCUUCAAACCAGAAAAGUUACAACAUGCCGACAUACAAGCAUGUUUACAUUGUUGACAGAGUUAAGGUCGUGUAACUCAAAUAGCAUAUCUUCCAACUGACUGUAAUAUAAUAGUAUAGUUGUAUAUAACAGGUAUAAUACAAUAUUUGCGAUAUUUUUUCAAAAAAUGGAAAGCAUGACUAUGUAAUAUAUUAAAGUCCACAGUAAUUUGGUCAAUAUUGUUUUCAGGUUCUGUUUUCACACUAUCUAAGCUGUAGUAAAAUUCAUGAGAAAUGGCCAAUGAUGCAAACCUCAGCGAGAAGUGUGUCCCACACAUAACAGUCACCAUUGGAGUAUCCAGCAAAAAGAAGCCUUCCUGAUAUCGAAAAUGCAAUAGAUGUAACAGUUGGGAGUUCAUUAUCAUUUCUAUCAGGUUCCCGACUGUAUACUUGAAGUUGGUGCCCUGUUCUCACGUCAAAUAAUCUACACGUUCCAUCAUCUGAACCAGUACCAAACCUCUGGCCAUCAGGGAAAAACUUGACACUGUUAAUGUCACCCUCAUGACCAUGAUAUGUUCUAACUGCCCGGCUUGCAAUUCUGAUAUCCCACAGCCUUACAGUUGCAUCACAUGAACCCGAAACAAACAUAUUCGAAUUUGAUGAGUUUAUGGACAAGCUGCAGCAGAAAGUAGAUAUAUUAGAGCACUAAAAAAAACACCUAUGCAAACAGAACCAUAGCAGCUUAUAUAUUUCAAAACAAUAACCAAAUUAAAUUAAAUCACUUUCAGCAGUUCAUUUGAAAAAAAGGCAUGUUGCUACAUUACAAAGAUGUUUUCUAUGCCACGUGUAUAAGCCAAUUCAUUACUAUUUUGUGCCUCAACUAGAUUCAUGAAAUUGUUUCACAAACCUUUUUAAGACCAAAUGCUUCAUCUGCUACCAUGUGACAACAUUGCAUACUCCCUCUGUAUAUUUUUAUACGGAGGGCAUACUAUUUAUAGCCAUAUCUUGCAAGCAAACUUGUACCACUUAAUUGAUGCAGUGAACAUAGCUAAGACACAUCAUUAGGGAACAAGGGCAAAACACAGUGAUAACAAACAAGAUAUAUCUAUCGCACUAACAGUAUUCACAUAUUACUGAAGACGGAAACCUAGCAUUCAGUAGCUUAAGUUGAAGCUGUCAUAUGUGAGAAGAGGAUUUCAAUUCAGUGCAUGGAGAACAGUUAAAUGCUAUGCAAUAGUAAGCAGGAUGUCCAAAUGAACCAAGUCAAGAAAGAAAGAAAAAUACCUCAAAACAUCUGCCGUAUGCCCUGAUGGGAAUUCACCGCCAAAUAUUGAUAUCCUUUGGCCAGUAGUAACAUCCCACAGGACACAUGUUUGAUCACCAGAGCUAGUAAUUAGGCGGGUUUCCUGAUCUGGGACAUACUGACAGGAUGAAACAUAGCCUUUGUGUCCGGUAAGUAUUCUUGAUACUGGUAUAUUCCCAUCUCUGUCUGCUUGUGAGUUAAGAUUGAAGAUAGAGCAUGCGCUGUCAAGACCACCACAGGCAACAGAUUGGCCAUUGGGUGCAAAUGCACAUGUCAUCACCCAUGGGCAAUGUAACUUUAUGGCAUGUGUUUUUUGACUUGUUAAUGCAUUCCAUACAAUUAGCCUUCCAUCUUGUGAGGCACUGACUAUCCAAUUCUUUUCAGGGGUCCAAUCCAGAGAAUAUACCUGCAGUGACUAAUGAGUUAAUGCUAGGCAUAAAACAUGAAAUCAUUUGAUAAAAGCAUUUAUUUUUGCCGACCAAUGUACCACAGAGGAAUUUGAAGUGUUCAAUUGCCACAGCAAAGUAGCAGAACAAAAAAAAAGGCAUCUUAGAACAGUUGGACCUUGGAACUUGGAACCAACAGCAGAUCAUAAAUUCCUUGCAUUCCAAUUUUUCUAGUAUUGCAACUUUAUAAACAUCAGUAGUUUGUGACUUUGUGUUCAUUUGGUUGCCAACCUAGGGGUCAUAUUGCUUAUUUGACCUGAUUAUGCGGACUAUCCGUAACCGGUGAUCAUAUGUCAAUGUUGCGGCCUUACGAGCACUAACUUAUACACCCUAGAUCCAUUAGAAGGCCAGUUCUUUAAUGAAUUGAUGAAAAGUAUCCUGAAUUGAGCUGAGUAUUAAAGAUUAUGAAAAAUACACUAUUUCUAGCAACCACAUCUGUCAACCAGCUAUGCUAUACACGCCAUAUAAGAUCCUGGGGACUGAAUAAUGUGUCAAUAGUAAUGUAGAUCUGCUGGACUAGCAACUGUGGAAGCACGUAUUGGCGAAUAGGGUUACGCUCAUAUCUUGUUUCAAGUCAUAACCAAGGGAUCUGACCAAACACAAUAAUCAUUGAAACAGCUACUGCAUUAACAUUAAUAGAGGCUCCAAUUGCAUUCUUCCACUUCUGCUUAGUAAACUGACACGAUCUCCAAUUACAUGUUUGACCAUUACUUCUAAUCGUAUGUCCAUAAAAAAAUAUUAAAAAUAUAAUGGUCUGAAAGUAUUUUCCAAGACAAUUCUAGAAUGUCAUGACACCUUUUAAUAUUUUGGGGAACAUUCAUGACCAAAAUUUCCAGGUUUGACUGCACUGGAUUCUAAAAGGCAUCUAUUUUAGAACGGAGGGAGUAUUCAUGCUACAGAGGAUCCGAGUCCAAUCAGUGAUUGUACACUACCUGAAACUGUCUUCGCAUGUUCAAGUAUGAAGUUUUGUAAAUAUGCGCUGACAAAGAAGUAACUGGUGCAGCUACGGAAUACACUUUGCUAGAUGGCAUAUAUGCACUAUGUAAUGUAAUUUAGCGAUAUUUUGUUGGACUAUAUGUACGUUUAGUGAUGUAAUAGUGGUGUCAUUAUUUGUAUUCAAGUAUAUUCAUAUAUUUCACCGUAUUGUAGUUUAACAUAUAUAUUAUGAGGUCUUUUAGGACGCUCCAUCUUACAUGUAGAGUGGUAAGAGCAAGCAACAAAUCCUAACCAUUAGUUUGUAUAUUUGCUUUAUCUAGUGAUAGAUAUAAUUCCAUCUAAUAAUUAAUAAAUCACAGCAGAAGAGGAAACUAUUAAUGCCUGUAAUUAAUUAAUUAUUCUUUCUGCAUACCAGGAAUGUGCAAAACAAAUUGCAUACUUUACAAAGCAAACAGCUGCUGGUUUUAAAAAACAAGUGACUUUUGAAACCUCAAGAUUUAAUAUGACAAAUAAAAGUAAUUCGAAUUACAUUCAACACCAACACAGUAAUUCAGUUUUUUUUGGAUGGUGGUGUGGGUGGGGGUUGGGGGGGGGGGGAGGCAAAAUUAUGCAUUAAAUAUUUACUGUAUGGGGCUAUUACGUUCUUACCCCUGUUUUGGAGUCCAACUGUGGUUUUGCCCCUGUUUUUUAGGGUUUGCGUUUUCAUCCCCCCCCCCCUCCUUCUGAAAACGAAGCAGAGCAUUACCCCUAAUUUGGAUGGUCAGUUUAAAUGGAGCACGAAAAGACAUUUAUACCCCCGUUUGCUAUUGCAUAUUUGUCCCUUUUCUAUAACACGUGUUUUACUCUAUUUUGACCGGAGAGCAUUGCUCUGAAUAUUUUCUUAAAGCAUAAAGAGUUCUUGACAACAGAAAUUUUCAGUGGGAGAAUCAGACAAAAACAAGCCAAAUUGGUAUGGGGCCUUUGCCGAACCCUGACAAACCAUGGGAACGGAGGAAGGACAGCUGGACAGUCGCAUCAUAUGAACUCAAGAGAGGCAAGAAUCGACCAUGGAUUUCAGUUGGUUUACUCUGCAAUCUUCUAGCCCAGAGCCAUGGUUAUGCAGAGUCUGUAAGCCACAACUUAGGAUUAGGAUUUGUUGCCGAGGAGCCACUGCCGCCAUAAAAAAACAGACUACUGCUUGCAUCGAUGCGCCGAGGAAUCACCGCCGCCUGCUUGCCGGAGCCUCCGUGGACUGCCGUUUGCUUCAACGCGUCAAGGAACUGCUGCCUGCUCGCGUUUCCGCACAGGCUAGCCGGAGCCACCGCCACCACCUGCUCGCAUUUCCACACAGGCUCGCCAGAGCCGCUGCCGCUGCCGCGAACUGCUGCUGGCGUCACUGCGCCGAGGAGCCACCACCUGCUUGUGUUUCCGCACAGGCUCACGACCGCUGCCGCAUGCUCUAGGUCUAGGAUUUGUGGAUGAUCUGAUGGAAACGGUGGAGGAUAACAGGAGACUGAACAUGCUCAAGGGUAGAAUGGUAGUCUCAUUUUUCUAAAAUCGUUUUUCCCCCUUUUUUAUGUCUCCUUAGCUCAUUAUUGUGGGACCCACCUAACUUCCAUCCAUAGUAGGGGUAAACGGUGACUUCAUUUUGAAAAAACAUGGGUAAAUUUGCAAACCCUAAAAAGUGAGGGCAAAAUCACAGUGGAGAUUGAAAGCUGGAGUACAAACACAAUUGUCCCUUACUUUAUUGGCAAACAAUUUUUAUUGCAGGUUCAUGAUUUUAUUUUUCUUUCCUUUUUACGCGAUCUAUUACCUCCAAUGAGGUAAUAUGAAUGCCAUCCAUUGGACCAAGGUGUAAUUAAGAGUACCAUAAAAAAAAUCAAUAUACUAUAAGAGAAACCAAUGGUAACAAUCUUUGAGACCAUGACAAGUCAAACCAUGCCGCAUAAAAGUGAACAAAGGGAAUACAUGCAGCUGUGACUAGAAAGGAGAAAUAAACACUGAACUAUCCUCCUAGGAGAGACUAAUGUUUGUAUACCAAAUCACUCAACCAUGUCCAAGUUUUGCAAUAAGCAUGUUACCAUUCCAUGCAUAAGGGAGGGAGGCAGCCAGCGAUGGUUGUCUGUGACAUUGCUUCUGCAAAUCAACUAGUGGAAUUUUAUUCCAUAAAAUAUACAAAAACAGUAUUGCCUAUAUGGGGAAUACAUUCUAACAAAACCUAUUUUUGGCACUUUUUUUAGAAUAUGACUCUGGUUGAUUCAAUGGACACAAGUGAAACAACAUUUCUAGGGGACGAUAGAAUUCUAAACAGGUAAAUGAUGAACUGGUUGUCAAAAUUGCAAUCUAGUUCAACCUAGUUCUGUCUAUGGGUAGUACUAUCUGAUUAGGAUGUAAUGCCAUCUAUAAAAAAAUAUUAGCCAACACAUGCUUAAAUAUUGUAAAGUAUCAUAGCGAUUUCACUUUUUAGAAGGAAAAGGACUAACCCCUGCUCUGAUUGAAAAUGAAAUACACAGGUAAAGAAUGGAAUUCUAAGGAUGGAAGCAACCAAAAGUGCAUCUACCUACACAGGUUUUUUAUUAUUACACACAAAAUAUAGCAUUUAACAAAGUUACUCUACUUAUCCACCUUCAUCUCAUUCCUGUGAACCAAAGGUCUUGAGCCUUAUCCUUUAUAACAAGAGCAACCUCCAUAAAAGAAGACUUUCUCCGCUUCCCACAGUAAAGGAUAAGCAGACCAAAACAUUCUUGGACCAAUAAAGGUUUACAAAGUUUGUUCCUCAAGGCAAAUGGUGGCUUUAUAUUUAGAAAUAGGAGAACCAAACCUCCUCAAAACCAGAGAGUAGCUACACACCACACAGUUCAACUAAUUGUAUUACCAUUUAUAUAACAUAAGGCAAAUAAAGCAACAAAAGCAUGCAAAACAGCAAAUAUGACAUAAGUGCUUAAUUAACUUUCUUCUUCUUGAAUAGCAUCUCGAAUUCAAGUUCCUCCUACCAACAUUCCUAAACACAAGAUAAUUUAACUCUAAUCUACAACAAUGCAACUUGACCAGUAUUAAAAACAUGCUAAAAUCCACACAAAAUUAGACCAAAUAAUCAAUAUUUGCCCAAAAAUGAUGCAUUCAACUUAAUGUCAAGUUUCUUAACUAGAGGUACCAACCCAAUCACCGAAUCUUACUCACUCGAAAUUAACUGGGCUUACACUACCACCCCGUCUAGCACCAGUUGCAACUAUUUCUAAUCGCAAACAAGUGCUAGUACUUCAUCCAUCUCUUCUUCCACAAUUCAACCUCCAAAACCGUACGACCGAACCCCAAUUCGCAAAAGCUGUACCGAAAUUGAGAUACGAGAGGCAGAAAGUCAACUGAUCAGCAACCUUUCCGCUGUGGCCUUGAAGCGUGCGGCAGCACACCAGAUCCGUCGGGUUGAAGCUCACCGGCGUCCGCCCCUGCGUCCUCGAGUACCUCUCCACUGCACAUACACAUACACACACCCCAAAACAAUCAGCAAAAAAAAUAAACCCCGCUAAAUUCACCCCGAGCCCUCGAGAGCUCCCACCGCCUGUGGGGGUUGGAGGGGUGGGUGGGGGGGGACCUCACCGUCGGUGUCGAGCAGCAUCUGCCGCCUCUGACGGAGCCGCUCCCGCAGGGAGUUCACCGACGCCGUGGCCGCCGCGUGCUUCUCCUUGAGCUCCGCCACGGACGCCAUGCCGCCGCCGCCCGCACGCCCCCCGCGACCUCGCGCUGGUUGAGGGAGGGGGGAUCUACUGGGAUCCGGGCAUGGAGGCGAGGAACGCAAUGGCCUCGGCUGGAGCUUUCCGGAGCUCGCGAGGAGGAGGAGGAUACUACCACGGCGGCGGCGGCGAGAAACGGACGCCGAAAUGGGGUGGAGGAAGAGAGGGGGGGGGGGGCGAGUUGUUGGGGGACGCGUUGCGUUGGGUUUAGGAGGAGGAAAGAGGAGGAGGUGUCCGACUAGGCUGUUUUUAUGUGGAUGACAUGUGGGGCCCACCUGAACGUGGGGCCCGCGGUAGUAGGGUUGGUUUUAUGGCAGACUGGGGAGAAGUGGGGGUAAAGGGACCACCGGGGAGUGACCGUUGUGUGAGCGGGCGACUGUCACAUGUUUAUGCAAGUUUUUUUUUUUGAGAAACUAGUUAUUGUUGAUUUGUUGUCAGCUAGUAGUAUCUGUGGCUUGAUUUUCUCUGUUGUUCAACUGAGUGUAGAGAGUUCGGAAGAAGAAGAAGAUGCAUCGAUGCUGAUACGAGAUUUCUCGAAGGCUAAAUCCUAUGAAAUGACAUUGAAUUUCAAUCGGAAUACAAUGUGUAAAAUAGAGAACUAUAAAUCAAUUUAUAGAAAAGAUCAUUUGACUUAUAAACUUUGGGUCUCUAAACUUUAGAUGUGUAAACUUGGGGUGUAUAAACUUUAGAUGCAUAAAUUUACUAAAAUAGAAAAAUAAUGUGGUGCCAAAAAAAGAAACCACGUGAAGGAGGGGGUGAUCGCUAGGGGCGAUCGAUCCUCCGUUAGCCUUUUCGCGACCUCCUACGCACGGUGAGAAUGGAUGGAAUGAUGACAUCUGUAUUUUAAGUAACUGUAAAACUGUUCAAUUCUUUCAUAUAAAAGAAUAUUUCUUUAGAUUUCAUUAUAUUUCGCUCACAAGUCAAUACAGUAUGACUCAAAAAUGGGAAUUACAACACUUCCCUUUGUAACCGUCAAUACUUUUCUUUCUAAAUCGCCACCAUUUUUUUUUUACAAUGUGUAUGGGAUCCCUUUGCAAGGUUGAUUCAACAACUCAGCUCUUACAGAAGAAUGAUGUUGAAAGGUCAAUCAUGUUGCCACAUGGCAAGAAAAACCAACGAAGGAAAAUGGCCAAAAGAUCUGGCCUACCAACUGCUAUCCCACAAACUAAUUCCACAACAUCGAAAAUGACACUACGGGUACCUUUUUUUUUUCUUCCGUUUGACGGAUAAAAGCACCUUUCAAUUUCAGAUUACGACCCUGAUGUUAUAUUGUCUUUUGAAAUCCACAAAUCUCUUUCGUUACAAGUAUGCACAAGGGUUAAAAACUUAAGCCAAUGCAAUGUUUGGGACACGCAAGAAAAUAGAAACCACAUUCAUCAAAGAACAUUAUACUACCUCACGAGAAAUUACUCCAAAAAUCCGAUAAAACUGUCAUAUUCCAGACAAGCAUGACAACAUGCACGUACAAAUAAUGCAACAUAAUCGACUAUAAAUAUAGGCAUAUACAUAUAAGCAUAGGUAGAUUACACACCAAACAACCUGUAUCACCAUUGACAACGACUCACACGCCUCUACACAGUCAUCACAAAGCCAACCUGCCCAAAGCUGCACUAGAAGAGACGCCAUAUGCACAGUUAGUCACACACACGCACGCACAAAGGCACAAAAGCCACAAAGGCAAACCGAGGAAAUGGAAGCAUCUGCUACGCCGAGAAGAAGACGGAGACAGGACGAUAUGCAUCCUCACAGUGAGCCAGCCAACCACCGCCACCAUAAAACGUUACAUUAUUGUCCGUGGCUUUAUUCGAUUCGCGCAGGCGUUUGUAGGGCCGGAAAACUUGUAUAGUAGAUCAUCAUAUAUGGUGAUAGCUGCAGAAGAAAACGAAUUAUAUAUGGGCCAUGGACUGGAGCUGUGUGGAGGAUAAAAUGGUUAAUAGGUAAUUGAGUCCGUGAUGGUUGGUGUUCAUCAUUGGCCUCCGGUGUACACACAUGAGCCAUAGCCUGCAGAAAAAUCAUAGAGGAGUUUUUCAGAUUAGCACAGUUAAUUUUGAUUGACCAACAGCAUAUUAUGUGGAAAAGAGACUGUUUACAUUGCUGCAAAAAUUGAUUUUUAGCUAAACAGAUGGAAUUUAUCCACUAAUCCAAACUUAUAGUAAACAAUCAUAACGAGCAGCUCUAUACCAACAGCAAGAAAGCAGGUAAAGGCACGCAGUAGAUAACUUCGGAGUUCAGAGAGCUGUUGCUGAAAGAUGAGCAAAGUUAACUUGUGCACUACUACCACUUUCCUACAGAAUCCAUUCAUUCCCUGACAUUAACAAUGGAAAACACUAGUCCUGCAAAUUGCAUAUGUUUACCUACUAAAUGCAAGCUUUUGCAGCAAAAAAGCGAGACAUUUCAGUAAGAAAAGGCCUGCCUCAGCAGUGCAGGAAGCCACAUUGCAAGUGCCCCAGCAAUUCAGCACAUGAGCAAUGUCGAUCGAAUGAAUGAAUAAAUGAAUGAAUGUGAGCAAUUUGGAAAAAAAAUCUUGAAAUAUUGACAAAUUUAUGCAAAACUUGGAAAAAAAAAAGAGCUUGAAUGUGUGCACGUACUGGGGUUGUCAGAGGUGAGCGUGGCGGAGGAGCGGAAGUCGCAGUUCCAGGGGUGGCGGCCGGCGGCCUGGUAGAGCUGGUUCAUGGCGUAGGCGGCGUGGGCGCGCACCGUGUUGGGCUCGAAGCACGCGCCACCGGCCUGGAUGGCGCCGCAGUCCACGCCCACCUGCGCGCACGCGUAGUCCAGGUCGGCCUGCAGGUCCGCCUCCGUCGCGCCGGCGCUCGCCACGCACCACCCGCCGCCGCCGCCCCUCGGCUGCUGCUGCGAUGCCCCGCCGUUGCUCGGGCUCGCCGCGCCGCCGGACGACGACGUCAGGCCGGCGUCGUACGCCAUGGUGAGGUCGGUGUGGUACAGCCCGAACGAGCGCUCCGACGUCGGGCCGGGCUUGAGGUCCUCGUCGUAGAGCGCGAACAGGUACGUGUCCACGGGCUUGCCCGGCAUCAGCGGCGUGCCGGCGCCGGACCGCAGGUGGGAGACGAGGUUGGAGACGUAGGCCCUGGCGUUGUCCGCCGUGGCGCCGGCCUCCCCGGCGUCGCCCCUGGUCGGCCACCCGGUCUCCGCCACCACGAUCUCCACGUCGCCGUACCCGGCGCGCCCCAGCGCCGACUUGACGGCGUCCACCUGCGCGUCGAACAUGUUGGUGUACUUGAUCUUGGACCCGGCGUCGACGCGGCCGGCAUUGGGCUGGAAGAGGCAGAAGGCCAGCGUCUCCGGCCGCGGGUCGGACUGGUAGGCGAAGUAGGGGUAGGGGUUGAUCAUGAAUGGCGCGGUGGUCUUGCUCAGGAAGCCCAGGAUCUGGGUCAGCUGCGGCGAGAUGUCCGGGUGGAAGGCGCCGGUGGACGGCGGGUCGGACUGCGCGAGCACGGCCAUGGUGUUCACGGUGGAGAACUUGAUCCUGGCGGCCCCGUCGCCGGCCGCGGCGGCGGCGGCGCGGAGGUUCUGCAUGGCGGGGAGGAGCGCGGCGGCGAGGGAGGCGUCCCCGGACUCGAGGACCUCGUUCCCGACGGCCACGACGGAGAUGGUCGACGCCGGCACGAACGGGAGCACGUUGGCGGCGAGCCACCGGGACGCGGCGGCGGGGUCGGCGGCGAGCGAGGGGAUGUCGCCGUUGGCCACGCCAACCACGAGCGAGAUGCCCGUGCCGGCGAGCGCGCGCAUGAUCCCCGGAUCAACGCCGUACAGCCUGACCUUGGAGAUGGUCGUCGACUUGAGCAGCUUCGCCGUCUCCUCCGGCGCCGGCAGGUUGUCCGCCACCUCGCCGUAGUUCACCCCGAUGUACGAUUGCGCUCCUGCACCCAAUCCAACCAAUCAAAAACCAAAAAGCCAUGGAAAGAAAAAAUUCCCCGAGCUUUACAGCUUCUUGAUCCGGCAAUUUCCUCGGGACACGAGACCGAUCAAACCACCCAAAAGCUACUUACUCGACGCGGCGACGAAGCAGCAGAGCGAGACGGCCAGAGCCAAAAGGAGCUUUCUCGACUCGGCCUCCAUGGAUUCGAGCUCGCGCCGCGCCCAGAGCAGAAAGGAGAAGUGUGAAAGCAGCAGCAGCAGCAGCAGACGAACAAAGAAGAUAUGGACGCGGCGGCCAAGUGUGGCGUGAAGAGUGAAGACGGCGAUGACGACGACCCAAGGAACGGAAGCCGACCAAAUCAUCCAAGAAUCAUAUGCCUACGCGGAUGGAGCCUACCCCCUACGCGACGCGGCUGCUGCUACCCGGUGGCGCCCGCGCGGCUGCGUUGCGUUUGCGUGCGCCCGCCCGCCGGGAAAGCCGCGGAUUCGUGGCGGGGGUAAGGUAUUAUUUGGUGUGCAAAACAAAUGGAGUAGUAUAGGAGUACAAGUACUCGUGGACGUACGUGUGCUGAGCUGUGGCCACGUGCGGCGGCCGGGGGAGUGUGUGUGUGUGUGUGGGCGCGCGCCGCGGUGGAGGCGGGGAUGGCCGUUGGAUCGGUGGGGAGGCCGGUGGGCGUUGGACGGCCCGGAUGGGGUAGAGAUGGAGAUAGUAGCCGUUGUUAAGCAAGCGCGGGCCACCGUGCCGGCGAUGGUGGCGGUGCGAUGGUUGGGUAGCUGCAGGCCUGCGGUUCUGCACGCCCGUGGACUGUGAGUGUGUGAUCGGGGUGGCCCCGUUUGGGUAUUACGGAUCACAUUUUCUCCAACCUUUUUACUGCUUUGUUUGAGGGGAUGUUUAGAUCUACAGUUUUCACGUGUCACAUCGGAUAUUAUAUAGGAUGUUCAGGCACUAAAAAAACUAAUUACAUAAUUUGUCAGUAAAUCGCGAGACGAGUUUAUAAAGCCUAAUUAAUCUAUCAUCAGCAAUGUUUACUGUAGCACUACAUUGUCAAAUCAUGGAACAAUUAGGGUGAAAGGGUGAAAAUUAGUCGCAAUCUAUGUAAUUAGUUAUUUUUAGCCUAUAUUUAAUACUUCAUGCAGAUGUUAAACGUUUAAUGUGAAAGGGUGAAAAAUUUUAGGGAGGAAUCUAAAGAGGGGCUUACUGCUUUGUUAGAGUGGGCAUAUGUUUAGAUUCCCAUUUUUUUUCUUCAAACUUUCAACUCUUCCAUCACAUCAAACUUUUCUACACACACAGACUUCCGACUUUUCUGCCGCAUCGUUGGUGUGUUUAGUUCCACACUAAAAUUGAAAGUUUGAAGAAAAAAAUUGAAAGUUUAUGUGUGUAGUAAAGUUUUGAUGUGAUAAAAAAGUUGGAAGUUUGAAAAAAAGUUGUGAACUAAAUAAGAGCAAACUUUUAAUUUUUGCGUGAAACUAAACAGAGCCUAGAUCUUGAGGUGAUUUUUGGAUGCCGCGUCAUGGGUGAAACGCAGGAUAGAUUGAUGAUGAUGCGGGAGAUGCCAAGGCUGCGAUGCUGGAUUUUUCACAUUUUGAUCCUUUUAAAAAACUUAUUUCGCAAAUAGACCCCUGAAAAAACUUAUCCCAGAAAUGGUCCUUUUUGGGGCGCCAGAGUGGCUGGCGCCGUCAUCCAACGGGACGGCGCCAGCCUCUCUGGCGCCGUCCUCCUGCCACCGUGGCGCACACGAACCGACGUGGCAGGAGGAGGGCGCCAGCCAUGCUGGCGCCGCCCCAGGGAGGAGGGCGCCAGCAUGGCUGGCGCCGCCGCCUCCAUUCCUGUUUCUCUGUAUGGAGUUGCAACGGUGUUAUUUUUAUUUUAUUUUUUCGGAUGUUUUUUCACACUCAGGAUCACGAUACAACCAACCACAAAAAAAAAAUUUAAACACGAACUACCACUUAGCUAAGUCUGAAAAUAUCUAGCAUACCACUUAGUCUACUUUGCACAUUCACUAAAAUUAGACCAUAACUCCUUUAGUAAAACCCUUUGAUCAACAUGUUAAACAUAAUGCACUCUACCACUAUAUAAAUUACUUAAUCUAAUUCAAAAUAUAACCACAUGAAAUGACAUAUAUAAGUUAAACAGUACAUAGAGAUGUAAUUUUUUUAUUUUUAUUUCAUUUUUUUGAUAUUUUUUCACACUUAAGAGAACAUAGGAACCAACCGUAUAAAAAAUAAACUCAAACGGACAAAAUAUGUGACAUGUAGAAUUUUCCAAAACUCUACCGAAACGGAAAAAAAUAUGCCAUCUAUUAAAAUAGGCGUAACUUUCUCAUACGGACUCGGAAUCAGGCAAAUAAUAUAUGAACGGACAUCUACAGAAAAAGUUACAUCCGAUUCUCCCCAGCUUUGCCAGGUUCGGCGAUAUUAAAAACUCCAAAUUCCGCAUACAAGAUUGUGUUUUCGAGGAGAGAAGUUUUUCGGUAGAGCUUUGGAAAAUUCCACAUGCCACAUAUUUCGUCCGUUUGUUUAUUUUUUACGUGGUUGGUUCCUGUGAGUUCCUAAGUGUGAAAAAAAUAUCAAAAAAAUAAAAUAAAAAUAAAAAAGUUGCACAUCUCUCUCCUCUACACUAGUUCGGAGAGAGGAGAGGAGAGGAAAAAUUCUACAUGUUAUAUAUUACGUCCAUUUGAGUUCAAUUUUUCUAUGGUUGGUUCUUGUGUGUCCCUAAGCGUGAAAAAAAUAUCAAACAAAUAAAACAAAAAUAAAAAAUUUCGGGGGGGGGGGGGGGCGCCAGCCACUCUGGCGCACUCCCCCUAGCCACCUCAGCAUCGCCCCGCCACGUCGGCGGUGGGACGGCACCAGAGAGGCUGGCGCCGUCCUGUUGGACGACGGCGCCAGCCACUCUGGCGCCCCAAAAAGUACCAUUUUUAGGAUAAGUUUUUCUAGGGGUCUAUUUACGAAAUAAGUUUUUUAAAAGGACCAAAAUGUGAAAAAUCCAGGGCUGCGAUGAUGGUCGCUUCUGUUCUGGCAGCAAUAACUUGGCUGCUAGUGCUACACUGUUACUACUACCCUCGGCUCGAAAGUGUCGCCUCCCUAAGUUCAUUCUUGAUACCGGUAGCAUAAACGACUGUUUGUCCCCUUGCUUUUUACCAUCUCCGUUUUGUAAUCUAUAACGUCGUCAAUUUUUUACAUUAUUUAUCAUUAGUCUUAUUUAAAAAAAAUUAAGUAAAUAUGUUUUCUUUUAUCGUGGUCUGAGUUAUCACUAAAUAAACUUUAAGCAUUACUUAUAUUUUUAAGAUUUCCACAAAAUCAUUGAAUGAAAACAAAGAUCAAAGAUUAUAACAAAAGUCAAUAACACAAUGUAUUAAAAAACAGUGAGAGUACUACUCAAGGGCUCCUUUUGCAUGAAACAAAGAUAUAUGGAUAGAAAAAAAACAAAGGAUUAAAAUGUUGAAUCUUUUAAGAAAUAAAACCACAAAAAAUAAUCAAAACAUGUGUUUGGAUGGCUCAUAAGAAAAAAAACAAAAUUUUUUAGGUUAUAUAUCAGUUAGAUUGAGUGAGCAAAGAGAGUUGCAUUGGAAUUCUCUAAGGAAAUAAAACCAUGAUAUUAGAGCUCAUGUUCAAAUUCAUAUUAAAAUGAGGCGCAGGACGGGAAUGCAUUCAAAGGAAAUCUGCAACUCAAAAUCCUACAAACCAAACAACCUCAAUAGAAAAACCUAGGAUAAAUCCUUCAUUUUGACGCCCCAAAUAGCUUAUGAAAUGUUAUGAAUAUAAAGUGGAAAUCAGGCUGAACAACCUCUUUUUAGAGUUUUCAAUACUGAACAACCUCUUUUUAGAGUUUUCAAUACUGUUGAGGUAUGGUAAUGAAACCGCUCGUUAUUUUGACUAAGUUUGAAAAAAAUAAACAAAAGUUGAACUUUGUUGGGGUUUGUUAGUAACUAACUAGGAAGCAAGCCCGCGCAUAUGCGCUGGCAUCUUAUUUAAUGUUGCUUGAAAAAUAUGAGUCAUUUUUUUCUUAAAAUAUUUGUAUUCCAUUAUCAACCUUUUUCCCAAUAAAUCAUUUGUGACUAUUUUGAAUGUUGGUUAUGAUUUUCUUCUAAUUACCCUCACAACAUAUAAAUUCUAAACUAAAAUUACUUAAAACCGUGAAAUCUUGAAUUAUAGGAAAAUAUUGUGCCACAAUAAUAGAGUUGACUCCUAUGAACUAAUAUUUUUACUAUAUGUGUUUUUAUUGGAAUACUUAGCAAAUCUUCGUUUUGGACAUCUAUACUUUAAGAAAUCCACAUAGUUUUUUGAGAAGAGUUGUUGAAAUUUAACCAAAAAAUUUGAAAUAUAAUAUUUUGUAUGAUUUUCUUUAUAAAAAUCACAUAUUCCAAUUACAUUGUUCCUGCAGAAGUGUUUUUUUAUUUCUGCAAUUUAUAUCGGCCUUUGGAUUCAACAAAAUUUAUUUUAAGUUUGGCCCAAUUUUUAUUCAAAUUCCAGUUUUCCUUUCCAUUUCGUAUGGAAUAUUGGAGAUUUAUGUUAUAUCAAUCAUCCUUGAAAUGCUUUUGAUCUCUAAAAUUUUGGAAGAAAACAAAAUUGUGUUGAAUGUACAACUCAGUAUAGGCUAAAGACGUCCUAACCCUACCACCAAAAUUGAGCCAAAAAUAUUAUAUGGAUUGUGUUUUACUUCCUCUGUUCUCUGUUUUGCACAUCAACACAGUCUCCAAUAUACAUGUUCCAUCAUUAAUUUUUUAGCUAUAUAUUUCAAAAAAAAUAAAAAUAUAACUGUAUAAAAGCAUUUUUCAUAAAAAAAAUUAUCAAUAUUAUUUUUCCACAUAAGCAUAAUAUUUUUUUUAUUAAUUAAGAUUUUGAUAUUUGACUGCACGCUUUCUAGGAUGACACAUAUAUGAGAACGGAGGUAGUAACAUUCUGUUAAUACUAUUUUUUCCAUAUCAAACCCUAUUUUUUAUUUGCUAAUGAUUUAAUAUUCCGAGGUUUAGCUGCAUCUGUUUGAGAACUGAGGUAGUAAUAAAUUAAAACCAAACCGGAAUCUCCUAUCACAUAUUCAUAUUUCUGAAGUGGCGUAUGGUAUAUACCACAAAUUUAAGUGAUCGCUAAUGGCACCACAUAGCUGUUUCACUACCAUAAUCCCUUCUUGAAACACACGUGGUUCCUACGACCCAUCAUGAUGCCGAAUGUCCAUAAUUGUAUUUUAAAUUUGUUGGCUAUGAAAAUUAGUCUCCUGAUAAGGAACACGCUAUGAUGUAAAAAAAUGAGAUCAUUCUAAGAUUUUUUCCCCUCUAAUUAUUAGAGACUUCACGUAUUGUAUUAGAUGCUAUGAUCAUUUUACGAUUGCUUAUUUAUAAAAGCAUGAUGAUCCAUGCGUAUAGGUUAUAGUUUCUCCCACACAUUUAGAAGUAAAAUAAUUAUGUUCGUAAAAAACUUAUUAGAUGUCUAACCGUAAGUGACAAAAAUAAGGUUUGGCAUUUGAUUUCAAUGAGAUUUUUUAGAUUUCCUUUUAAGUCGGUUGAGGCCUCAAGAUGAUAGGUGGGUCCAACAUGUAAUAACUUUUUUAGCAUUGAAAAUAGUCAAUAUGAAUGAAUCAUAAAUUAUUAAUUUGCUUAAAAUAUACAAUGGUUUAAACCGAUCAUAUAUUGGGUAUAUAAUUUAUAAUCAUUUAAACUUCGCUUAUUUGUUUAUAAAACCCAUGAAGAACAAUUUGUGUGUGAGACAUCAAUAUGGAACAUGCAGAAAUUCUUUUACCAUAAAUGAAAGUGCAGUAAAUACCUUUUAACUGCAAUAGAAAAAAAAAGCAGGGAAGAAAAGGAGCAUGCGUGCGUACAUGCGGGAGCCCAUGGAAAGGAUUUCGGAUUUUUUUUUUGUUAGAUCAAUCCAUCUAUUAGAAACUUUGUUACCAAAUACUCCCUCCAUCUAUUUUUGAUAGUAAUAUUUCUAAAUCUGAAAAAUUUAUUUUUGAUAGGCAUAUUUCAAUUCAACAACCUAUCAUCUUAAUGACUUUCUCGGAUUUAAUGCAUGGCUCUUCAUUCUUCCACACAAGAUUGGCUACAUAGGUAUUGAGAAAUAUAAAUAUUAAUGAAUCGCUUGUUUAUGAGGAAUGACUAGUAGCAUGUUUAAAUAGAUGAUAAGUAGAAUUACUUAUCCUUGUUCUAUGUGCCAAGAUGAAAUAUGACAAUCAAAAGUAGAUGGAGGGAGUAUCUUUUAAUUACCGCAGGAAAAAAAAAGCUGGAGAAUAAAAGCGGCGUCGUAUGUCGAAUGUGUAUGUGCGGGGUCUCGGAGGGGAUUUCGGCAUUUCUUUUGUUUUGGGAAUUUUUUUAGAUCUAAUGGUAGAGAUCUAUCUGUUUUGUCCACAGAUAUAUGCACUGCAGAUGUGGGUCCUCGCCUACUUUUGUUGCGUCACGUGGCAGCUUAGGAGCAAUUAUAGGAAUCUCACGUGGCGGCUUGAGAGCGUUUGUAGGAAGCUUAUUAGACUUUUAGUAUAUAAUAGAUAGAUAGAUAGAUCGUUCACCCUACUUAUUCUUGAUAUCAACUAGUAGUGGUAACCAACUAUAUUCUGUAUUGAAAACCCACGCUCUCAUGUGCUGUUUGACUUCCAUUUAUGAACGUGGCUACAUCGUGUGUGGUAGCGCGUUAGUCCAAACGCGCGACUCCACCUCUUUCUAUAAAUAGAACUGUACUCCUUACGUGCGUGUCAAUACGAAAACAUCACACGUAGCCUCCUGUGAGUCUUUCAAAAAGGACACCACGCAUGCAUUUUAACCUUUUUAAUAACUUAUAUCUUUUAAAUCACAUAUUGUUUUUUAUCUAUUUACAUUAUUAUACUCCACUUAAAAUAUGUGACAAAACAAGAUCCAUAUUAAAUAUAUUCAAACAUUUUAUCAAUUUAAAAGUAUAUUAUUUCAUGUUAGGAAGUAACUUCCAUCUUAUACAUAAUUAAUUCUCAUUAGUUACUCUAUCAAUGUUAUUUACAAUCUAUCAAAGGUUUUAUCUUAUUUUCUCAUACUACAUAAAAAACAAAAGUGAAAGUGAAAAAGCAAUCAGUGCUUAAAACAGAUGCAUAGAAAGUUACUUCCGAACCAUGCAAAAGUUACUUCCAAUCAACAUUGAAGUUACUUUUAAAAAUUGUUAAACUUACUUGUGUUGAUCUGUGCUGAUUAAAUUUAAUUUCUAGAUAGAGUCAUAUUUUUAUCCCUAUAACAAAUUUACUUCUAAUGUUGUGACAAAGUUAUUUUAUUUUUGUUUUAAGUUACUUUUAUAAUAUAUGUAAAUUACUUUUAGACUUUAUUGAAUUUACUUUUAUAUGUCUAAGAAGUAUUUAGGGAAAUCUAAAAGUAAUAUAGAUAUAUUAUAAAAGUAAUUUGUAAUUUUUCAUGAAAAUUUAAUCAUGUGAGAUCUUGUUAUAAAUAUUUAAUUGUUACGAAUACGAUGGUGUAAUCGGAUCGUAGAUCGGAUAAGUAGUUUAAGAGAAAAUUUUAUUUGAAGUAUAGGUGGUUCUUAUUUACUUGAUGGUCUGAUAGUAUAUUUUUAGUAGAGUAAUGGCUCAGUAGGCCUCGCUGAUUAGUUAACGUGGAGCGGCGCCGGAUGGACGCCACGUCGCCACAUGUGCGGGAUGGACGGAUGCCUCAGCGUCGCACGAUAGCGCUAUCGCGAGAGGCCUCUCUAAUUAGAUUUUACGUCCAUUUAUAAUAAGUUGAAAGCGGACAAGAUCUAUAUAUACUCGCUCUUUGCAUGUGUAAAUCAUAGCAUGUCGGAUUCGCCCUAGCUAGUGGAACAGUGUACAUGUACAGCGUCAUGCAAAAGAGAUGAUAUGUAGGGGCACUUUAGCAUCGAUCUACUACGUGCUACUACUCCUACUACAACUUUGAAUCGGGUUCUUGGGCGUCUCUCUCCAGGAAAAACCACAGCUUAAAAAACGAGCAACGAAGGAAUGAAGAAGCAUAUGCAUCCGGCCUCCUGUUAAUUAACAAGUUAAUCAAAAAGGGGCGAAGAGAGUCUAAAGAAAUGAUGUGUUUAAUUAAUUAAGAACUCAUAUGUUUGAUUAAUCUCACUAGGCGAAUUGCUUUCCAUAAAGGCCAUACGGAACAACGUCCCCUGUAUUGGAUGAAAGACUUUCGCAUUUUCGCAAGGCAAUGUUAAUCUCAUAUCGAGUCUUCCUUAUUACGACGUCGACGGGAUUAAAAGAAACAACUGUCCCAUUUGGUAGGAUUCCAAACUAAAACUUCUAACUACGAACUCUAACUCCAGUGAGAGCUAGCUGCUGUUGGAGUUAGAAACUCGUUAAAAGUGUUUGACUAACUUUCAGCUCUAGAUCCGAAAGAAAAUGAAAAAAAAAAGAAACCAAGCCACCGUUGGCCCCAGCCGCGCGUCAUCUCCGCGGCGCCGCGCGCUGCUGGCCACGCGUGCCGCCCGUCAUCACCCGUUGCCAUCCAUCUUUGUCCCGGCCGUGCCGGUCGUCGUUGUCCCAGCCGCCCGCCACCCGUUAUCGUCCGUCAUCGCCCGUCGCCGCCCGUCGUCGUCCCACCGCGGCCACCCGCCGUCGUCCCGUCCCGCCACGCGCCGCACAUCGUCAUCCUGGCCGCGGCCGCCCGUCAUCGUCAUCGUCAUCGUCCCACCGCCGCCACCGUAAAUCGGGAUUGGGAGGAAGAUGGGGGAGGAGAGAGAACGGGAGGAAAGGAAGAUGGGGGUAGUUGAGUGGCAUUUUCAUAUAAAUACACUAAAAAUUUAGAGAGUAGUGGGUCUUUUGAGGUGGAGUGCAGCUGUGGAGUAGCGAAAACCCAGCUCCACUCCCGUAGUUCUUUUUCUAGGAGUAGCUCCGUCAACUCCACUUUAAAAAAUGGAGAAUCUAGACCGUUUGGCACAGCUCCGGCUCUAGAUAAGUUGGAGUUGAGAGCUAGAGCUGUAUCAAACGGGGAACAUAUAUAUGAAGUCAAACUGUCAAAGGCUAAAUUAAUGUUCUUUCUCGAAAUGGAGAAUCUAGAUAAGUUUGUGUUGAUUUGCGGAAUAAACGAACUUCCCGCAAAAUUAUUGAGUUGCCAGAAAAGAGCCAAAACCAUCCUACCUGGCGGAAUUCUGCCCAGGGUUUAACUUACCGUCGGUAACUGCGCGGUUACCGCCGCGCAGUUACCGGGCUUACCGCGGGGGUACGGUAAUAUAAAUACCGCGGUAACCUCCUUAAAUUCAAAUAAAUUUAAAAAAUAAUUUAAAUUUUUGAAAAAUUUUGCACGGUUUUAUACGGUUUUUCGCGGUUACCGUGGUUACCGCGCGGUAACCGUGCUUACCGCCGGGGCGCGGUAACCCCGGCCCCGGCGAUUUGGGAAACCCUGAUUCUGCCAUUAAGGUGGCCACGUAGUUUCGUUUAUUUGGUACCGCUUGUAACAACAAAAAAUACGAGGAUUUUAUCCAUGUAUGUGUUCUUAUCGAUGAAGAAGCAAAUACUGCGAUAUAAAAUAAGAUAAAGAAAUUACAAAAUCAAUUUUAAAUUUAAAUUUUAGCUUAUACUACCUCCGUCCCAUUAUAAGUGCAGCCAUGGUUUUCCGCGUCCAACUUUAACUGUCCGUCUUAUUUGAAAAAUUUAUAAAUAAAUUUAAAAACUAGUCACACAUAAAAUACUAUUUUAGAACAAUAAAAAUACUAAUCAUAAAAAAAAUUCAAAUAAGACGAACGGUCAAACGUUUAACGUAAACAACGCAAAACUACACUUAUUUUGGGAUGGAUGGAGUAAUAUACUGCGACUAAUAUGCUUAUAAGGGUACAACGUUAAAAAAAGUUUUUGGAAAUUGAUUGCGGUACAAGCACUGCAUUAUACUACUCCCUUCAUCCCAAAAUAAGCACAGCCAUAAGUUUCCGUUGUCCGUCUUAUUUAAAAUUAUUUUAUGAUUAGUAUUUUUUAUUGUUAUUAGAUUAUAAAAUAUGAAUAGUACUUUACGUGUGACUUAUGUUUUCUUUAGGUUUUUCAAAGAAAAAAUUAAAUAAUACGAAUGAUUAAAGUUGGACACGAAAACUCAUGGGCUCAUGGCUGCAUUUGUUUUUGAAUGGAGAGAGUAAUAAGUAAGGGCACAUUUCGAUCUGUUGUUUUAUCUUUCUUUUCUUUUUUCUUUUUUUUUUUGCAAUCUCCCUCGUGGUCGUCUGCGGACGGCCUGAACGACUUUUCCCCCGUCUACCCUCCGACCCAUCGCGCGGCGUGGCAGGCAGAUUCCAAAUUCCAACCCCAAAUCGACCCAAUCUCCGGCGCCCCGAUCACCGGGAGAUCCGGGAAAGCACCCAGAACAACCGGAGUUGCCGCCGGCGUAAAGAGGAGGAGGAGGCGGCGGCGGCGUCGGCGGCCGUGGCGAAGUCGUCGGCGUCGGCGGCGGCCGCGGCGGCUGGGGUAUCUGCGAUGAUAACCCGGUCGAAGCUGGUUGAGCAGCUGCGCGACUACCAGAUCCGAUCCCAACACAAGUAAAAAAUCCCCCCUCGCCUCACUCUCCAUUCUCUGCAAACUCAACCGUAAUUAGGACUCCCAGUUUUAUUCUGUGGCAAUUGGCAUAAUCAGAUCUCGGGCUCCCCCGGUAGGCUUUGUCUCUAAGCUAGGGUUUGGUUCGAAGUCGCACUGGGCUAAGUUAGUGUUCUUGAUUGGUAGUAAUGCGAUUUGCUCCCUAGUUGUAACCUGGUGGACGAUAUGGCUGCUUGUUUUUUUAUGCGAGCAAGCAUUGCUGUUUUAUAAAUUUGGAUUCAAUAACAUUAGUAGUACAGAAGGAAGUUUGCAGCAGUUGCUAAAUCAUCAAGUCUACUCUAGUGGAUCUUCCUUAAGACAUUGAGGUGCUCUUUCCUCUGGAUUUGGUUUGUGGUUGUGGGAGUGAAAAUAAUUUGUUAGUGAAGUUCUAGUUCUUUACCAUCCUUGUUCAAGGUACCAGGGGUAUUGAUAAUUCUAACUUGCGAAGUUGUGAGGCGCCAUUGUUUGGCAUCUCAGUUACCAAAUUUUGGUACCUUUCGAAGGACCACGUGCUAAUGUGUUUUCGCUGAGCGUGUUUCCAAGUUUCUUUACUUGGUUCUGAUGAGUGGUGGUCAGUGUUCCGCAGUGAUAAGGUUCUGAGAAUGUGCCGUGUGCUCUGCUAAAUUUGUUUGCUGUUUCUUGAAUACGAACCCCAAAAUUUGCUAGCAGACCACUUUAUCUUGUUAUAAAUGGAUUCAAGCCCCAAAAUUUGCUAGCAGACCACCUUAUCUUGUUAUAAAUGGUUUCAAGUCAGAAGCUAAUAGUUCUCUCGAUGUAUCAUGAAAUCGUGCAAAACAAAAUAUUAUCUUGUAUUCAUCCAAAAUGAUUUCCUCCAUGUGAGUCGCUCCUCGAUCAAACGCAACUGCACUACCACCUCAAUGAACUGAAAAUGGCUCUGCUUCUCUGUUCUGCAGGCGUGACAUAAUUGGAGCAGUCUCAUGGGGCUUGCUGUGUUGCUUUCUGAUAAUAUCAUCGUACAUGACGUUGUACUUCAGGCACUUCUGGCUGUCCGCUGUUAUUAUCUCACUCGGUAUUCUUCUUCCUGCUGGCCUUUACAUUUUGAGGCAGAGAAAGCUUGCUAAGAAAAGAGAGAGAAGAUUAUUGCUGCCCCUCUCCAUGUAAGAGUGUUGGUUGGUUCCCUGAUUUUCUGGUUAAUUCUAGCCAUGUAGAAUCCACAUUCUUGGCUUGCUACACACUCUUCAUUCAUGUUACUCUGCCUCAAUAUACAUCUCAUUCUUUAGUCUCUACUGAAGUGCUAGAAGAUAUAUCAUCAUUUUUUUCUGAGCUCAAUGUUGUGCGAGUAUAUAAUCUCCAAUGCUUGGUGGGUAUAGUACCAUCCGUCUCUGCUACAGUCUUUUUUUUCUUCUUCUUGGGGUUUUAUAUGCUUGCAGGGUGAGACGUGUUUGCCUUGGGCAUCACACUUUUGUAACUGAUACUGAUUGUUUUGAUACUGAAUUUGUAAGCCAUAUCCACCCUAGUUACUUGUACUCCAAUCUGUUUCUGGACUAGAAUGUGUGCAUGGAAUGAUCAGUCCCUCUUUUUCAUCCAGCUGAUAUUGUUUUGACAAUUUUGCUGAACGCCAUGCUUUCUUCUUAUUCUUGAAAUACAAGUGUAGCUGCAGUUCUUGAACAUAUUAUUGCUGCGUGAUGCUAAUCCAGGCAUCUACUGGCCUUCUUAAGAACGGCUACCUUUUGCCAGUACAGAGACUUAUUCAUGAAAACCUAAGAAAUUCAGAUUGUCAGAAGAGGCAGUUUAUUUUGGACGUGCCUACAUUGCUAUCAUGCCAUCAUGGACGUGCCGAUCAUGGAAACCUACAAAAUGGUUUUACUGUUAGUGCUGUGAAUGAAUGUAGGCACGUCCAUGAUCGGAACAUUGCAAGUCCCAUUGAGUAUUCAGCAGUAGUCUGGUUAAAUCGUUUUAUUUAUUAAAUAAAAUCAUUUUUCGUUGUCAGAAAAUCAGAAAUCUACGCUACUUAAAAUAUUAGUAGUGGUGGUGUUUAUUUUGCCACACCAACCCUACCACUGAUGUUAUGUUUGGGCCUCACAAUCUAUACUAUUACAUCACCCUCUAAUGAGUACUCUUCCAUUUCACUGUUGGCUCUUCAUAAAUUUUGCAAGAGAUAAUCCAUGAAAUACCAUUGACAAGCGUCUAAGUACUAGAAAUGCUAUCGACAAGUGUGAGUUCCAAGAAAUGCCAUCGUACAAACGAUUUUGUCCUAAAAAUGCCAUCGCCGUUAGGGUUCCGUUCAUUUCGUGCCGUUAAGUUCUAUAGGAUGAACAGUGUAUUUAACGGCACGGAAUAGAUGGAACCCUAACGGCGAUGGUAUUUUUGGGACAAAAUCAUUUGUACGAUGACAUUUCUUAGAACUCACACUUGCCGAUGGCAUUUCUGGGACUUAGACGCUUGUCAAUGGCAUUUCAUGGAUUAAUUAUAGCAAUACUACUUCUUUACCACUUAAAAUGUUAGUAGUGGUGGUGUCCGUUCUGCCACACCACCUCUACCAUUGAUGUUUGGGCCUAAAAAUCUAUACUAUUACACUAUCCUCCAACGAGUGUUCUCCCGUUUCACCACUGGCAAUCUGCAAUCUUCGAAACCACCUACUUAUUUAAUAACAGGAAUCAUAAGAGUACUACUAGCACUAAAUAUAUGUUUAAUUGAAUUAAUAAGCUAGAAACUCAAUUUGUUUUUCGUUGCAACACACAGGCUCUUGGUUAGUAUCUAGAAAUGUAGGGAGGCUAGUAUCUAGAAAUGUAGGGAAGAAACUAAGUUUACAGUGGGCUGUGAUGAAAGUGCUUUUAGGCCAUUCACAGUACAAGAUAUUACUACGAGUAACCUCAUAGUGCUAUUAGGAUAAAUACACGGGUUCUCAAAUCAUUUUUCCCCACAGUGCAAAGUAGCUCUAGACGUGUUUCAAUUUUGCAUAUCAGGCCUUGCUAUUUCCUAUUUUAGCUCAUAUUUUGUAAUUUGCAGGCAAUCCAAUAUUUUACACCAAACACCCUAAAAAUUAGAAAAAAAACAUUCACCCACCCAUCCUCCUAGUCAUCCCUGUCACGCUCUCCCCCACCGCUCGUCGCGCAACUCUUCCUCCAGCGUUGGCGCCAGUCUCCCUCUACCUUCCGUAGGGCGCCAGUCUCCCUCUACCUUCCGCCGGCACCACACCUAUCCAACUCCUUGAUGGGGCGCUGUUGUCUACCCCCUCCCCUCCCACCUCGUGCAAAUUUGGCACGUGGUUUGCCGGAUCGGGCCUCGGACAGUAGUGGUGUUAGCUCAAUGAUGGCGGCAAGGGCAGCUCGACGAUGGCGGCAGCAACAUCUCGAAGUUGACGGCGGUGGCCACUCCGUGUCACUGAGCUAACCGGAUUUGGCCUCCAGAGGAGGCGACGACAACUCGACGACGAUGGCAGCGGGAUCUCCCUUCACUCGCUUCGUCUACUUUGUUAGAUUUGGUUGAAGCUUUGACGACAUCGGCAAAGGAAGUUCAAGAAGGGACCUUCCUAUUGAAAAAAUCUGAUAAUUUUUGACAUGGUUCGCAUGUCCAAGUGAAGGCUCGCGCUCCUCACUAGGGCACAACCCAUGCCAACGUGGCUUAGAAUCUCCAAGGUGGCGAGAUAAGGCCAAACGCCACCUCACCGCACUGUGACCGCUUCAUAUUCCCUUAUAUGCUUGGACUUUUUUUAAUUAUUAAAUCACCAGAUUGAAUCAUUAUUUACUUUAAAUUAUGAUAGUAAACAAAAUUAAACCGAUGGAAGGAAAUGAGUCGACUAGCCAGGAAAAAACAUGUCUACAUCAUAAUUCUUAUCUCCAUUUCUACUGAUUGCAUUGUCACCAUGGCAAAUACACACCCUCUUUAAUUUGUUCCAAGAUAUAGCAAACUAGUACAAGAUGUGAUACAUGCUAAUACUACGAAUCAUGAUAAGAGCUUUAUAUUGCUAACUUGCUAUAUUUUAGAAUGGAUGGAGUAACCAUUUCUUGUCUCUCAUCGCAUCAGUGCCAAAUCCUUAUGGCAUUGUGUAAAACAAUGAAUUGGUCUUGCGAAAUCAUCGUUUCCAGAACAUAUUAUAAGCAAAACAAGAUAUACAUUACCUAGAAAAAGAAAUAAUAAUUUAUAUAUAUAAACAAAACAUGUCGCUCCUAAAAAUUACCCAUUAGGAAGGGGGAAAACAAGAUUUAUCGUCGCAAAUCAGAUUAUACUCCUAAAAUGCUGAUAGUAUUAAAAGAAAUAAACGGAACUAAAUUAAGAUAGCUUACAAGAAACAUAAAGAAGAAACGGAACUAGAUUAAGACAGCUUGAACGGUUAUUUGAUAGUAGCAAACAAUUUUUAUAUUAAAAAAAGAGAACGGCUUGAUCAGAACUCCAAAGUGAGCAGGCAUUUUUGUUUCGCAGCUCAAUCAUCUUGCAAACACAAAUGCUAUCUUCGCCAGAUCACCAUGGAUCCAUCAUCCAUUUGACAUAUUAUCCUGUAUAUAUAUUGCAGCAGAGCGAUCAAUGUGUCUUCCAGAAUAAUUUGUUCUUCUCAAGCACCAUCACAUCCAGCACGGUGUAUAUGGAAGAGACACACCGGUGAAACUUUUGUUGGAUAAAAUUUCCUCGCAGCUGCUGACCAGAGGUAACUUGCCCAAGAUCUCCAUCUUUGAGGUCUUCAAAUGGUAGGCUAGUCCAGUCUGCAUCGCUUCACAUAAGAAAACAAUCUCCUUGUACGGAUGGAAUCCGAGAACAUCGAUGUUCCCAUGGUAUCCAUGAUAGAACAUUGGGAUCGGCGGUUGUGGAAAAUUACCAAAUCCGAGGGCAUUAUUAUCAACGUUUCCAUGGUAUCCCUGGAAGAUCGUUGCUGGGAGCCUGUACUCAGGAACAUUACCGCGAUGAUCGCUGUCAUCGUCGCCGUCGGAGCUCCAUUCGAAAUCGAUCUCUUCGUCAUGUUCCUUGCGAAAUGUAGUACUGUCCUUCUUAUCAAGAUCUUGCAAGAGCAUCCAUCGGCGGCGAGUUUGCCGGGGAAACACGGAAUCGAGGUUGUUUUCGUGCUUCGGCACCCACUCCAUUUCGUCGCACGAUUCGUUGAGAACCCAAACCUGAAGCGAGCGUGGCUUUGUGAUCAAUGCAAGGUACACGCCCUUCUCUGACCUCCCUAGACAGAAAUGCGAGUGGCCAUUCGACCUAACCGUUGGCAUUUUAAUCACUUGGUACUUAUCAUCUGACAAGGAAAACCUGCAGAAUCAAAUAAUCGAAAGAAAAUAUGAUAUCAACAAAUCACCCAUAACUUGAGUAAUAACAUUUUUGUUUCACUAAUAUAAUAGAGGAUGUAAUAUACUGCUCUCUCCAUCCCAAAAUAUAACAACUUUUAGCCAUCACGAUUUAUCUCAAAAUUUAACAAUUUCUCCACCAACAUUCUCUUUCUAACCAAUCACAACCCUUCACCAUUCACUUCUACUUACUUUAUUAAUAAUCGUGUCUAACUCUAAAACUUCUUAUAUUCUGGGAUGAAGAGAGUACCUUAUUUUUCAAAAUGUAUAAGGCUGUUAACUUUUUAUACCGCGUUUGACCAUUUGACUUAUUCAAAAAUUUAGUAUAAAUAUCUAAAAGUAUAAGUUAAGAUUACUUUUUCUUAAUGAAAAAGCAGGUCAUAACAAAAUAAACAAUACUCCCUCCAUAUACUUUUGAUAGACAUAUUUCAUCUUGACACACAGACCAAGAAUAAGUAAUUAUAUUUAUCAUCCAUUUAAACAUGUUACUAGUAAUUCCUUGUAAAUAAGCGAUUCAUUAAUAUUUACAUUUCUCAAUGCCCAUGUAGCCAAUCAUGUGUGGAAGAAUGGGGAGUCACGCAUUAAAUUUGAGAAAAUCAUUAAGAUGAUAGGUUGUUGGAUUGAAAUAUGCCUAUCAAAAAUAAACUUUUCAUAUUUGGAAAUAUGACCAUCAAAAGUAGAUGGAGAGAGUAUUUAUCUAUAUAUAUCUUUUAAUAAAACGAAUGAUGAAGCAUUAUGCGAAAAGUCAAUAAAUUUUAAAACGAAGGGAGAUCAUGUAAUAAAUGGUUUACCUCAUGAUAAAAUAUGUUUUGUAAUGCACGUAGAGUGCUCCUUGCCAGUAGACGGCUUUGCACUUGUGACCUGAAAAAUCCAUCCGCAUGUCGGCGAUCGUCGUCCUCGCGGCUUCCCCUUGCCGAUGGAAGGUCCUCUCCUCCCACCGCCCGGUGCUCGACGAGUACACGUCUAGGGUUUGCAGCGAUGGCGGCCACUCGGAGAACUCGUCCAGGAGGACGCGUUCCUCGCCCGACGACGACGACGUGCCAGAGCCCGGCGGCGGGAGGCAGCAGCUGCACGCGCUGCAUCUGCGGCGGAAGCAGGUGACGGAGAGGACCUCGUAGCGGGAGGAGGCGGCGGGGUCGUAGGCGAGGAAGUCGGCGGGGAAGGUGCUGGCGCCCAUCCGCGGCGGGCGGCGCGGGGGCAGCGGGGGCGAGCACCACCGCGUGGCCGGGUUGACGACGACGAUGGCCGGGCGGUGGGUGUCGGGGUCGGGGUCGCCGCCGAGGAGGAGGAGGCCGUUGCAGUGGUCGUGGAUCUCGUGGCGGCCGGGUGGUGGUACGGGUAUAUCGCCGCCGGCGGUGACGGCGGGCAGGAAGUGGAGGCUGCCGGAGAUGGAGGAGGGGCGGCGGGCGAAGAACCUCGGGACGUGGCGGGAGGCGGAGGCGGUGGACUGGUGGCCGAUGUAGAUCCCGGCGAGCGAGCGCGGGAGGAGGCCCCCGCACAGCUGGCGGCGGCGGGCGUCGAUGGCGGCGCGCCACGCCUUGGAGACGCCGCGGGACGCCGCGAGCGAGCGCGGGUCGAGGCGGACGAAUACCUCCGCGAGCACGUCUUCGGGGAGCGCCGCCACCGCCGCCGCCGCCAUCGCCUCCGCACUCGUCGAUCGAUCUCGAUCGGUGGAGUCGAUUUUGAUGGGACGCCGUAUUUAUUGCCGAAGGGUUCGACGGGAUCGAGGCGUGGCGAUCUUGAUCGACUCAUCGGUGCCGUCGGUUUAGGAAAAGGGUAGUAGGGUGCUUAGGAAAAGGGGAAAAAAAGGCUCGGUGGGGAGGAAUUUUUAUUAUUUUUUAACUUUAUAUAAUUGUUAAUUUGAAAAAUAGACCAUCUUCAAAUUUAUUUCUAAAUCUGAACUUCUUUAUCACGUCAUCCCGCCUAAAGUAAUUGGCGUGGCAAGACAACGCUGACCCGCCAUAUCGCGAAAUAACGUUGCCAUGACAAAGUGGCGUGGUAAAAUAAUACUGGUAUGAUAAUAGUUAGUGUGGCGUGACAACGUUAUUUUGCUAUGUCAAUUUUUCUAGCAUGGCUAAAAGGUUUAGAUUUAAAAAAUAAGUCUCGGUAUGAUUUAUUUUUAAAAUUAAAAAUUAAAAAGAAAUUCUUUUUUAAAAAAAUCGAUGGGCGCUGUCUUCGGAUGCUUGGGUGCAGUCCAAUAAUCUGAAGAAAAAUAAUCUUGUAUUUUUAGAUUCUCAUUAGUUGUUUCUUGGAAUUUUAAGUUUAAUUUCCAAACAAGACAUUAAUCUAGUAGGAAAGGAUUAUUGAUUACCCAAUAAUAAAAUUUCUUUGGCAUUGCACAUGAAGUGCUCCUCACCAGUACACACCAUAUUGGAAUAUUGGAUGAUCGAACCAAAAUUAUCCGGCCUUAGGCUGGAGAUUGUUUCCUGCAGCCUCUCCUUCUCGGAGGAAAGAUCUCCCACUUCCAAGUUCUUGAUGAGAAACGUGUAGGACGAGCUGCGACGGUGGCCAUACAGAAUCAUCCGGAUCGAUCUCCGUUACGUUUGGCUGUCUGUUUCAUGAACCGAUUGUUUGGUUCUCUCUUGGGCAUAUGAACCGGGGAUUAAUAUGAACACCUCGAAGUGGUGGGACACGGCAUGAUCGAAUAGGGAUACCAGCGGACUAACCCGCAAACCCGUUUAUAGAUAAAAUUAGUGAGCAACCCGCGGGUUGACUCGCAGGUUACCUACUAAUGGGUUUAUCGGUUGACUCACUUGCAUUUUUACGACGCGGCAAGCCGAGCCAUAACAUGAAAAUCCACGGGUUAUUUUUUAUUUAACAUAUAAGUAGGUCCGUGGAUCGGUCCGUGUUCAUCCCUAGGGUCAAACACGGCGUACUUGUGUUCGAUGUCUUCUUUCGCGGCCGCUGCCCACCGGCGUGGUCGGUGUGUAGUAAGAGGAGGCCGUCGCAAUGGUCUUGGACGGACCAGUACCACUACCAGACGUCUUGUGUUGGGAGGGCAAGUAGUCGAGCUUGCCGUUGAUCAGUUGUAGCGCCCGUUCCGUCGUGGCGCCUAGCGGGAAAACUAUCUCUUAAAAACCCUAAUUGCGAAAUAUGUUUCCUUGCUUGUUGUCUAGUGUCCGUGCCAUCUCAGAUCUCAAAUCCCUCCGCAAAAGUCUAUCUUGCCUCCCUCGGGUUCGAUGGGCCAAAUUCCUCUCGGCCUAUCUCUCCCUCCCUCCCCAUCUCUCUCUCUUUCUCCCUCUCCCCCGCUCUGCCCGUGCGCUGCACACGCGUGCGCGUGAGCCACGCCGAGCUGAGCGCCCUCCGCCUUCGCCGCCGCUUCCCGCCGAUGCCGCCCAAAUCGCCGCGCCGCCCGCGCGCGCGCGCCGUGGUGGCCGACCGGCCAGUCGCCGCCGCCGUCAGCGCCUGCUGCGCCUGCCCCGCGUCUGCCGCCCGUGUCGCCGCUCCGUUCCAAACCGCCCCGCCGUCAUCGCCGUCGUCAUCGACUCGGCCCCGCCUCUCCCCGCGCGUGCCUCCAAGGGACGGAGGCAGAGCUUGCCCCCCCCUCUACCGCAUCUCCCUCUCCCUCCUCCUUUUCCCCAAAGUGGCAAGGAGGCAAGCCCCCUUUCUCUCCCCCCUUUUUCCCUUUUCCCUCCCGCCGGCGUCAUCCCCCCUGUCGCCGCUUUGGCCGCGACCGCCGAGCGCUAGCCCUCUCCCUUGACCGCCCAAGGUCGGUUUCCAAAUCGACAUUGCCGCCCUUUAAACCCAGGCGCCCUCCCUUCCUCUUUCCCCUCCCAAUCUUCCCCGUUUCUCGCCCGCGCCAUUGCCGUCCCUCUCGCCGACCGCCGCCGUCACGUGUGCCGAAGGAGUCGGUGCGCGUUAGGACGCGGAAGGGGACUCCGGACGCACCCUCUCCUUCCUCUUCCCCGGCCUGAGGCCGGAGAGAUCACUCCCGCGCCGUCGGCCCCUCGUCACUGCGCCCCGUCCCGCAUGGUAGUGCAUCCCUCCGUUCUCCCUCCUCGCUCCAUCUCUUCUCCUUAGCUUUGAGUAGCCGCUCGAGUAGUACCCUAGUAGCUAGCUGGCGCCGCCCCGACUGCUGCCGUCGCUCGCCGUGUGCUCGCCGCCGUCGCCGCCCGAGCUCGGAAGCGUCUCUCGUCGCCGGCCUCCCUCGAUGCGUUUCCUCCUAAUCCGGCGCAAGGGGUGGGUUCCCGUAGCCGCGUAGAUGCUCUCGCCACCGGGAAUCGGCCCCUCGUGACCUCAUCGCCAUUUCCCCCUUCUCCCGUCGCCGGUUGCCGCCAUCGCAAUCCGCCGCCGUCGAGCAUCCCCCGGCGAAUCCGAGCCGUUGGCUCGUCUCCCCUCGUCCUUUGCAAUAUCCCGGUGUGCUCGCCUUCACCUAUAUCGCCAUGGUUCGCUCCGCCGCUCGCCGCUGUCGUCCGCCGUCCGUUCCGGCCGGCGUCGUCGUCUACCUCCCGCCGGCCCACGUGGCAGCCACGUAGGCGCCACGUCGGCGCCACCUCGGCCGCGACCGGGUCAAGCAGACCCCGGUCCGCCGCUUCCCUCCGCCCCCUCGCGCGCGCGGUCCACCGCGAGCCGUGAGGCUGCGCGUGGGCCCGCCACACCGCGUCCUCCGCGAACCGCGCGCAUGCGCCGCGCCUCCCUCCCCAAACCUUAGCACGCCCCGCGUGCACCUCGCUCACGGUGAGCCGAGUCGCCGACAAGCGGGACCCACCCGGGACCACGCGGGAUAGACCCGGCCCACCGGCUCACUCUCUCUCCCCUCCCAGCCCGCGCGCACGCCUUGGGCCGCCUUCUUGGGCCGGCCGGCCCAUUAAGCUCGGCCGAGCCGCCCCUUUCGCUCGGGCCGCGCCCUAGCCGCCUGAGGGAAGUCUAAUUUCCCUCCCUCCUUCUUUUCUUUUCUUUUUCUUUUUCAAAAAGGAUUUAAAUAAAUCCUUUUUCCUUUAGACCAAAAAUCCAAUAAUCUUAGAAAUUCAAUAUCUUCCCAACCGUAAGUCUGUUUGACUCCGUUCAACUUCCAAAAUUCCUCAAAUCUUGAGAUCUAUCUAAUGGCACGCUUAGAGGUCAAUAAUAGGGCUUUAUUUUCGCCGUUUGUGAGUUGUUCCGUUUCGCGUGUAGUUUCGGAGCCCGAAGACCCACAGUGCGAAGAUUUCGAGGAUCAAGCUCAAGAUCUCGAGCGAGGCAAGCCACCCUUGAACAUCCUGAGCCUAAAUUUGAACUUAAUUAUGUUGCUUGAAAAAUAUUAUGCAUUGAUAGGAUCGCCCUUAAUCUGUUUGCCCCGUCUGCAAGGCAGACCGAUGGGCCUACCUAGCUUAUUGCAUCUGAUCCUUCCUUUGUUAAUUGUUAUACCAUGUUCCCUUGUAACCACCUAGUUGCGCCUCGGUAAUCGUGCACUCUGCACGAGUAUUGACGGUCGCCUCAAACUUAAAAUCUGAGAAACAUCUUGGGUAAAACUUGGGUUUUACAGAAGACUUAGAAAACCCGACACCUGGGUCGGUGCUUGCGAACUAAAUGAAUUUCCAAAAUCGCGGACCGGGGAACGUACCAGGUGUACGGUUUUCCGCUCUUGCACUUAAGGACCGUUUCCUUGGAAUUUCAUCCGAACAUAAGACAAGUGCGACCACAUGGGUGGAAUGGGACACCCCUGGCUGAGUAACUAGCUAAACGGGGGAGCCAUGAUGCCAAGAGACAUGUGGAUUCAAUGGGGUGGUGUCGGGGAGAACCCCCGGGUUUCCUGGCACAGUAUGGUCUGGGACCUAACCUGUUGUUGGUCUGGGACCCCUCUCGUUGGCAUAUGGUGAACCUGUGUCGGCUUUCGAAAUGCCUUGUCAUGAAAGCCUUAAGGUCUCUAGUCGUGGCCGUUCUGCACGGGCUGGAUGAUCCGGGUUAGUAAUGCCGUGUGGGUAAAGUGUACCCCCUCUGCAGAGGUUAUUAAACUGUUCGAACAGCCGUGCCCACGGUCAUGGGCGGAUGUGAGGUGAUUCCUAGCGUAGUUUUGUUUGACUACUGCUUUGUGAAAUUUGCUGAUGUGGUUUGGGUUUGAUGUUUUGAAAAUCUGCGGCUGAUGAGAUCAGCCAGGCCCGGGUGGUUUGAGAAGCACUCACUUAGUUGUUUCAGAAAAGAGUUUAAAUAAAAUCAAUUGCAAAAACAACAGCCUUUCCUUGAAGCCUGCAUUAAACACUUAUUUCCCAUGGCUUGCUGAGUACUCCCGUACUCACCCUUGCUCUAUAUAAAUAAUCCCCCCCAGUUGCUGAGGAAGAUGAAGCGGAUCCCGCUGACGAGGAGUUCUUCCAGGAGCAAGCCGGCUACGAUGAGUUUUAGGGUUUCGGCCUAGUUCCCAAGUCGCGCCUGUGAUGUGUGGUCCAAGUCUUGGCUUUCGCUUCCCUUUUAUAAUGCAGUUGUGAGCUCGGGAUCUGUCCGUAACCCAACAUGACUAUACUCCUACUCUAUAAUAAAAAGACCUCUGUUGCUGUGAUAUUCUGUCUUCCUGUGAUACCAGCACUGUUUCCUGGGACUGGUAUCGAUUAACAGGUUAAUUUGGAGCGUCACGGGCUAGUCCCGCUCGGGGCUAGUUCGAGGCGUGACAUCAGUGGAGGAGGGCGGGAGAAGAUCUCCGGUUGUCUGUGGCAGUAGAAGUUGAUGAAGAUGCCAGCGAGCGAGAGAGUGGGAGGAGGUCCGCGCGAAGCAGGUGGCGUACAGGCCAAGCCUUGCGGACGCGGCGGGAUACCGCGAGCCAGCACGUCGUCGGGGAGCGCUGCCGUCAUGUCGUCGUCCGAUUCCGACGGCUCUAUCACCUCCUUCGGGUUGCUUUGCUUUGUUUGCUGCUCGCUCGCGCUCGCCGCCGCGGAGAUCGAAGUGAAAAUUCGGGUAAAUCACCUCCUUCUAGCAAUCAAGGAGGGUUGUCUGUUGGCCUUCCGAUGGACUCUCCUUCCUUUUUCCUUGGAGAUAGACUGCCUGGAGGCGUUGAACAUGAAUUCAGGCUAAGGAGAGAAAUCUAUCGGAACUAGCCUUCCUAGUCAGGGAGGUGCGUGACCUCCUGUCCGGAAACAGGGAAUUUCUGCUCAGGAAGACUAACCGAGACCAAAAUCUUGCUGCUCAUGUCUUAGCAAAUAAAGCUAGGUGCGAAGUCAUAUCAAAAGUUUGGGUUGGUUCUGAGUGUGAUGCUUUAUCACAAAUUGUAAUGAAUGAUUAUAUUCCUGAGUAAUUGAUUCCCUUUCCCCGCAAAAAAGAAAGGGUAAAUCCCCGCUUGAAUUUGAAUCGGAGGCGGAGAUGGAGCCUGACCCGCAACAGGCCAAGAUCCGUCAGGGCCCAUCUAUCAAAGCCAGGUGGCGGCCCAGCCUCCUCCAAGCACUUUGCGGUGUUGGGCUGGGCUGGACUGGGCGUGGAUUGGGCUUCUAGCCCAACACCCGGGUGGGGUGGACGUGGACCCCACGUGUCAGGCCACUACCUCUCUCCUCCGUCUUCCUUCCCCUCGCGUCUCCCUUCUCCUCCUCCCGCAUCCCCCCUCUCGCCGCCGCGUUCUCGUCGUCGCCGGUGGCCGCCGCCUCGCUGCUCCCCCGCCCCCCUCCCCCGCCCGCCCGCGGCGCUGGACCUGUUCCGACUACUAGAGAGGGCCAUCGCGUCCUCCUCGAUCCUCCACUGCCCCUAGUUUUGGCCGCUCGGUCCUCCGGUCCUCCCAGAGUCGUCUCCGGUGGUCCCCCGAGUUCAAGUGGCAGCGGCGGCGGCGGCGGCGGCCGUAUAGACUUCGUCCACGAGCACUUCGCAAGGUGAUUGGAUCGAACUCGCGCAGGUUUUUUGGUUUGCUUCUCUUUGAGAAAUUGCUGCUCCACAUCGUCGGCUACAUCGUUGGGUUACUUGGGUACAUCCGGGAACCCACGAAGUCGAUCUGUGCCGCCACCGACCGGAGCAGCCUCGAUCUGUGCCGUCCGCCGCCGCCGUGACUUGGCCAGGCUCGAUCUGCGCUGCUGCCGCCACCGUUGGUUGUUGGGGAUUGAUCUGCUCCGAACAAGCUAUUAGUACUGAUAGCUUAACAUAAGCUUAUGAUUUACUUUCGUGGUGAUUUAAAUCGAAUAGUUGAUGGGCUGGCCAGUGUCCUAUGAGGAUUUGAGGAUGACCUUAUGUCUUUCAUGACUAGCCAUGAUAUAUGAUUAUCAUAUAUAUAAUUUCAUGACUAGAUUUGAGGUCCUUAUCUUGAAAGGCAAAUUUAAUCAUGUGAAGUUCUUGCUGUUUGCAGGUGGGAGAGUUCUCUUCGUACUUGUAAACAUGUUGGAGAAGAUCGGAUUGCCGCCAAAGCCAUCUAUGCGAGGGGCUAGCUGGGUGGUGGACGCAACCCACUGCCAGGGUUGCUCUGUUCAAUUCUCCUUGUUCACUAGGAAGGUAUUCGAUUAUCUUCUUUUUUUCGCCUUGCAAUGAAGAUUUGAAAGCGAAACACAUCAUACUCCUCUACCGUAACCUUGUAGACGAGGAUAUGGUUCUGCUCAAAAUUUGCUGAUGGUGCUGCACUUGUUCCAAUGUCAUAUCAUGACCUCAAUUGCACUUCAUGGAUAUAUUAUCCUUUUCUGGAUCACUCUUUUUCCUUAAUUCCCUUUACCUGAAAAAAUACUAGGUACAAUGGCACAAAACUAUGUUAACUAUAACCAUAUGUUGGUUGUUACUAGCUUUGAUGUUUUCUGUCUUGCCACAUAAAUUUUGUUGUCCUAGUUGGAUGAAGACCUUAUAUUCUGUAAUCCUAUUGGCCGUACUGGUUAACUUUUGUGGACCUGGACUUUGCCAUCAUAUAUCUGAAUGUAUUCUUAUGUUAUUCUUAAUCUUCCAUUGGUACACACAUCCAGUUUCUUGUACUCUUAUGUUUGCAGCAGGAUCUGCUUAAUUUUUUUUCUUUUAAUAUUUAGCAUCAUUGCCAAAGAUGUGGAGGUUUGUUCUGCAGCAACUGUACCCAGCAGAGGAUGGUUUUACGUGGACAGGGUGAUUCACCUGUUCGAAUUUGUGAUCCUUGCAAAAAGCUUGAAGAAGCAGCACGUUACGAGCUGAGAUAUGGACACAAAAACAGAGCUUCAAAAGGUGAAUAUCUUUUGCCUUUUUUUUUGUAAGUUAUAUCUUCUGAUGAAAGAAAUUAUGAUUUGGUUGAUGAAUUGACACUUCUAAUCUGCUUGCUAUAUAAAUGAAUGCGUUUUUAAACAAAUAAUCAAUUUAAAGUAUUUGAUUUCUGGUUAAAUAAAAUGUGAUUGUCAGCAUGGAAAUGGGACACAACUGCCUUUGAAUUUGCAUUGUUUCCAUUUCAGAGCACAGUCAAGAGCUUGUGUGCAAACUUUACUUUAGCUGCAGGAAUGAACUUUGCAACAUCCCUUUUCCCCCUUUGUGAAUUUUGGCCAUGCUUUAUGUCAAGAUCAGAAAAGACAAUAGACAUUAUGUAUAAUGGUGCUUCCUGCUUCUUACUGAUAAAGAAUUAAGCACUUUUACAAGAUGUGUUCAAUCAAAUGGGAUCUAUCUUAUCCUUAGCUACAACUUAAAAUUUCAAGUGCUGGAGUUUCUAACUAGUUUUGGUCCUUGUUCUGAAAAGUGUUAUUUACUGUAGAUUAUAGUUUAUACAUAUUUGAAUUUUUAACAUAUCCAUGCAGCGAUUUGUUUAUUAUUUCGAAUAUUUCAAAUGUAAAAUUUCAAUGCCAAGAUCCGUAGAAGCAAACAUCUAUAGCAGAAAAAAAAAACUCCCAGUUGUGCAUAUGUAAUACUAAUCUAUGACUAAUAAUGCAUAAUUGAAUGCCAAAGUACUUGCUGGUCUCACCAAGCUGUGAACACAAUAGAAUGGCUUAUUUAUUUGUUCAUGGGAGUUUUUUAUAUUCUUUGUACAUUGUUUUGCAGCUAAUGCUAAAGCAGCUUCUAACCCAGAGGAUGAUGUUCUUAGUGAAAUUCUUGGAGGGGAUGGAAUGCAGACCAAGUUUUCUCGCAGGGAGUCCCUGGAUCCUGAGCUUCCUGGCGCCUCUAGUUCUAGUUCCAGUUCCAGAAGAACUUCUGGUGCUUUCAGUAUGGAUGGUAAUGGAGGUGAGAGCCUCUCUAUUGAAGCACAAAAUUAUGAACUCAACAAUACUGGAUCAAUUUUUACCCCAGAGGAAUUGCGCCAGCAAGCAGUAGAAGAGAAAAAAAAGUACAAAACUCUGAAGUCUGAAGGUAAACCUGAGGAAGCACUUCGGGCUUUCAAGCAUGGUAAAGAGCUUGAGAGGCAAGCCGCCGCACUGGGGUUAGAAUUGAGAAAGAACAGGAGAAUGGCUACAAAAGCUCCCAGUGUAAGUGCUGUGGUUAGUACCAAGAAUCUGGAGGGUUCUGAUGAGGCUGAAUCGAAAAAGUCUUUGCCUGGGAAAAGGGUUAGGAAAGAAAAGAAUGAUCUUGCCUCUGAACUUAAAGAUUUAGGCUGGUCAGAUGCAGAUCUUCAUGAUGAAACAAGAACAACUGCUAUGAGUGUGGAAGGAGAGUUGUCACAGAUUCUUAGAGAGGUAACACCAAAAUCAUCAGAGGGCAACAAAACCAGUAGUAUAGACAAGUCUCAGGUUAAUGCUCUGAAAAGACAGGCCCUGUUGCUGAAAAGAGAAGGUAAACUUGCUGAAGCAAAGGAAGAGCUGAAGAAGGCUAAAAUUUUGGAAAGACAACUAGAAGAGCAGGAGAUUCUGGGUGAAGCAGACGAGUCUGAUGAUGAUUUGGCUGCACUUAUUCGUAACAUGGACGAUGGCAAUCAGGAUGACAUUCUUUUGGACAAUCCAAGAUUCCCUGAUUUUAAUUUUGAAAAACUACUGGGCACCUCUGAUGAUCUUCUCAUCGAUGGCAACUUUGAUAUUACAGAUGAUGACAUGAAUGACCCAGAUAUGACUGCUGCACUAAAAUCAUUUGGCUGGAGUGAAGAGGACGAGAUACAAAUGGAAGGUCAUGGUCCUGUUUCUUCUUUGAAUCAAGAGGCAUUAAAGGAGCAAGUGCUUGCUCUUAAAAGAGAGGCUAUUGCACAGAAGAAGGCUGGUAAUGUUGCAGAGGCCAUGUCAUUGCUUAGGAAGGCAAAGCUCCUCGAGAAGGAUUUGGAAACUGAACAAUCAGAAUCAAAAGUUCCUUCCCCACAAGGACACAGGAGCACACGCACUGAAGAUAUCACAGUCGCAGAGAUGAAUACCCGGCCUGUGUCAGCACCAAAAUCUAAGCUUGCAAUUCAGAGAGAACUGCUGGCCUUGAAAAAGAAGGCACUAGCGUUGAGAAGGGAAGGAAAGGUGGAUGAGGCUGAGGAAGAGUUAAAGAAAGGCAGUGUUCUUGAGAAGCAACUUGAAGACCUUGAAAAUUCUUCUGCGAGACCUGUGGUCAAGGAAAAUAGGAACUUUGGGUCAACUCCCCCAUAUAAGGUUGAACCUCCAACUCUGGAUCUUGCUGAUGAAGGGUAUGAACCUGAGGUAACUGACAAUGACAUGCAGGAUCCAGCAUUGUUAUCUGUGCUGAAAAAUAUGGGAUGGGAAGAUGAGGAUGCUGACACUGCGAGCAUAAUUAAUAUGCCAUCAAAUAGUUCACGUAUAGUUUCUCAAAAACCAACAAAGAGCAAGGGUCAGAUUCAGAAGGAAUUACUUGCUAUAAAAAGGAAAGCUCUUGCAUUCAGACGGGAAGGAAAGAACACAGAAGCUGAGGAGGAACUUGAGAAGGCAAAGGUCUUGGAGCAGCAACUGUCAGAGAUGGAAGAGUCAGUUAACUUGACUGCUAGUCAACAAAGUGCAAGGUCUGCUGGACAAAUUAGGGGAAAUAAGUCUGGUGCUCUACUUGAUCCUGCCUCCAGUCCUGAUACUAGUGCACACCUGCCUAAACUAAGAAAUGCAACGGAGGGAGUUAUUUCGUUGCCAGUGCAUGCUGCUGAACUUGCUGCAUCUCUGGAUGCUCAAGCUAGUUCCCAAAGCAUACCACCGACCGAACUAAUCAUUCCUAAACCAGAUCAUGCAUCAAAAGUUCAUUCUGAAGGAACACGUUCAACCUUGUCCCGGCCAUCCUUUACUGAUCCGCUGGUAACAGCAGAAAGAUUGCAUUCACCUUCUGAUGUACAUGAUCAUAAAGAACCUCAGAUUCCGCACGGACAUGACACUCUCAAAGAUGAAAUCUUACAUCAUAAGAGAAAAGCAGUUGCUUUUAAGAGGGAAGGUAAAAUGGCAGAAGCUAGAGAAGAAUUGAAACAGGCAAAACUCUUAGAAAAACGUCUUGAAGUCUCUCAAGAGAACAGUGCAAAUGGUAGGGAUGAAUCAAUGAAACCCGUUGUGCAAGAGACCAACUUGAUCCAACAAUCUGCCAGUGCCAAGAGCUGUACCGAUGACAUUUCCUCUGCCCCUCCAGCACAAGAAAUAAAGCCAGUUCAGCCUCCGAAAGCAUUGUCUAGUCGAGACCGUCUCAAAAUCCAACGUGAAUCCCUUGCUCACAAACGCAAUGCGCUCAAGUUGCGGAGAGAAGGAAAGACCGCAGAAGCAGAUGCGGAAUUCGAGUUGGCUAAGUCACUGGAGAGCCAACUGGAAGAAUCAGAAAGCCAGGUUUCUGGAGGCAAGUCGUCUGACGCAAACGAUGCAGCUGUGGAGGAUCUUCUUGAUCCGCAGAUCAUGUCUGCCUUAAAAUCGAUUGGUUGGAGUGAUGCUGAUCUGUCCGCGCAAUCUUCUAACGCACAGCCUUCAAAGAAAGCUGAGGCAAAGCCAACUGUGGCAGCUACAACCAAGCCUCAGAGUGAGAAGACCCAGCUUGAGGAACAUAUUAAGGCUGAGAAACUGAAGGCUCUAAACUUGAAGCGUGAAGGGAAACAGACAGAGGCUCUGGAGGCCCUCCGAUCAGCAAAGCGGCUGGAGAAGAAGUUGGCAUCACUUGCCUAAUAAGUUGUCCAAAAGCUCGUCUUCAUAAUCGUUUGAUAACUUCUGAAGACUGAUGUUUCAGUUAGAAAAAAGCACAAUCGGCAGAGGAGGAGGGGGGGGGGGGGGUUGGGUUGGAAGCAGAUAGGCUCAAGACUUGUGAGCCGUGAGGACGCUCUUCAAGGUCAUUUUCUGUAUAUACAAAUAAAUGCUGAUGACCAAUGAUUCUUUUCACGGAUAGGAGUGCAGAGUGCAGUGAUACGUGCAUUCAUUCAUUGUAAGAAAUAUUGUAUCUUCUGAACAUUAUUUAGUUCACCUGACAGUGGAUUUCAUUUGCAUUCGGUAUCUUGAAUUCUUCAUGUCCCAUACUUCAACCUGCCGAUUCUGUCUGAGAUCAACGCAUGCUCAGGAGGAUAGUACUAUAGUUUUGAGUAAUUUGUCUGUAAGUUACUGUAUUUGUUUGUACUAUUAAUGGAGCAUCGCAUUUCUGUGGCGACGUGACAGGAUCACAGGAUAAUUAACAAAGCUGUCAGAGGUUCUAUUUCGAGGCAUUUUGCAAUCUGAUUAUUUCUCGCUUGUUCAUAUUGUCCUUUUUCCAGUUAAAGGUCUACUUAUUGUUGAUUGUGAUGAUCGCGGGAUGGCUCUUGGGCUCUUGGCGAGUAGUAUUUUACUCGCUUUGGGUCGAUAAGCUUUUUACAAUGUUAAGCAUUUUAUUAUGUAAUAAAAAGUUCCUUCGCCAUAUGUGUCUCAUUUCCAUAUUGAUGUUAACUUAGGGGUUUACUGGUAAUAAAAAAACGUUACCAUCUUCGCCAUAUUCUAUAGCACAAUACAUCAAUAUGGAAAUGACACACAUAUGAACCUUCUUUUAUAUAAGAAUUUUGCCGCAGAUGGUUAGAUAUAUAAACUCGUCCAAGUUGUCUCUCUUAGGCAUUUAAAUGGUGAACAUUAGAAGUUUUUAGGUUACCAAAAACUGAAAAGUAUAAGUAACCUCAUUUGUCCUCCCUUUUAUCUAUGAAAGAAGAGAAGUUUACGUAGCUACAGAAUGAGGAGAAUAAUAAGAGUGGUAAAUGGAGGAAAAAGAUGGUCGAAAGAAGCAGGGGAGGAGCUAGAAUGAAAUGUAGAGGGUGCCACUUGCUUAAUUUACUCUGCUUCACAUCGAGUUUAAGCUAACAUGAGUGUCUAAGUUUGUAUUGAGAAUGUACACACAUGAUGAAAAUAGGUAAGAUACAGCUAAAAAGUUUUCUUCACCGGGUUCCUGGGUGCCCCUGAGAUACUCUACCUUCGCCCCUGGAAAGAAGGUAAAAAGAAAAUGUCGAAAAUCACAAGAUUUCAGUCACCUAAAUACUGUACCCACUUGCUUUAUUCUUCUUGAUCCCUUGGCUCUAUGUUUGCCUAGCUGCCUACUGCUCGUCUCACUCGCUGCCGGAUGAAUUCGUUUCUUGUGCAGAGAUAUCAGGAGAUAUACGGGGUUUAUCGGAUGGAAUAAGUUGCCGGCCUAGUAGGCUGGUACUGGCCAGAAGAGUAGUUUUAGCUGUAGCUGGCUGAGCUCGUUAGGUUAAUUCUAAAAGGAAGGAAUCGAGGGAGAAUAAUUGCACAUAAGAUUUUAUUUGGUUUGGAGGUCGGGGAUGGGAGGAGGAAUGAUACCACAUCACAACGGUGUAAAAUAAAUCCCAUCCUAUUUCUUCCUCUCGAGGACUAAUCAAAUAAGUUCUAAAGGAAUUUAAAAUUUGACGAGUAUAUAAAGUGAUGAUAAAUUAACCACAAAUAUUUAUGAAGAAAUACUGCAAAAAUAGAGCGAGAGUUGAUCGCUAAAUAUGAUUCUAUUAGCUCCGUGCAAUCAGGGAUUCGACAAAGUUAUAGACUAAAAGAAGGCUCAAACAUUAUAAAUAUAUGUCAAGCGUUUCACGAACAGUAACAAAUUUAAUUUAUCACGGCUUCCAAAUCGAAUUGAGCUUACAAUCCAAUUCUGGUUGGGGAAACUCUUCGAUCCAGCAAGGUGUAUAUGGAAAAGAUAAUUCCACAUCGAGGUGUUCAUUAGGUAUACCGUGCAAACUCACUGGGUGCAAUUUACCCAACUCUUCGAAUUUCGAACUGCUUAGAUGAUAAGCGUACCCUCUGUCCAUUGAUUCGAUAAAGAGAAUUUCCUUGUAGGGAUGAAACCCAAGGAUCAGAGCGUAUUCAUCGUACCUCCUUUUGACAGUAUCUUCGGCUGCGUCGUUGACGAUAUCAUCAUCGUCGGAAUUCCAUUCAAAAUUUUCUCUCGCUAGCGUCAGUGGCUUUCUUCCCUUGGGGAAAAGCCAAGUACUACACUCGUAGUUAAUAUCGUCCAGAAUCCAAUGCCCAUCAAGCUUAUGGCUUGUUGCCAAGCUGGGGCCGAGGUCAGUUUGAUGCAUCAAGACCCACUUCAUGUCACCGCAUGGUUCAUCGAGAAGCCAAACUAGAAGCCUGUCUUUGCUGAGUGACGCAAAGUACACGCCCUGUUUUGAUUUUCCUAGAUAACGGCUCGAAAAUUCCCUCGCUUCCGCAUCCACCGGCCGAUGAAUAAUUCGAUACUUGUUGUCUAACAAGGAUAAUCUGUAAACCGAAAUUCAUUGGUACACGGUACAACAAAGAACACAAAUAUAUAAUUAGAGUAAUUUUUUUCACAAAACUGCAAUUAUUCGGUCAAAACUAUCACUUUGCUACAACUUUAAUUAGUCGGGGAUUUCAUAAAAGUGCAACUUUAUCUUAUAGUAUAUGACAUAUGUGGCUAACCAUUUGUGUAUGACAGGUGUGCUCAAACUAGUCAGAUAAAUAAUUAAUGUUGUAUAGCUUUCUAAUAAAAAAAUAUACUACUAUGUUAGUAUUGUUUUAGUUCUCCGAAAAGCUUGGCUAAAGUUCAAAGUGAUAGGUUUGAUGAAACAGUUGUAGUUUUUUGAAAUUUACUUAUAUAAUUGCUACAGUAUAAUAGAGCAAAGGGAUGAAUCACCUCAUAACGAAAUUACUUUGGCAACGGACGUAAAGCGUUCCUCGCCAGUAGGCAGCGUAAUGCGUGCCCCGCACCGAUGCUACGUCGGCCAUGGCUCCUGCGGCCUCUCCUUCUCGGACGAACGGCCUCUCCUCCCACUCCCUUGUUCUUGACGAGAAGACGUUCAGGACGAGCGGCGAUGGCGGCCACGCAGAAUUCUGAGGUGGUUGUUUCUUGGAUCGAUCCUUAUCGAACGGCAAGAGAUGGGGGAUUAUCAGCACCUCGAAGUGGGGCGACAAGGUGGGAUCAAACACGAGGUGCUCUUCUGGGUAGGUUUUUACUUCUUGUUCUUCUUCUAUGAGAGGAGGUGGUGGUGGGUAUGGCGUUAGAUCCAUCCACGCCUUCGUGGCUGGGUUCACGACGCAGCCGCUCUCGAGGAGGAGGAGGCCGUUGCAGUGAUCCAGCGCCAUUUGCCACUCUCCUUCCGAGGGCAGGAAGUCGAGCUUGCCGGUGAUCAGAUGGCGAUGGCAUGUCGUCGUCGUGGUGGUGGUGGUGGUGGUGGGGCGGGAGAAGUACUCCGAGUAGUCGUGGCAGGAGAAGUUGAGGAAGAACCCGGCGAGCGAGAGCGGGAGGAGGUCCGCGCGUAGUAGGCCGCCGCCGUCGAUGGCGUCGCGCCACGCCUUGCAGACGCAGCGGCACGCCGCGAGCCAGCGCGGCGCCAGGCGGCGGAGGACCUCCCCGAGCACGUCGCCGUGCAGCUGCAGCGCCGCCGCCGCCGCCGCCGCCGCCGUCGUGCCCUCCGUUCCCUUCGCCGCCCUUUUGCUUCCCGCUCUCUCGCUCGCCAUCGCAGCGAUCGCUCCGACGACGGCGAUGGCAGCGGCGGCGGCGAAGCGUGAGAUUCAGAUCGCCGCGUAUCGAUCCAUGUGCGUUUUAAACCCCAAGCACGUUUCGUGGGCCGGAGACAUGUCGUAUUGGGCCCAUGGGCCUUAAUGCGGCCCAGGCUCGUCCGAGCUUAGAAACCCUCGCCGUGUUGGUUUCCGCUUCUGCUUCUCCCCGCAAAUCUCCGAUGGCCGCCGCCGCCGCCGCGCCGCUCCGCAGGCUGCUCCUCCGCCUCGGCAAGCCGCCGCCGCUGCCCAUUCCGCUGCUGCCCCAUAUCACGCCGCAAACCGCACAGGCCGCCGGGGACCCCGCCGCGCCUCCUUGCCCAGGCGCGAUCCCGAGCCAAGCCCCGGCGAGGAAUCUCCGUGACGUCAUCUCCUCCUUCCACCCCGGGCUCCAGAUUUACCCGUCCCUCGAUCCGAGAUUCGGGGAGGUGGAGGAGGGCGUGGACGGCGAGGGGGGUGGCGCGGAGGUGUGGGCGGACAGCGUGAAGAAGAAGCGGAAGCGCAAGAUGAACAAGCACAAGCUCCGCAAGCUACGGAAGCGCCUCCGCCGCCAGACAUAGAGCGGGCCGCCGCCGCCGCCGCCGCACGGUGAACACCCUCCUCCGCCUCCGCCUCCGCCUCCGCUUCGAUUGCGAGUAGCUUCUCACCAUUUCGUGUGUUACUGUGCUUGCUUGCUGCCAUGACUCUAGCGGAAAUGGGGGUGGAUUGCUCCGUGUAUUGAAUUGUUAGACACUUUUCUGUAGCUCAUUUUGAUUCAGUCUUACUAUUUCGUUAUUAUUAUUAGAUGAAAAUGCUGUAUCAUUAUGGUAUUAAGUUAUGUCUAGGUCUUUGGUCUAGAUUUUCAGGCUCUAGUGCUUUGUUGAUGUAUGCUGUCACAUUACUAUGGCAGAAAUGUAGAUGAAUAAGUUUGAAACAUCGGGCGGGGUCUCAUAAUCUCAUUUGGUUUUCGUUGUUCCUCAGUUCUAAUUGAAUAAGUGUUGCAAUGGUGCAUGCCCAUAGUGUCAUCUGUGUGGUGGGCUGGUGGUGCUAGAAUUGUAUUUUGCAUACGGGGUAACAUUAAGAAUUGUUUAGCACAGACAUCUUUCAAAUUUUAUCCUCUAAUCUUCCAUCCCUUGGCUUCAGUUAAUAGUUUUCCCAGAUGAAACAUUGUGAACUUUAGAAAGAACAUCAAUUCACUAUUGUGCUGCAUCACUGGGCUAAAUGUUUUCAUUUUCAUCAGCUAAAAUUAUGCAUCUGUUUUCAUAUUGUGUUUUGAGGACUCCAAAUUAGUAAAAGCUCCAUUUCAAAAUCCCUGGGCAUAGUCUUUUUUUUUUCUUCAAGGAUUUUACCAUUUUUAACAAGAUAGAGUUGCAAUAUGUAAUUAUUAGAUGGUAGACUGCUGCAAGUAUAAACCCUGUUAUAUCCAUUUGUAAUAGAAGCUCUUGCACAACAUAAAGAUACUUUUACCAUGUUCUGUGCACUAAUUCACAGUUCUGUUUAUUUUAGUGGGCCCAAGGAUUUUACUUGCAAGCAAGCACUCGACACCGCUCCCUCACUGGAUACAAGCUGAUUAUUUCUAGCAGUUUUUAUUUGAUUAUGGGAGGGGCUGGUUUAAUACCAGCCUUCGAUUGUUGGCACGGGGUAUCCAUCUAGGAACCCUGUCAAGACUAAAUGAAAAUGAGCACCAGGAAGCAGUGGUUUAUGCAUGAAUUUCUGUCUAAUAAAACUUUUAAUGAUUAACUCUGGUGGUAAUUUGCCCUUCUCUUUUGUUCUUUUCCUAUAAUGAUGCUACUAUAACCCAUAUAUACAGAUCAUGGUGUCUCUGAAAACAUUCAUCAAUUGGUUGAGAGCUAUUCAGUGUUCCUGCUCCAGCUAUAUGUGCAGUUACUGAAUGUUAGUUUCAAUUCUGUGAAACCGCACUUAAAUUUCAACCAUAUAUUCUUCUCACGGAUGCAUUGUGAAUGUGUGUGGCAUAUAAAUGGCAUCUCUUGGCUAGUUUCUUUGAAAUCGUGUAUGUCACGUCCGAUCUUCUAUAUGCUGCAACAUUUAGUUCUGUUCAGUGUACAUGUUGUGGUUUUCAGAUAUGGGAUUAAAAUUUCUUUCUAAAAGGUAAGUUAAACCCCAUUCGGAUAAUUUGUUGAGCUACGUACCAUCAGAAUUUUGGUUUCUGACUGAUGUCUGUUAGUGUAGGAAACUCUGUGAAAGCAACUCAACUGUAUAACAUACAUGUGUCCAUCCUCAGAACGCUAUGCCUGUUUGGUACAGCUCAAACUCCUAAAUUUAGCUCCAGGAGUUAAGGGCCUGUUUGGCACAGCUCCAGCUCCAACUCCACCCCUCCUGGAGCUGGAGCUCAGCCAAACAGUUUCAGCUCCACCAAAACUGGGAGUGGAGUUGGGUGGAGCUCUCUCACAAAAUGUACUAGAGUUGUGGAGCUGGGUUUAGGCAGCUCCACAACUCCACUCCAGACUCAACUCCUGGAGUUAUAUUUAGGAGUUGGAGCUGUACCAAACAAGCCCCAAGUCUGGAGUGGAGUUGUGGAGCUGCCUAAACCCAGCUCCAUAACUCUAGUACAUUUUGUGAGAGAGCUCCACCUAACUCUACUCUCAGUUUUGGUGGGGCCUGACUGUUUGGUUUAGCUCCAGGAGGGGUGGAGCUGGAGCUGGAGCUGUGCCAAACAGGCCCAUAGAAGUCUUUCAGAAAUUAGAUCAAUAUCUCAUCUAUUGUCUCCAUGUUAUGGUACUAGCAGUCAGGCCUGCAAAUACAACCAAUCGAUUUUGGCUCGCAAAAUUGUAGAGCCUUUAUCAAUAAUUGAAUAUAGAAUCUCUCAUCUAUGACACCAACACCCAAGCAGCUGCUACAAUCAAGGUUACAUUUACACAACUCAACCAACAAACUGUUCCAUUUUACAAGCUCUUCUUCCUGUUUAUUUCACUUAACAAGGUCCAACAAAUCUCAAGGGUUAUAUUCCUGUGUGCUAACGCAACUAUUGGUUGCUUAAUAAUGCCAAGGCAGAAACUUUGCUGUGUACCUCCAGACCUGCCUAAGGUAACCAGAUACAAGUCACAUGUCGUCCUCUUGUUCUGGGAUGCCUUCUGUAGAUAUGGCAGAAUGUGCAGGUUGGUAGGGCAGGGAGCAUUAAGAAAACUUGGAUUAUAAUUCUCAGAAGUACCGUAUCGGUCCAUCCAAGCUACCAGAUGCAAACUACAAAUAUCAAAUGGCGAUGGAGUGAGACACAAGAUCGAGUAUAUUAAGGUUACUUGGUUCUUGUGAGGCACACAGUUAAGACAUUACUGCAUUACCUGUUUUACAAUAGGAUUUGUUGAUGUAGUAAAUUCUUGUGUCAUUCCUUCCCACACUACCUUCCCCUCAUGGAGAAAUAACAACCUGAAAGUUGAGUACAAGAGUCUCAGCUUAGCAAUGGACAACAGAAAGCUGGAAGCCACCAGCAAAACAAUGCCUGCUAUUACCUGUCAACGGCUCGUUUUAUUGUGCUAUGCUGAUGAGUGACAACCACAUAAGAUGCUAUCUUUCCAGGCUUACCAAGAGCAUCUUUCCCUGUUACAUGUACGGAACGUAUAAGGUCUUCAACAACGGUGGAUGCAAUAGGGUCAAGUCCAGCAGUAGGCUCAUCGUACAAAAUAACCUGUAAUGGAAAAAAUGUAUAAUAUCAAGAAGACAGUCAAUAGUAAGUUAAGCUGUUUGAUCUCCUUUUCCUGUGAACUAUUACAGCAAUUUACUCGUAAUGACUGAAGAGAUUAGUCAGGGUAUACCUCUGGCUCUAUUGUUUCCUUUGUAUCAUCGUAUAUUAUUGAACGAGCUAGAGCUACACGCUUUUUCAUGCCACCAGACAAUUCAGAUGGCAUUCGAUCUUCAACGCCCUGCACAGACCGAUGGUGAUAAUAUAUCUAAGUCUAUGUUAAAAUCACAAGUAUGAGUAGAAAAAUACCGAUAAUCCUUUCAUCCUAUGUAAGCUAAUACAGAAAUCUAGAAUUCCUCAACAAUCCAAGCUAUAAUUUUGCCUCUUAAAUUAUCUCCGACAAAAACUUUGCACAAUCACAUAAAAGCAUUGCCUGCGAUUGGCUUACCGCUAAUCCAAAAUUUGGGACUAUUCUAUGCUUAGUUUUAACUUCAACAUGAAAAAAAAAAAACUUGACUUACUUUUAGGCCUACUGCGGCCAAUGUUUCUGUCACUAGUGUAGCUAUUCUCUCCUCAGGCAGGCUGGAAUUUUCAUAUCUAAAGCCAAAGGACAGAGGAAACCGAGAUUAGUAAAUACAAGUAGAUUGACUACUCUCAAUAGACUUAUGGAAGGUAAUUGUUCUUACAAAAGGAAUCCAACAUUUUCACGAACCGUGAGAGAAUCAAACAAAGCUGCACUUUGAAACACCUUCAUAGGCAAAGACCAUUUUAGAAUUUUCGAGAACAGUUGGUCGAUAAAAUUAUCAUGGUAUUUAUUCGGCAGAUUUGAAGUAAUUAAAGAGUAUACCAAGCCAAUUCGGACACCAGAUAUGUCUUCAUCACUAACUAGCCCAUGUCUUUUUCUUCCGCAAAUAAUAACAUCGCCCUUCUCAUUAUCACAGAUUUAAAAUAAAAAUACAACAGCCAUCAGCACAUCAAACGGGAACCUCCUAAAAGCCUAUUGUUUUAAUAAAGAUAAUCAAGAAGAUGCGAUAACCUUGUCUGGAGCCAGUAGCCCAGCCAUAACCUUCAAAACAGUUGACUUUCCUGUUCCCGAAGGACCAAUUAUUCCAACGGCUUCUCCGUGUCUAAUCUACAUAAUAAUAAUUUGAACCAUAACUGAACUGCAGGCUAAAAAUAAAUGAAACCAAAAGAUUAUAAAAUAAUCAACUAAGUAAUGAUUCCUAGUGACUGGAUAAUGGAGAGUAUGAUCAACGUAAGAGAACUAGUGGUUAAUUUGUGGUGGUACGACUAUAUGAGCAAGGAAACAGAAAUUCAGAAUGACAACAAUUCGAUUUGUGCUUCCAAUUUGCUUUGAAUACUUGUAAAGUACAUUAACUCUGGGAUCAGCAUUGAAGAAGAUGCAGUUGAGUGGCUCCAAUACUUGAAAUGGGAUAUGUACUAGGCACCCAAGUAGUUGAUUACAAAUAAUGCCCAAGAUGUAGAAAACCAGAGAACCAAUGAGAAUUGGAAACUGGAAAGAAUUGCUUGAAAAAGAACUUACCUUGAAGCUAAUGCCAUUCAAUACCUUCUUGUUACCGAAGGAUUUGUGCACAUCCCUACAUUCUAUAAGAAUAUCAUGAUCAUCGCCAAUCUGCCCAUUCAUACCCCAGCUCCUUGACAAGCUUGGACUCUAAAGCAUGACGGGAACAAAAAUACAAUUUAUCACCCCCAAACUCCAAGGCACCGCAAUUCAAGUAAGCUAUAUCAGGAUCAAGGCAUCGUUGCAAGAGCAUACCUCACGCAGAUUCUCUGCAUUGCCCAAGCCAGGACUCCUGGUAGCAGAUACAGCACCAGCGUACACAUGGCCCUUUUUUAAUGGCACUCCACAUAACCUGCCUAAGCAAGAACAUAUGCAAAAUAUGAAUACCAUAUCUCAUUUGAUAAAACCAAUCACAUUGGACGCAAUACUGCAGAUAAAUAUUCACAAAGAUGAACAUGGCACAGGAUGAACCAGCAUAGUACUACACAAGAACAGCACAACAGCCACAUUCUUCCCUUUUCAUAUGAGCAAUUUAACCAGCUGCCAAACUAACCGCGCUUCGCAAUUUUUUCAGCCUAAUCGGGGUCAGCUAUCAAAAAACGCAAAGAAAUUUUUAACUACAGUGCAAAAUCGCUUUCUCCCUUUCUCCUCCUCUGAACUGUUGAUGAAAGCAAAGAAUCUACUCACGCAGCUCGAGCAAUUCAACAACAAGCCGUGAUCUGCCAACACAAUUGUAUUCCCUACAGAAUCGCAACCCCAAGGUAACGGGAGAGAUGCUCCAAAACAACUUAGACAAAACAUCUAAGAAACAAAAAAAAAGAAGAAGAAGAGAUUCAGGCCAUGAUUUUUCUUUUACCUAAACGGAAGGGUGCAGGGCGGGCAGGGGUCUCCCGAGGAGCGGAGGAGGCGGAGGCCGGCGGCGUGGGCAUGCGGGUGGCGGAGAGCCGCCGGGAUGGACGGCGACGCCAUGGUCUGAAUCGAGCUCUGCGGCGGCGGCGCCACGCGCGUGGGCGAGGAAGAAGAAAGGGAAACCCGAUGGAAUCCUCCUCCUCCUCUCUCUCCUCUCUUCCCCCACGUGGCAACCUGACAUGUGGGCCCCACCGAUCCGCGGCUCGCGCGGGGAGAGGAUCUGGGCGUCGGAUCCUGAUCCCGGCGGUAAUUACCCAAUUGUCCCUCCCCCCGCGAAUCUUCUCUUCUCUUCUCUUCUCUUCUCCGGUGGCGAUCUGAGUGGCCGACCGGCGGCGAGAUGGCCUCCGCCGCCGUGACGCUCCCGCGGGUGAUGCUGGCGGCGGCCGCGGUGCGGGCGGCGAUGCUGGCGCUCGGGGAGUGGCAGGACGCGCACCUCGAGGUGCGGUACACCGACGUCGACUACCUCGUCUUCUCCGACGCCGCGGCGUCCGUCGCCGCGGGCGGGUCCCCCUUCGCCCGCGCCACCUACCGAUACUCCCCGCUCCUCGCCUACCUGCUCGUCCCCAACUCUCUCCUCCACCCCACGUGGGGGAAGCUCCUCUUCUCCGCAGCAGGUGAUUCCGCUGUUCACACACGCCUGCUGUCUUUGUUACUAAUAGCUCACUCUUGUAGUAGCAUUGGUGAAGAACAUUUAAUAUUUGUAGCUAAAUUUGUAUUUUAAGGGGGUAGAUUUCUGUGACCUGCGGUUCAAGUAAUGUUUAGAACUUGGGGAUGACUUUCUGAAAGCCAGAAGUUAUCUGAGUGAUCUAUCUGAAUUUAUUCUUGUUCAUUUUCAGCCAGUGGCUUCAUUGCAUGUAAAACUCUGCAGAAUUUGGCCUAGUGAGACGAAUCACAUGAAGAGCUUGUUCAAUUUUAUGUUUUUGUUUGAAAUGAUAAGACAGACAUUUUAGGUGCUCAGUAAGACAAUAACCUUCCCCUUUUUUUUAUUUGUCACAAAGACAACACUAAGGUCAAUUAGGGAGAGUUUAAUAAUCGACAUGUAAGUUCCUGAUUUCGUGAUGUCGGGAGAACAUGAACCUAUUUACAUUGUCCGUAAUUACCUCGUUGGAUUUUUGAGAUGGCGGUGCAUCAUGUGUUUUGCAGAUUUGCUUGUUGGGUUGUUCAUUGACACCAUUCUGAAACUACGUGGUGUCCCUGACAGCACUCGGAUCUGGUCUGUUGUAGCUUGGUUGUUCAACCCCUUCACGUUCACAAUUGGCACAAGAGGAAACUGUGAGCCCAUAGUCUGCGCUGUCAUACUUUGGAUCCUGAUAUGUUUGAUGAAUGGUGUAAGCUCUAAACCUGUUGUUUCUAUCUGUUCAGUUUUGUUCUAUCUUGUAUUGAUGUAGAUAAUAAUCAUUUAAAUGCUUUAAUAAUGGAAUCUUUUAGUUAGUUUUUUGGUCUUCUCAUACAAAGCAUAGGAACAUAAGACAUCCUGUUUUAUGUCUUAGCAGUCUAAACUAUUGUCUAGUGGAGCUUGUUACAAAGUCAGAAAAGCUAAAUUACUACUUUAUUAAGCACUUGAACAAGAAGUUGUACAUAAUUUUCCUCUGCGUUGUAGUACUUGGAUAAUACUGAGCAUUACUGAUAUUACUGUCAAAUGUCUUACAGUUUGAUUGUCUACUGUAGGUAGAGUAUUGCAGGCAUCAUUCUGGUAUGGUCUGAUUGUGCACUUCAGAAUAUACCCAAUCAUAUAUGCAAUUCCUUUCGUUAUAGUUCUGGGCAAGAAUUAUGCUGGUCCUGCUGGAAGGCCUAUUCUUACACAGUGGACUUCUAAGCAACAUUUACAAAGCGAUAAAUCCAGUCCAAGUGUGGAAAGGGCAACAUCAUUGUUAACUAAUUUAUGGAAUUUUCUGACAAGCCUUAUAACAAGAAAUACGAUCCUGUUUGGAUUACUUUCAGGAUCUAUGUUCUUUCUCUGGACUGGUGUUUUCUUCUACCUUUAUGGAUGGGAAUUCUUAAAUGAGGCACUACUUUACCAUCUUUCUCGGACUGACCCGAGGCAUAACUUCUCGAUAUAUUUCUACCACAUAUAUCUGCAUCAUCAGCAAGGGUUCUCAAGUAUACAGAAGCUCGCUUCUUUUCUGCCACAGCUGAUCGUGCAACUGGCACUCAUUCUACGCUUCUCUAGGGAUCUUCCGUUUUGUUUGUUUCUCCAAACAGUUGCAUUUGUUGCGUUUAACAAGGUAAGAUGUCUCACAGUCACGGGCAUUUCUCGUUUUUAAAACCCUGGACUACUUGAUAUUGAUUGUUAAGUUUACCAUCAAACAGGUCAUGACAGCACAAUACUUUGUGUGGUUCUUUUGCCUGCUACCCCUCAUCCUCCCUUGGACUACCAUGAAGCUGAAGUGGAAGGGUCUGGCCUGUAUAUUGGUGUGGAUGGGGUCCCAACUGCACUGGCUGAUGUGGGCGUACAUGCUUGAAUUCAAGGGCCAAAACGUCUUCAUACCGCUCUGGGCAGCAGGUCUCAUGUUCCUGGCUGCAAACAUCUUUGUUAUGCUCAUGGUGAUCAACCACCACAAGUUCACUCCGCUCUUCUCAUCAUCAACGGUGAAGUCUGCAAGCAAGAUUGCUGCCAAGAAGGAAUAGCAUAUACCACCCUUCUUUUUUAUUACUUUACCAGCUGAUGUAUUUCUGGAGACAUGGAUACUGAUUUUUCUUUUUAAUGUUCUACUAGUAUCUUAUGCGACUUGCAUCCUUGCUCUUUUUUUUUUUAACCCUGAGACCCGGCUUGGUUGGUUUUGUACUAUUAACUUCUUGUCUUAGGUUGUAUGGUAAGUCUGGAAAAUGCAGUUGCUUUGGAGAGGGAAAACUUUUUUUUUCUACUCCCUCCGUUUUAGGUUAUAAGAUAUUUUGAUUUUGGUCAAAGUUAAACUGCUUCAAGUUUAUAGAAAAAAUAGUAAUAUUUUUGAUCCAAGAUAAAUUUAUCAUAAAAAUAUAUUUAAUUAUUAAUUUAAUAAAACUAAUUUGGUAAUGUAAAUAUUACUAUAUUUGUCUAUAAACUUAGGUCCUGUUUGAUUUAGCUUAGGAUUAUUAUAAUCUGGAUUAUUAGGAGUAAACUAAAACAAACAAGUAGAUUAUUAUAAUCUAUAAGCCAGAUUAGUAUAAUCCAGUAAUCUCCUCUAGAGGAGCUUUUUCUAGAUUAUUGAGUGGCUAAAGACCCACUACUCUUAGAUGCCUCUAAUAAUCCAGAGAAACAAACAACUUGCAGCUUAUUCUAUGUCAGCUUAUCAUAAUCUAGCUUAGAGUAAUCUGAUUUAAUAAUCUAGAUUACAAUAAUCUUAAGCUGAAACAAACAGGGCCUUAGUCAGACUUAAAACAGUUUGACUUUGAUCAAAGUCAAAACAUCUUAUAACUUGAAACGGAGGGAGUAUUUUGGUUGGAGCUUUUUUUCUUCGGGAAACGGGGAGCUUUAUUUAUAUUUGGUUGUGCAUGGUUCCAGUAAAAAAAAAGAUUAGCAGCAUGGUGAUAUGUGCUAAAAUCCAUGUGGUUUGUGCAUCAUCGACCACAAUACUUAGGUUUUUAUGCCACCCUAUGUGGUUAUCAAUGCCAUGGGUGGCCACAGCGGGGCCGUUGCCUUGCCAAGACCAACAACAAGGUUGAGGGUUGCUUGGGAGAUUUUCUUGCUGGCGCAAGUAGAUCUAUCCAUCACUUUGUGCCGAAGGCCGCUGAUUGCAAGAUGUGGCAGUGGCGACGAGGCUACCUGGGUGUUGUGCUGCCAAGUGGCAUCACCCUCAUUGUCGGACGCGGCCUGUGGCUCAUCACUCUCCAUAGGACGGUGCUCCUCCCGCACCAAUUGAAGACAUAUUGCCGUGGUUGUAGUGAUGAUGGUUGAUUGUGCAUAAUAAUUUUCUUCAACGCUAACGGCUAGGACAAUAGCAUUGCAACCAAAGUUGUCACCAUCAUGCCCGCCGCCGCCUCCAACUUGGUGCACCUCUCCAUUGCCACCUUCUGCUUGGGACGCCUCACCUGCAACAUGGCUACUAACUUUAGCAUGUUUAUCUUUAAUUCCUUGAUGAUCUAGGAAAGAGGUGUCACCAGAGCCGAAUUGUUGCUAGAUGUGGCCGGCGAUGACAAUCCAAUCUAAGUAUCCAUCCAGCAGUAGUCAUUAUAGCUGGCGCAACCAUAGAAAGCUUUCUGAGCAUACUCUAUAUGUUGGAAUUAAUGGAUAGGCCUUAGCCCACUCGAAAAUUAAUUCUUUGGAAAAUCACAAAAGCCCACCUCAUGGGAUGACAUGCAUAUGGAGUUUAGUACUACCUUACUUAUUCUAGGAGAGGGGGACCUCCUUAAAAGGGAGGAUGCCCUCCUAGCCACUUGAAGCGUGUGUGGUGGAGAGAAGAGGGGGAACACAAGCGCGCGCUUGCUGGCCUGGCAGGGCAGGUCAGGCGGCGCGUGCACGACGUACGCGUCGAAUGGUCCGCAAAAUUGGCUCCUCAUCCUUGUGCAGAUGCAGCCUCCUUUUGCAGUUUUGUUUUGCUGUAGGAAAUUCGGAUUUGUGUCGAAUGGUCUGCAAAAUUGGCUCCUCAUCCUUGUGCAGAUGUAGCCUCCUUUUGCAGUUUUGUUUUGCUGCAGGAAAUUCGGAUUUGUUUUGUUUUGGAAACAUUCUGAAAAAUCUGAUGCGUGAAAACGGCGUGGAGUCCGGAUAAGUUACGCGUGACUUAUCCGGUUCGGUUACGCGGAGUGGAGAUCGUGUGGGUGCGCUGAUCAAGCAACCUAUCUCUAUAUAAACCGAGCCGCCGCCUUUACGCAACUCACGCGAAAUCAAUCUAGGGUUUGCCUCCUACUUUGUGUUGCGCCGUCGCUCGUAGACUACUCCAUCCCGCUCACCGGCGUGCACCGGCGAUCUGGAAAGCAGGUCUCCGGAACCUCUGCCUUUGACGUCCUGCAUCGGGAGAAGGUGGCAAUAAGGUUUUUGGGAAGCGCUUCGCGCGACUGCUCCCAGUUCGUCCGCGACGGCUCGCCUUCCUCUCCGCUCGCGUGCUGUGUGCCUUCGUUGAUGCCCGCAACCGCGAAUAGUUCCUACCGAGCAACCGGUCUUUCCGCCACCUCGGUACGUGUUCGACAUGUUGCGUAUUUUUAAUCUGUUCAUAUUUUACUACUUAGUUUACAUGUGUAGAUCUAAUGAUGCGUUCAUGCUAGUUUACGUUUGCAAUAUCAUGAUUUAUUUAUGGAAUAAAUUAAAUCAUCAUGUUUUUAUAAUUUCAACACUAUAUCUAAACAAGAUUGGAAAUGAACGAAGGUAUUCACAUGUGUUUCCAUCUAGUGCGUGUAGAUCUUCUCAACUCCAUAUGCAUCAAGCACAUGAUGGAAUAAAUCCCCCAUCACUGAGUGGUGUAGAUGGCUCGUCGUGACAUGAAGAACUCCCUCAGAAUCGUAAGUUAUGUUGAAUGUCUAUGAUACCAAGUUAUAAUAACCUGAGCCAUAACGGGGUAAACACUACUAAGAGGAUAGCUAGGCGGUGUUGGUUGCUAGGGAAUGGAUUUAGACUUUAGGUUGGAGAGGAGCAUUAGAGGAGAGAUUAGAUUAAUCUUGAUUUAUUGUUUAACUUAAAACAUGAUAUAUAGAUGGUCCAACUUAACACUUAAGGGAUUAACCUAAUCUUGUUUCUAACUCUAACCAAUGCUACGGUAUUUAGCAUGCUAUAGUACCUCGAGGCACUAUGCAAUUGCCUAGUUAUUUGGUAUUGGGGUAUCCACGGCCUUGUCCUUGUCCCCUUGCCACUUGGCCUAAUGCCCAUUACAAACUCACACAAUGACACAUUCACACGAAAAACAUUGUAUUUUCAAUUUUUUUAUACGAAAAGUUCAGAUGACAAUAUAGCUUCCCAAAACCUAGACAUUGUGCAUCAUAUAUGGUGAGAUAUAACAAAGCAGCAAACUCCUAAAGCUGCAAGAUCUCGACGCAAAAUUAAUUUGCAGAAACAUGAACCAGGAAGUAUGUAUAUUAGAAAGCACGUGCCACAAUUUUUAACCAUCCACAUUGAUGGGUUCAACAAGAGCACCGCACACAGGGGGGAGGGGUGUCAGCGACAGUGCAUGAUCGUGCUCAUGGGGACAAAUUGGCAAGGGAGGUGUCGAUCAAUCUCUUGGGAGGGUGGUGGCAACCAUUCUCUCGACGGCGUAAGAGAAUGCACACGAGGUAAAGGGAGUUUCGUGACAUUGGUUUUAGUGGAGCCCACACGAAACAAAUAUUAACUAUGUAAUAAAAUAUAGCAAUUUAGUAUUGUAUUAGACAUCAUUUAGACGUGUCUAAUCCAACAUUAUGGAACGGAGGGAGUAUUUUCGAAGCCAUGAUACACACCACUAAGUUAAGUGCCUAUAUGUAUUUGCCAUGUCAACCUGCUGUGGACCCCACAAGUCAGAUUUGCGUAGAAACAGUGAGAGGUUUGAAUUAGUAAACUGGUCUUACAUCCUUAUUUAAAAAAAUGAAAACAUAACGAAGCACACGACCGCGUGGCCUAAUGGAUAAGGCGCUCGCCUCCGGAGCGGGAGAUUGUGUGUUCGAGUCCCAGCGUGGUCGGGUUGGUUUUAAUUUUUAUCUAUUUUUCCUGGAUAGUGUAUUAGUUUCCAUUGUUUUUAUUCUUUAUCCACUACUCGUUCCGUACUAAAAUACAAGUAUUUUUAGAAUAGUAACAAGUCAAACAUUUUUAACUUUAACUAUAAAUAAAAAAAAGUUCAAUCCAUUCUUUUUUACAUUAAACAAACUAUCAUAUGGAGAUGAAAAAGAGAGAUGCAGAUCAGAUUCGCCAACUCGUGCGAAUGAACGCCCUGCUGCGAUUAAAAUGGGAACAAAAAUGAUAGAGAUCAAAAUGAACAGAAAAAUGCAGCUGUACAUAGACAUAAAAAUGAACUCGAAAAUACAACUGUGCACCAGACCAUAUACGGGUGUUUAUAUUUAUGGCUAACUAUUUUUUAGUGAAAGACAAAUUACCUGCCGAUAGUGAAGUGUCUUUAAAAUAUAUCUGUCAGUUUUUGAAGCUGCUCAUAAGAAUACUUAUGACGUGCUGUUUAUAAGGACAAGUGUAUGUACAUAUACACAGUGGCGAAGCCACAGGGGGUGCCGGGGUGGGCCUGGCACCCCCCAUCCCCAUGCGCUGCAAACCCCACCCCCGGAUGAUUAGCCAUCUAAUCCAUAAAAUUAGCUCAUUAAUUUGUUGCAAGUUGAGCCUAUACCUACCUAGCUGUCCAAUAGGUUUUAGCUUUACGUGAUUACCUGAGUUAAUUAACGUAAUUAAACGAUGUGGUUGCAAGUCUAUUAAUGUAACUAAGCGAUGUGGUUGCAAGUCUCCAAAAUUAAAAAGGAUGAAUAGAAAUGAUGUCGUGUGUCAUUCUGUAUUGAGUAAAGUUGGUGCUAUUUAGUGACUUUAAAAAUGGUUCUUUUUAUACUAUAUUAACAUAUAUUCGGACAUACAUCCUCCAUUCUAAAAUAAGUUCAAUUUUAUACACCAAGAUCCACGCUAUAUUAUCUACCGAGGCGCUGGUGAGUUCUUACGUCUCCUGGCCAGCACCCCCUAUACCCAAAUCCUGGCUUCGCCACUGCAUAUACAUACACUUAUGAGCACACAUUCAUAUGUGUUUUGAAGAAAAAAGAGAGUAAAAAAUGAAAGACAUAAAAAUGAACGAAAAAUAGGUGCCAAAAUGAACGGAAAAAAUACCGCUGUGCUGUGAAAAUGACAGAGAUAAAAGUGAAAAAAGUACCAAAAUGCACAAAUAAAAUAGCACUGUGCUGUGAAGAAAGAUGAGACAAAUGAGUGAAAAACACACACACAAAAAAAAAUCAAAAUUGAACGUAAAACAUGAUCAAUGUGCUGUGAUCAUGUAUGGAUAAAAAGUAAAACCGGAUCAAAAAUUAAUGUUGAAUUCAAAAUGCACGAAUUUUGCCAAAAAAAAAAUUACCGCUGUGCUGUGAAAAUGAUAGAGAUAAAAGUGAAACAAAGGUACCAAAAUGCACAAAUAAAAAGCACUGUGCUGUGAAAAAAAGAUGAGAUAAAUGAGUGAAAAACACACCAAAAAGAAUCAAAAUUGAACGUAAAACAUGAUCAAUGUGCUGUGAUCAUGUAUGGAUAAAAAGUAAAACCGGAUCAAAUAUUAAUGUUGAAUUUAAAAGGUAAGAACUUUCCAAAAAAUUCGCGCCAGGUAGGGGUCGAACCUACGGCCUUCUGCUUAGGAAACAGACGCUCUAUCCACUGAGCUACAGGCGCUUAGUGCUGUCAAUUAUUAAAGCAAUUAUAUUAUCAAAAUAAUGCCGAUGCUGCUGCUACUGCCUACAAAAAUCAACUCGGGGUCGCUAAGAAAAACAUGAAUUGGCCCAUAUUAUUUCAUUCACAUAAAGCUAGGGUUCGCUAUUUUUAAUUAGGUGUUGAGAAAUUGAUAUUUUUAUAUAUAACCGCCCACAAUAUAUUAUUUUGUAUUUUAUUUUUUUAUCUAUUUAUGAUGUACAAACAUAUUAAUCAUAUAUUGGAUCUGGGAAAUUUUUUUGCUUUCACCAUGCCAAUUUUUUCACGCAUUUAAUCACUAAGAAUAAGCAUUUAAAACUAUUUUAUUUGAAUGAAAAAUUGAUUAACGAUGGUAUCUAGCCAGUUGUCAAUAAUCUCCUUUGCAAUCAAAAUUUUGAAUCCAAACAUUAGUUGAGUAAAUUACAGUAAAGACCUUUAACCUGUUGUUUACCGAUUCAGUGGAUAACAUGUAUUUCCAACAUUAAUCCAGAGUGCAAACAAACAGUGGAAAUGAUGUGAACCAUAAUAUUUUUUUUAUUACGUGUCUAAUUAAUUGACUUACUAAGCCAUGAAAAAAAAUGAAGCAUAAAAACAUACUUACAACUUUCAUAUCUAUGUUGUUCUCGGUUUAAAAAGCGAUGUUAGAAAAUAGACAACUUCAAAAUCAGGUAAAAAGAUAAGUUUUAAAAUUUAAAUUUUAUUUUAGGCUUAUAGCUUAUAAGCUAACAAGCAAAUGUUGUUACGUAAAAAAACUGGAAAAAAAAUAAUCUGUAAGAAACUCCGUUGCAACGAACGGACCCUUAGCUAGUAGGUGCCAACGUUUAAAAAGGUCUAGUGUUUGCUUAUCUGCAACACAUACAAAAACAGUCUAGUAAGUGCUUUUCUGCUGUGUAUUCAUAUAAUUAACUUGUUGAUGAUGUGUCAUGUUUACAUGGGAUUUAAAAUAGUUUAGAAUAGUACUCCUUCCAUCUACUUUUGAUAGUCAUAUUUCUAAAUCUGAAAAAUUUAUUUUUGAUAGGCAUAUUUCAAUCCAACAACCUAUCCUCUUAAUGACUUUCUCGGAUUUAAUGCGUGACUCUUUAUUCUUUCACACAGGAUUGGCUACAUGAGCAUUGAGAAAUGUAAAUAUUAAUGAAUCGCUUGUUUACGAGGAAUAAUUAGUAGCAUGUUUAAAUGGAUGAUAAGUAGAAUUACUUAUCCUUAGUCUGUGUACUAAGAUAACAUAUGACUAUCAAAAGUAGAUGGAGUAAUUGCUAGUGACUGAAGAUGUGGCAUGCUUGUAUAGGAUUUUAAAUGGGUUAUAAUAAUAGUAAUUGCUAGUGAGUGAUGAUGUGGCAUGCUUGUAUGUUUAAUUGCUAGUGAGUGAAGAUGUGGCAUGCUUGUAUGGGAUUUUAAAUGGGCUAGAAUAGUAAUCGCUAGUGGGUGAUGAUGUGGUAUGCUUACAUGUUAAGCUUUAGCUUCUAAUAAUUGUUAGUAGGUAUCAAUAGAUUGUUUAAUUUAACUGGCCAUGGAAAGAAUGGUAUUGGCAUCAAUGGCAUGACCGUUUCUAUAAAACCCUUCUUAUUGAUCAAUGCAUGAUAUCUUUAAUUAAAUCCCCUUUCCCUUUUUCUCUUCUAAGGUGAUGUUUGGAACCAGAUACUUAACUUUAGUCUAUAUAUUUAGACACUAAUUUAGAGUAUUAAAUAUAGACUACUUACAAAACUAAUUACAUAAAUGAAAGCUAAUUUGCGAGAUAAAUUUUUUAAGCCUAAUUAAUCUAUAAUUAGAGAAUUUUUACUGUAGCAUCAUAUAGGCUUAUCAUGGAUUAAUUAGGCUCAAUAGAUUUGUCUCGCGAAUUAGUCCGAGAUUAUGGAUGAGUUUUAUUGAUAGUCUACGUUUAAUAUUUAUAAUUAGUGUCCAAACAUCCCAUGUAAUAGGGACUUAAAAGUUUUAGUCCCAUCUAAACAGGGUCUAAGUCCUUCUAAAUCUGUUACUCAUAUAACUGUCUAACUGAGAUAAAGUUUAAGGUUGUCAUAUCAUAUCAUCGUCACGUUAUAUAUAUGAUCCCUGCACUUCUCUUUUUAUAGAAUGGACGAGACUCUUUUUUCUGUAUAUGUAGCGGUCUUGUACUCUUGUUAGUACCAUUUUGCGUCCCAUUUUGACGAGACGACUGGCGUGCCAUUUUGCGUCCUGGUUCAUUACAGUCUAAUUUGGUGACAAACAAACAAGGAACAAAUAGGUCCCAUGGUCUAGCGGUUAGGACAUUGGACUCUGAAUCCAGUAACCCGAGUUCAAAUCUCGGUGGGACCUUAAUUUUCUCGGUUUUAUUUUCUGCCUGAGCUUAUUGUCCUCCUCCUGAUUUUUUGUUGUUGUCUAUUUUCUCUGCCGGAAAAAUGUAUCAAACUCGUCGAUUCUACUCGUUUGAGAGCUUAGUGUGAUAUUGUCCUUCUCCUGAAGUUUCUAUUUUUUACUCUCUCUGUUAUGAAAAUUUUCAUGCUAGAAUGAUUUACAUUGUGAAAUGGAGAGAGAACUCGUUUGUGCUUAUUUAUCCUUCCCCUGAUUUUUUUCCACACCAAAACAUAUAUUGUGAUAAUUGAGUAUGCUACGCGUCUGACGUACUACGAGUUUACUCCCUCCGUCCCAAAAAAAGACAAACCCUGAGUUUUCAUGUCCAAUGUUUGAUCAUAUUAUUUGAAAAAAUUAUGAAAAAAAUUAAAAAGACAAGUUACGUAUAAAGUAUUAAUCAUAUUUUAUCAUAUAACAACAAUGAAAAUACUAAUUAUAAAAAUUUUUCAUAUAAGACGGACAGUUAAACGUUGGACACGAAAAUCUAGGAUUUAUUUUUUUUUAUAGAGGGAGUACGAGGUAAAAAUCGUCCUCAGCGCCUUCAGAAAAAAAAAGGACAAAAAUCCUCAGCGCCAACCGACUCCGCUCCACAGACCACAGCCGCCCAAGUGUGCGAGGACAACGGCGGCGGCGGCGGCGGCUAGGUUUUUGCUGCACCCGACGCCACCGCCCACCAGCGAGUGUGGUGGGCCGCGGCGGCCCAUAAAAGAAAUAUCUAGGCGGCCCAUGUAGCGCCAGAAAAUAUCUUCUCCCCCGCCUCGGGAUCCUUAUCCUCCGCCUCGCGCGGGGUGCCGUCCGAUCAGAUCAGGACGGCCGCGUGGGGCUAUAAAAGGAGGGGGGGUAGGGCAAGCAGUGCCUCCUCGUGCUCUCUUUGAGGUGGGUUGGCUUCUCCUCCCCCUCUUUACCUUUUCCUCCUCGGUUCGGUUCCGUGGUUCGUCUAGGGUUUAGUGGGUUGAGAUGGCGGCGCCGGAUGUCGAGUACCGCUGCUUCGUCGGCGGCCUCGCCUGGGCCACCGACGACCGCUCCCUCGAGGCCGCCUUCUCCACCUACGGCGAGAUCCUCGACUCCAAGGUUCGCCCUCGCUCUCCUACGCCGUGUCUUGUGAUGGGUUUUUUUUGGGUGGUUUCUCGUGUUGGCUGGAUCUGUGUUGAAUUUGUUUGGGUUUUUUUGUUGGUUUGCUCGGAUCUGUGAUCCUGGGGGGUUUUGCUCGUGCUGUUCUGAUCUCGUUGGUGCCAGAUCUGUGUGGAGGGGUUGAUUUGGUGGUUUUUUUGGGUGGAUCUGAUGGGGAUUUGUGUGUUUUUGUUUUGGUUGUUUGCAGAUCAUCAACGACAGGGAGACGGGGAGGUCACGUGGGUUUGGCUUCGUCACCUUCUCCUCCGAGCAGUCGAUGCGCGACGCCAUCGAGGGCAUGAACGGCAAGGAGCUCGACGGCCGCAACAUCACCGUCAAUGAGGCCCAGUCCCGCCGCUCCGGCGGCGGAGGCGGGGGCUACGGCGGCGGCGGUGGCGGCUACGGCGGCGGUCGUGGAGGCGGCGGCUACGGAGGAGGUGGCGGCGGCGGCUACGGGCGCCGUGAGGGCGGCUACGGUGGCGGCGGCGGCUACGGCGGCGGCCGUGGCGGCGGCGGCGGCGGCUACGGUGGCAGCCGUGGCGGCGGCUACGGCGGCGACUCCGGCGGGAACUGGAGGAACUGAUUGGUGGGGCCCAUCGUGGCCAGUUAUCCUUAGCUAUCCGUGUCAGAAUCAUCUUAUCAUCGAGUCGAGUCGUUAUCGUGUCCAGUGGCUCUCUCGAGUCGAGAAGCCCUCUAUCCAUCCAUCCAGUGUUAGGUGUUCUUCGUCCGUGAUGUUACCAUGAAUUGAGUUCGCUUUGGUUAUGGUGUUUGAACUGCUUGUUGCUAUCUAUCGGAAUGAAAUGAAAUAGAAAACAAGGAGAAAAAAAAGAGUUCGAAAGUUUUGUUCGCAUACCAUAUAUUUCCUUCCGGUGCGCGCUGUUUAUUCCUCGCUCAGCAGCAAGAUUGUUUGAUCGAUAUUGCAGCAAGCAAUUACACAAUAAAUAUAUUGCUACACUGGUACUUCAAACUACACUGGUGGUCGGUGAUUUUCAAUAGCAUGAACCUUAAUUGAACAUCUGUGUAGCUUACAUCUCCUUCGAAAGCUGCAAUGCUUGAGAACUUGGAAAGAAAUUCUUGUGAUGGCAGAAGCUAUUCACUGUCCUUCGCUGCAUUUACAGUCCAUACAGACACAGCAUUUCCAUUUUGCACAAGAUAGAGAACAACAAUCAGCCUUUUAGGUCAAUCCCAAGUGUGCAUCUUACUGAUUGUCGAAUAUGUGCUAAGAACCUGCAAGAGAGUGAGGAUUUUUAUCAUUGAUUGAUUGUCGAAUAUAUGCUAAGAACCUUCAAGAGAGUGAGGAUUUUUAUCAUUGAUGGAGCUUUGUUUCUGUAAUCCAAGAUUUGGGAAACAGUUUAUCCAUGUUAGGGAAAUGAUUUAUGCAAACAAUAUUUUGGAGCAAAAGUUAGAUAGUAGUAUAUGUCUGCCGACGACCUCAACCCAAAAUAUUGUUUUGAGGAACUCUUGGAUUACAGAACAAAAUACUGAUUCCAAAAUGAUUUAUGCAAACAAUAUUUUGGAGCAAAAAUUUUGUUUCUCCAAGAAUUCAGAGAAACAAUCAUACUUUUUUAACACAACCAUCACAUUGGAGAUUUCAAAACAGCAGAGAUGAUAGGAUCUACUCUUUCCAUGUCUUCAUCCAAACUUAAUUAAGCUUAUAAUUGUCCUUUUAUCAAUUUGCGAAGAAAGAAUGAAUGUUGAUAAGCAGUCAAUGCAAAUGUCAAUUAUAUGAAUAAUAUCUAAAGUUUAGCAUGCCAACUAAAGCUUGUAAUAUGCCAGUAUGUUUAAAUGAGAGAUUGAAAAUGUAGGGGAGUAUAGUCGAUAUAGACUUUCAGUAAGGCAAGAAGAAAUGCAAUGUCAUUAUGUUCCAGGAUAAAAGGGUCAACAGAAAGACAUCAUCAUGAUCUCAAGCCUUUGCCCGCUUCAUUAGGAAAAUACUCAGCAGAGUGUAGAAUCUUUUGAGCUUAAUGACCAAAAAUCUGCAUGACCACAUGGUAACGUAAGUAAAUUCUUUUCUACUUUCAGUUUGGAGAUUUAGUUGUUCACACACCUCCAAAUUAAGAACCAAGAUGCAUUGAUUCAUUCUGAAGGACUGAAAAAUGGAAGAAAAGGAAAUGAUGGAGAAGAAAGAGGAGAGCUCGUGCCAUUUGGAUCUGUUCAGUUUCGCCCUUAGCAGUGUCGAUCCAAAUUCAGAGAUCCAAAAAUGAUUUGUGAAAAAAGGUACAACUUUGGUGUGAUUGAAGCAGCCGAUGACAGAACCAUAAGAGCAAGAUGUACACUAAUGGUGGUAUGAUCAGGAUUACCUUUGGCCAAGCUGUUCCAAGAGUUGUAAUUUAGGAUACAACAGAAGUGCUUAAUGCAUUUGGCCAGACAAACAACUAUCAGCAAACGACGAAAAUCAUACAGUAUCAUCACUAAACACUGAAGGCGAAUCAGGGGAAAUUAGGAGAAUAGCAUACCUCUCUCUUUUUUACACUCGUUAUAAUCGUUCAAACUGCUGCUGGCCCUUGCUUUUGUCUUGGUUGGCUUCCAAACCUGCAGAGCCAACAUGAAGUUCAUCAGAGAUUAACCACACAUGCAUGGAACUCUCCAAAAAAGUAUGAUGACUGUGAAGGGGGUCGAGGAGAUGAGGGUCGUUAAGUGAAGAUUAGGACGGAUGGAUUCGCUUGAGGGAGGUGGUAUACUGGGGAAGCAGUCGGAAUCGGCGAUCCUGGCGACGCUGGGGUACGGGCCGGGACGUCGCCGCCGGCCGCCGCAGCCGCCGCCGCCGAGGACACUGGGUGGGCGGAGUCAUGGCCACAUUCACCGUCGCCACCAUGAUGUCAUCUUUUUUCCUCCUCUUGGACGCCUGGUCCAGUAUCACGAACAGGUAGAUCGAGCCGUCACAAACCCGACGCAGACAUCGCUAACUCCAGACCUCCUCAGUCUUCACCCUCUUCCCCACCUCCAGCCAGGGUUCACUUUCUCGUUUUCGGCCUUUGUAUCGGGCAAUGCCGAUAUGACGAAAUAAUUUUGGUCCGAAAUUUCUAAAAUUUAAAACAAAAUCUAAUCAAAUUUGAACAAAUGUUACCAAAAUUCAUGAAAAAUUAAAAUAAAUUAAAAAUUUCAGCUGAAAUAAUAUCGUAUUGGAGGGGUCCGAAAUGACCCGAAUUUCCGAAAUUUUGAUCAUUCCGAAAUUUCCAAAAUAAUUUAGGAAAUUUCAGUCCGAAAUGUGAAACCCUGCCUCCAGCUUCUCGCCGCUUGCAGCCGCCCUCCAUCGCCAACGGGGGAGAGGGACGACGCACCACGGGGCCGAGCCAUCCUCUUCAACACUUCAAACCAUGACCGGGUAGAACAGCCGCAGAAACUCACACCAUGGCUUAAGCUCUGAUAAAGAGAGCAGAUCUGAAGAAGGAAUUGGAGGAGAGUGAAAGGGAUUUGGACAUGAUGGUCAGUGUAAGUGGUGCACAUUUUCUCAUGAUCUUUUUCUCUUGAUUUACUCUAUAGUUCUGGCUUAUGGAUGAUAUUUAUACCUUAUUUCAUCUACCGAUCAGUCUUGCAUCAUAGUAAAUUAUAUAGCGAGUGAAUUGACAGCCUGCUAAUUUGUUCCAUGCUGCACCCUGCAUUUUUUUUCUCAGCUCAUCCAUUGUCUGAUUGUUUACAUGGAAGGCUUACUCUGUUUUGGUUGAAAAAGCUUAGUUGGGAGAAUCUGUCUUUUCUUUGUAUGAUAUAAAAGUAACAUACUCUUUGGACGUGCUUUUUCUGCAUUUUUUUUUUGCCUUACACACGUCCAGAUGCAAUCUAACCAAUAGACGAAGAGAGAGAAGGACGGCGGCCGGCGCCGGUGGGGAGAAGGGCCGCGAUGGCGACCAACAGGGAUGAGGGCAUGACCAGCGGGAAGGAGUUAGGUGACAAAGACCUCAUGUCCCUUCGAGCGGCGACGGUGGAUCCGCCCAUCGCCUUUCUCCCCUCUCCCUCCCGGCAUCCUUCCUCCCUCCCCGAGCUCCCUGGCUUGCCGGUGAGCGCACGUAGAGAGAGAAGGACGGCGGCCAAUGACCGGUGGGGAGAAGGGCGGCGGACGGCGGCCAUGGGGGAGAAGAGCGACGACGACCUCAUGUUCCCUCUCCCUCCCUACAUCCUUCUGCCUCCUCCCCUUUCCCUCCUGGCAUCCUUCCUCCCUCCUCGAGUUCCCUGGCCUACCGGCGAGCGCGCGCAAGAAAGAGAUGGCCGGUGGUUGGCGGCCGGCGGCCGACGGGGAGAAGGGUGGCAGGAAGCGGCCAUCGGGGAGAAGGGCGACGACCUUGUCUCCCUUCAAGUAACGGCGGUGGAGCCGCCUGCCGCUCUUUUCCAUCUCCGCCGCCGUCGUCACCGCUGGCCGCAUCUGGUGCCCAUCCGCCCCCCUCUCCGGCUCUCUGCGCUCCCACCGUUGAUGCCCUCCCCUUUUCCCGCGUCGCCGCCGCCAAACCUCCCCGUGACCUCAUGGCACCUAGAGAAAAGAAGAGGGGAGAGGGGAGAGAGGAGGGGGGGGGGGGGGGGGGGGUGUUGAGAAUGACAUGUGGGGCCCAUGUGGGCCACAUCAUUUUAAUUAUUUUUUUUAACUGACAUGUGGGAUCAUAGUUGUAUUAUUUUCCAAAUCAAAUUACCACGUCAAUGCCACAUCAGAUGAAGACCGAGUAUAUUUAGCCACGUCAGCUAAAACCGCCGUCCAAACUGCCAUGGGACUUAUAUUGCACUGAUUUUGACAGUUGAGGGACGAAAAUCGGACUCGUUCAUAAGUUAAGGGACCUCAGAUGAACUUUUUCCAUUCAGUCUUGGGGAGUCUAGGGGAUUAUCGGAGUAUAUGGGCCUGUGAGGUCACGUGCUCUGGUGGGCUUUUUUCUUUUUCAAAAUGGGCCUGCGUAAGGUUUAUUGAUUUCAUUUCGGCCUUUUACUAAUUUAUGCCCAACCCAAAACUUUGUAUGGGUUUCUUUUAGAUAUAAGUUCAGUUCAGGUCCCUUAGUUUGUCUAUGAAUUCGAUUUUCAUCUUUGAACCCAAAAAAUAGAUAUGAUGGGCCCCUCAACUAUUAAAACCGGUGCAACAUUAGUCUGAAGGCACUAUAGAUGGUUGUUUUGUCCUAUGUCGCACUUGGACUAUGGUCAGCCUACAUGGAGCGCCACAUAAGCGGUCAACUCUGGUCAAACGCACUUUAGACCAACUAUGGUUCACUAAAACAAGAUCAUCGAUCUUAAUACGUAAUUGAUAAGUCUACGGACCUAUAUGAUACAUAUGCUCAAGUUUAAGUAUCGACCAUGUAUUUUACUCUUAAAAUUAUUUCCAUAAUCAUGCACCAGUUAGGAAAAGCUUCAACAAGCAAGCAAGCCGAACGUAUAUGCGCCGUAUUUUGGACAGGGGAGUCAAAUCAACCACAUCACCAUGCAUAUUUCUACAUAUACACUGGUCAUUUUUUUUGGGUACAUCGGAAAUCAUUUUCACCGGAUUUAGCCCAGACAACCAGUAUCCCAAUGAGUGAUUAAUUACUUGUAUUAUACUCAUUGUUGCCUUGUUGGCUCUUUGAGGUCAGAAAGGGACAAUUGAAAGGCCUCGAUUGAACAAACGUUAGGACAUGAUGCGCUUCUAUAUAAAUUCAAGGAACAAAAAAGCAAGCUAAUUAAGGUUUUGUGUUCUGCAUAAUUAAUCCAUUAAGUAUAGUGAGAUCUGAGGUGAGGAGAGGAUUAAUUAAGACAAAAUCUAGCCAAACUUGUGUGAAUCUCCCUCUAAUCCAUAUGCAUGAUCCCCCCCCUCUUGCUUUGCAAAUACUGUGAGCUUAAUUAAUUCCAUGUCUCUCUCUAAUUCUGCUUUUGAUGUUGCAAGUUGCAAGAAGCUUCACCUCUCCUAGGGUUUAUACAAGCAGCGGCAUGGACGACUCGAGCCUCUUCUUGCAUUGGGCGGUGAGCACGCUGCAGCACCAGCACCCGGCGGCCGUCGCAGUCGUGGCCGACGACGACGCCACGUUCUUCUCGUUCCAGGAGCUCUGCGACACCGAGGAGGUGGUUGUUGUCCCGGUCCAGGAAGAAGUGAUCACGGAAGCGCAUGGUGGUGGAGCCAGCAGAAUCGGCCUCGCCGUGGCCGUGGAUGAGCACGGAGGCUGGUCAAGGUCCCCGAAUCCGGGGGCCAGGCCGCCGUCUGGUGGAUGCGGCAGCAAUAAUCUGCCCCUGAUGAGCUGGGACUUCAGCGCCGCCUCGGUGGCGGUGCAGGUGCAGCCGAACGGCGGCGGCGGUGGCGGCGCGCCGGAGAUGGCGUACGGGUCACCGCCGGCGGCCGGGGGAUCCACCACCAGGAAGACCUCGGCGCCCACGGUGGGGCGGCGGCGGCGUACGCGCAGCUGGAGCACGUCGUCGCGGAGCGGAAGCGGCGGGAGAAGAUCAACCAGCGGUUCAUGGAGCUCUCCGCCGUCAUCCCCAAGCUCAAGAAGGUAUAAAAAAUCUCACCAAUUCCUCAACAUGAAAUGCUCCGAUCGAAUUUGCUUUCGUCUCGUGAUCGAUUUGAUGAUCAGAUGGACAAGGCGACGAUCCUCUCCGACGCGGCGAGCUACAUCAGGGAGCUG
This 128611-nucleotide long non-coding RNA is filed under the name Oryza sativa (Asian cultivated rice). RNAcentral describes it as "long non-coding RNA (OSAT_LNC000611)". The stretch from base 81769 to 81960 matches the Rfam family "MIR812 microRNA precursor family". The record is from RNAcentral. Lineage: Eukaryota; Viridiplantae; Streptophyta; Magnoliopsida; Poales; Poaceae.